UUUUUUUUUUUUUUUUUUUGUCUUCUUUUUUUUUCACUUGAAUUGUUCGAGAGGAGUUUGAAGGCGGGUAUGAAUUGGUGGCUAGUACUUACGACUCGUUAGUGAGUGAUUGUAUUAGUUUGAAAUCGAUUAGGGGAUUAAGAGGGUUUCUAAUUACAUGAUUAGGAACAGGGUGUUGCUUAUGCAUGUGAAAUAUGGGAUGAUGAUUGGUUCAAUUUUUUUCUCAGGUUUUUGGUAUACUGGUUUAGCUUUUUACUUUGUGGUGUUCGAUACCUGAAUUACAUGCAUUGUAGUUCAUCGACUGAUUUCAGUGUGAAACAUAUAGAUACUUGGACAUCUCCCUUUGGUUGCCUGGCUUUUCGGUUUGGUGAUUUAGUAUUUGAAACUUGGAUAAUUGGUAGUUUAAAGAUGAUACCUUGUUUAUCUUUUAUAGUUACUUAUAGGACAAUUACUUCAGAUUGUUAAAUUAGUCUCUUUUUAUCAUUACUUAUAUAAAUAUGAUAGGUAGUUUGACUUGAUAUGUUAUCAUUUUUUUGACGUUAUUUAACAUGUUUUGGGAUAAUCAUGCUUAUAACAGACUUUGUUUUACUUGUAGUCGAAGAUGUGUUGCAUGGAGGCACAAGAAUAAAAAUAAAAAAUAAGCCUGGAGUACAAGUCUAAUCUUUUGAAGUUUCGUCGAGUUAUGGAAGAAAUGAGAAGUAAUGUGGUAAAUGCGCAUCAUAAGUUAAUGAAUCGUACGCCGUUCAGGAGGUUGUUCAAAGCGUACCAUGAGAACUUGAUCAAUGAUGGUGUUUGCAGGAAAUGUGAUGCGAAUAUUGUGUCUAUAUUGAAGUGCUACGACCUAGUACAAAGCAUUUUUUUUUUUUUGUGAAAUAACGGCAACAAUAACUGCCAAAGAUGUAGCUGAGAUUUUUGGUUUGCCCUAUGAAGGGGAAGAGAUCAACUUGAACAGUAGGAAAAGAAAAAGUGUGUUUACAUGUUUUUAUAAGAGAUGCCUUGCAGACAUCAAAUAAAUAAGUAAGAAGAUAUUGGAAGAAAGAAUUUUGAGAGUCGUUAAGUUGCCUGGUAGUGUGCAUGAGGGCGAUUUUGUGCGACUGGUUUGUUUAUAUUUAUGCUUGGCACUGUUUUUCAAUAAGAGUGGAAAUAAUACUAGUUUGUACAUGGUUGGAUACGUUGAGGAUACUACCAAGAUGAAGGGUUAUGUGUGGACUGUAGCAGUGAAUAAUUGGUUGUUAGACACAUGGGAGAACGUUAAUGAAAGUGUAACUAGUUGUGUAAUGGUAUGUUAAUCUACAUUUUAGUUUAUUUUAUUCUAUCUGUGUUCGAUGAAAUAAUGUUUUAAUAUCUUCUAGUUCUGUGAGUGUACUCACUUGAUCAAUCCAAUCAGCAGAAGGGAACAUUUGCCUCUUAAGGUUGUUAAAUGAAAUUUGUCGGAAUUGUACGCAAAGAUAGAAAUUAUAAAAAUCCAUGAGUUGGAGGUAUGUUUAUCUUACCCAUCCAUUUGGUUUAAAAUAUGAACUACCUAUCCUUGUAGAAUAUGAUUUUUACAUGAUAAUUAGUUGUAAAUGUGUUACUAUUUGGAACGGUAUUAAACUACCUACCAUGUAGGAAAAUUACCUGCAGUCAUUUUUAUCAAGACGCAUGUGGAAAUUUUUUAUCCUACCCAUCCAUUUGGCUUACAAUAUAAACUACCUAUCCUUGUAGAAUAUAAUUUUUACAUGACAAUUAGCUGUACAUGUCUUACUGUUUGGGACAGUAUUAAAUUACCUACCAUGUUAGGAAAAUUACUUGCAACCAUUGUUAUCAACACAAUUGCGGUAAAUAUAAACCACCUAUCCUUGUAGAAUUUGAUUUUUACAUCAUAAUUAGUUGUACAUGUAUAUUACUUUUUGGGACGGUUUUGAAACUACCUAACAUGUAGGAAAAUUAUGAAAAUCCAUGAGUUGGAGGUAUGUUAAUUUAUGUAACUUAAAGUCUUAUGUACUUUAAUAAUAAUAAACAUGGUGUGUUUAUGUUACAGGAAGUUGUACAAGUAGAUGGGGGCAGUCCAAAAACACCUGAAAAAGAGAGAAAAAUAUUACAACUGCAUUCGCAUUGCGGGGGAUAAAUGUGGAGCCUCACAAAGUGUUAGAUGAAGAAUUUUUCCCAAUGCUUGAGAUACUGCUAUCAGAAUUUAUGGAAAACAACUUGGGAGAGCUUUCUAAUAGUAAGAUGGACCUUAGUGACUUGGACAGGAAAUUACAAGAGAUGAGUCUUUUGGUAGAGGACUACCAAUCAUAUAUUACAAAGCUUAUUAUUGAAAACGAGAAUCUAAAGGAGUAGCUGAAAUGUAAGGAAAAUUAAAGAGUGAAAGGCAUAUCUCCAAAACAAAACUCAAUGGUAUGUAGAUAGUUGAUUCUUUCUUCAAACAAUGUAGUCGUAGUUAGUAUUUUAGUGCUUCCUACUAUUUUAAGCUUUGAAGAUGUCUGCAGAUUUGUACCAUUUCCUUUGUACAAGUAAUUCAUAUCUACAAAGACAGGUAGUUUAAAAUUUUACCACAUGCGUGUUGAUAAAAUUGGUUGCAGUUAAUUUUCUUCCAUUUUGGCUAGUUUAAUACAUUCGUAACGAAGAAAUUAAAAAAAGCAUUGUUAUUUGGUGAUGAGUACUGCAAUUGUCAAAUGUUGGUUUUUAUUAUUUUGAUAGCUUUCAUAGUUGUAACAUGUUGUUUCUAAUAGAUAUUUCCUAUACAUAUGGUGUAAUAUCAUGUGACAUUUUCAUCUGUCAUGCUGAGCAAUGAACACAACUUUGUUUUGUGUAAUAUUUUUGUUCGUUUUGUUUUUGUAGGAUAUUGUGGAUGAAUCAAAUUUUGUAGUGAGAAUAUAUAUAUUUAUCUUGAGCUUUUACUGAAAAAGUUGCUGGAGAACAACUUUGUUUUCUUUCUGAUUAACCAUUUUAAAGGAAUGCAUUAUACUUUGCUUGUGUUCAACAAACAAAGUGAUGGUGGGAACAUUAAAACACAUUACAAACCAAAUUGAAUAUGUAUGUGGAUCCUUAUUUCAAAGAAGCUAAAAAAUUGGUAAGUCGAUAACUAUGUAGUAUACCUCUUAUCCUUUAAGUUUUGUAUCACACACUAACUUUGCAAUGAGUUUUUGUUUUUUGUUUUUGUUUUUCUUUCUUAGUUGGUAGCAUAUGAAAAUUUCUGACUACUUUAAGUACAUGAAAGAUAGUAUUUCAAGAAAGCUCAAUGAGAACUCUAUUUGCAAACAUAUCAUGAAAGGUGAUAAGGUCCAGAUGUUGUUGUACACACUUAGUCAUGAUGAUAGAGAAUUUCUAAUGUGGUUGAGGCAAACUUAUGUUGAGUAUCCAUUGAAAGCAAACAGCUCAUGGUCACAGCAAUUUCCUAACAUGUAGGUGUUAAUUUCAUCUGUAUUAUGCCUAUUUGUUAAUGUCUUGAUAAUAGAAUGUAAUAUUUAAAUUCAUAUCCUUUUUUGUGUUAACAAUUAUGAUUGUGGAGUUGGUAUGAUGCAUGUUGCACAAAAAAAAAAAAAAAAAACUGAUGGAGAAUUAGUUGAAGGUGUCCUUCCGGCAGAGCCAAUGAAGAAUAUGAAGGCACGUGUCCUUUACAGAUUCAUAAAUGGGGGAGAGGGUAGUUGGGAAAAGGAAGAGUAGAAUAAAGAUGUGAUGCGAAAUUUGAGUUUUUGUUUCAUUUAAGUGUUUUGGUUUAAUAAAAUGAUGGGACUCCAAUCCAUCCAAAUUCAUUUUCUGCUAGAUAAGUUUGGUUGUUAUGUGAACUGAGAUAUGCUUUGUCCUGUCCCUUUUUUUUAUUGAUAUAACUUCGACGGUACAAGGAGAAUUUUAUUGAUAACGAAAAAGAAGUUAUACCUAAUCAGGGGGAGACAUAAACUAACCCCUCAUUGUCACAUCCUGGCCCAAGCCCCCACCACAUCCUGGGAUCGACUCUUCCGUAGCACGAUAUUGUCCGCUUUGGGCCCCGACCACGCCCUCACAGUUUUGUUUCUAGGAACUCACACGAGAACUUCCCAGUGGGUCACCCAUCAUGGGAUUGCUCUCGCGCGAACUCGCUUAACUUCAGAGUUCUGAUGGAACCCGAAGCCAGUGAGCUCCCAAAAGGCCUCGUGCUAGGUAGAGAUGAGAAUAUACAUAUAAGACUUACAGGAUCCACUCCCCUGGGUGAUGUGGGAUGUCACACUAAUAAUACAAGAAAAAUGGAUAAAAAAAUACAUAAAAAAGAAGGGGGGACAUAAACCUUACCCUUCUAUAAACAUAAACAAUAAAGAUACAAGGAAAAGGGGGGGGGGACAUGAAACCUAACCCCUCUAAAAUCAAACCUAAAAGUCUAAGGGCUUGUUUGGAUGUGCUUUUAUAAUGGCUGAAAGCGCUUUUAGAGAAAAUGUUUUUGGGUUCCAAAAACACUUUAAGUACUUUUCUAGGAUUUACUUACAUUUUUACUAAGGAUUGGUUUCAAAAACAUUUUCACCAUAAGCGUUGUCAGUCAUUUGAAAAGAACAAUUCAAAUGAGCUCUGAACCUACAAAACAGAUUAAGCAAUAUCACAAGGUCAAGGAAAAAAAAACAAGAAAGUGAGUCAAAAACAAGAAAGUGAGUCAAACCUGUAUGCCGAUAUGCAAAUUAAUUUGAGAAGCAGUAGCCAGGAAAGCCAGCAUGGUCUAAAAACAAAGCAACACGAGACGCCAAUGGAGGGGAAUUGUGCCAUACUAAAUUUGGAGAAGACAAGCCCAUGUUAGCAAAAUUGUCGGCAACAACAUUUCCUAUGCGAUAUAUGUGAGAGGCGUAGUAAGUCAUCUUUCAAAUGCGAUCCAAACAAAUAGAUCAUUAUGUACGAAGAGGCCAAGAAGGAUCAAAAUCGAUUGAUUGGAGAGUAGAAAUAACACUAGAACAGUCACUUUCCAACCAAAGACAAUGUCAUCCCUGCUGAUACUCAAACCCUACACCAAUAAUAAUUGCUGAUAAUCCUGCAAAGAAAGAGUUACGAUGACCAAUCCCUUGGUAGAUGCCACUAAGAAAAUGACCAUGACAAUCCCUGAAAACUCCUCCACAAGCAGCAGGACCAGAAUUCGACAAACCAUCUGUAUUAUGUUUAAUCCAAGGAAACCAAGGAGAAGACCAAAGCACAAGAAGAAUAGAUAGAGCCUUGUGAGGGAUAGGGCGGAUCCCCUAUGAAGAAAUGAUAUGAGUGUCAAAACCUUGAGAAUAAUCAGGAAUAAACUUCCAAUCAUGAAUGAUCCUAUAAUUCAUAGACAUGCAAAGACAACGAAAAUAGAUUGGGCGACGUUAAAAAAUAAACUUAUUUUGAGCUUUCCAAAUAGCCGAAAAAGUAGAAAGAUCUGCAAAAAUCCAGAGAUCGUGCAACUAUUGAGAAAAAGGCUUACGUACGUAGGCAUCCCAAAAAGCAACCAGAGAAUCUGAAAAAGACAAAGAGGUACCAAGCUAACACGCUAGCCACCUCCAAAGUUUCCUAAAUAUCCAACAACUGAAGAAAAGAUGAACAAUUGAUUCCUCGGAGUUCUGACUUAAACAACAAAUGGACGCCAAAGAAAUACCACGUCAUGAAAGUGCACAUUCUAUAGGAAGUUUGUCAUGAAGAAGCAACCAAGCCAAAAUAAACAGUCAAGGUGGGAUAAAAUGUCCCCUAAUAACCUUAGCUCGAGCACAAUCUCUAUGUUUUCGUCGAAUAAGAUGACAGCCAAAAGAAAAGGAAAAUUUCUCGGUAGAUGUAGGCUCCUAGAUCAAUUUGUCAUCCUCUACAUUUAAAUGCAAAGGUAAAUGUAGAAUAUGUUGCACUACAGAACGGAAUAAAUCUACAAAUAAUCUAGUAAAGGCCAACUUUGAGCUUCAAUAACAUUUGAAAGUUUAGGAAGAAUUGUAGCUGCAAUAAUCGAAGAUAAUGAAGAGCCAAUAAUUGGAUUAUCCAACAAUUUGUCGAACCAAAAGAAAACUGGCUUCCCAACCCUAAUAACCCAACGACUAUUAUUAUUCAGCAUAGGCAAAGCACGCUUCAACCCAUGCCACAUAGAAGAUCGUAAUAUAUAUCUUGUUUUUUAUAAGGUGCAAAAGGAAAACAUUGACGAGCGAAUGAAUCCACAGAGAAGAGGGUUGUAAAGCAUCCCAGCCAAAACUAAACAAAGUCAUCAAGUUCAAAGCAGUUAAAUGCCGAAGACCAAGGUCACCUUCAUGCUUAGGUCCACACACCAUACUCCAAUCAAUAGUUACUAGCUUUCGUGAAGCCAAGUCCCCUGACCAAAUAAAAUUUUAUGCACAAGCAGAAAUGUGCUUUAAAAGACAAAUAGACCAUUGAUAAACUAAGAAGCUAUGGAGAAACAAGCUUUGACAAACAGAUUGCACCAAUUGGAGUUGUCUAACCAUUGAGAAAAGUUUACGCUUCCAACCUAAAAAACGAGCUUUAGCCUUAUCCACCAAAGCUUGAAAGUGAAUUUUCUAUGGCUUACCAUGAAAAAUGGGUACCCAAAGAUAAGUGAAAGGAACAACACCGAUACAAAAGCUAAAAUGUCUCGAGACAUGCACUCUAAGAUGGGCAGAGGUGGAGCUGAGAUAAAAGGUACUCUUAGUUGCAUUAACAAGUUGUCCUGAUGCACAUCCAUACUUAUCCAAAAACUUUCAAAGAGAACAAAGAGAUCAAACAUUCCCAUGACAAAAAAUAAAAAGAUCAUCAGCAUAUAACACAUGAGUUGGAGGGCAACAACCCCAUGGACCUGAAAUAGCAGUGAGCCAUCAAGUAGAGAAGAGCAAAGAUAAAUCUCUACUCCUCUGCUAAACCAAAAAGUAGUGGAGAAAGAGGGUCUCCCUGAUGUGCACCUUGAGAACAAGAGAAAAAACCCAUGUGGUGUGCCACUUACCAAAAUAGAAAGACAAGCAAACUAUAAUAAAACAUGCACCCAAUCCACAAAAAUACAAGAAAAUCCAAAGCUAGAAAGCACAUGGACAAGAAAAUUCCAGUUUAAAGUAUCAAAAGCUUUUGCAAUAUCAACUUUUAUGCCCACAUUACCACAAAAAGCCUUUUUGUCCAUAAAAUUGAACCCUUAUGAACCUAGUCCAAUGUAAUAAAAAAUAUGCCUAGCCUUCAAAAAUGACAUUCGUUGAGAAGAAAUUAUGCGAGUGGCAAUGAGGCUAAGCUAAUCAGCAAGAAUCUUGGGAAAAUUUUUGAACAGAAAGUUAGCAAGAGCAAUGAGCCGAUACUCAGCAAUCAUGGCAGGCCCUUCUACUUUAGGAAUAAGCACCACAAAGUUGAAAUUAGCAUUCAGAUAGAGCUAGCCACGCUUAAAAAAAAUCUUGAACAAAAGCAAUAACAUCUACACCAACAAUAUCCCAACAUGACUAAUAGAAAGAAUCAGAAAACCGAUCAGGCCUCGGAGCACUUUUGGGAUCCAUAGAAAAAAUAGCAUUUUUUAUUUCAUUAGCUGAAAGUAAAAAAGAAAGAGCAAGGUUUUCCUCUUCACUAACCAUACGUGGAAUUACAUCAUUAAUAUCUUCAAUUCCACUUGGAGUGAACUGAGAGUUAUAUAAAGAUUGAUAAAUUUUUACCACAUGACCAGCAAUAUUAGUAGGGGAAGAUAGUGCAUUAUCACCAUCCAAAAGAAUAACUAAUUUGGAAGAAGAAUGCCUACCUCAAACAUGAGCAUUGAAAAAAGUAGUGUUACGAUCACCCUCAGUAAGCCAUUUAACCUAAGCUCGAUUGUGCCAGAAAGCUUCUUGCAAACAAAGAGCAUCGAGGACAACUGUCUUAGCCACAACUUCCUCAGAAAACCUUUCUUGAGAAUUCCCAUAAGAAGAAAUUAUAUUUUGGAUAUUAUGAAGUCUUUCCUUGGCAAAAGUGAAAUUUCUAUGGACAUUACCAAAAACAUUAAUGUUCCAAUCUCGAAGACAAUGCUUAAGAACCUUGAGCUUUUCCAUCAUAAUAAACAUGGGACAACUAUAUGCAAUAGUUGACUGCCAACAUUUUGCAACCAAAUCAGGAAGUCAGAAUGUAAAGUCCACAUUGAUGAAAUUGGAAAGGUCGGGGUCUUCCAAGAAGAGUAGCAAAAGUCGAGAUAACAAGACAAUUGUGAUCAGAAACUACCUAGGGCAAAGUUGAACAACUAGUAUGAGGCCAUGACUGUAACUAGUGUGAGUCACAAAGAGAGUGGUCAAGACGCCUCUCCAUGUAACCACGGACACUCAACCAUUACUCCAAAUAUAAAAAGCACUUGUAGUUUCCAUAUGAGUAAAAUCACAAAACUUAGUAGUGCUACAAAAGUCCUCACAUGAAGUUCGAAAAGGCAAAUGACCGCCCAUCUGUUCAUGAGCUCCAAGAAUAGCAUUAAAGUCACCAAUUGACAUCCACGAUACUGUAGUAAUAGAAUGAAUAUUUAAAAGAUCACACCAGAAAGCACGACGAAGGCUCGAGGUAGUAGUAGCAUAAACAAUUGUAAACUGAGAAAGAACAUCAUCAAAAGAAGCUUGAAAAGUAAUAUGUUGCCCUGGGGAAGAAAUCACAGAAGGAGAACAAUAAUCCGUAGAAUACAAAACCCAAAUAUUAGGCAAUAAACCACCCCUGGUAUUAUCAAUCAGCACAAAAGGACCAAAUGAAUUCCAACAUGCAAAAGGAAUAGAAUUAAAAGCAAACAUAGGUUCAAAAAUGCAAACCAAAUCUAGAUGAUAGGAAUGACAGAUAUUGGAAAGCUUUGUACAUAUGUCAGAAUUGCUAAUACCACAAAUAUUCCAAUAAACUAGCUUCAUUUGGAGGUAGAAAUAACUUGUCUUUUGCCCUAGUGACAUAGGGUUCUUCUUGCCUAGCUGCGUUAUCUUUCUUCUUUUUCUUUUGUUUCUUCUGCUGAGAUUUACUACAUUAGGAUCCAUCCUUACAUCCACUACAUUAGCCACUUUCGUCAAACCAAAACCUGGUGUGACAUCCCCAUCAACAUCAAAAUCAACAUGGCCACUAUUAUUUCCUUCAGUAAGCUCACCUCCAAUCUCAUUUUAAAAAAAUACCAUUUAAAAUUUGAGGAGGGGACACAGAGGUAUAACCAAUAUUCUUGGUUUGUUGUGACUCUAGAAGUGGCCUGUCUAAAUUUGUCAGUAAAUGUUCAUGAUCCUUUGCCGAUGAAUCAAUUACCCUGUCAGCCAACACAUUUAACUCAUUAUUCACAACACUCAAUAGUAUCUGAUUCGCAGAAUAGUUGACUUGUUCAACAUGAUGUUGCUCAAGAGAACUAUAAGGGGGAACCUUUAUAUCAUUAUUAAGUCUAGAAGAAUGCUCAUUUUUGUGAAUAAUUUCAACUGAAGGAAAACGCUCCGUAUGAACAACUGAAGGAGAAACAGUCUUAGUAGACGAUUUUGGACGAUAAACCUGUUAACUGCAUUGUAAUGUUUGGGAAUUGAAGAGAAAAUCAAGAAGAAAGAUGAAGAGAAGAAAGAUGAACAUAGAGAGUUUUAGAGAGAGAGAUUUAGAGAGAGAAAUAUGCUUUUGUAUUGAUUGAUAGAAUGAAGGUUACACAACAGCUUUUAUAAGAGAAAGCCUAACUACUCUAACCAACUUACUAACUGUAUUGCUAACUAUAUUGCUGACUUGUAUACUUAAUACUAUCCCUCAAUCUCAACUGGGGUAUCCCAGUUUAAAAUUGCAGCAAAGUCUCAAAUAACAAACACUAAAUAUGGACAAGUAUCAAGGUGACCAAGAUCGGAUCGUCUUCACUGGAAAGAGACCUGUUAAGUCAGAUAUCUUGAAAGAGCAGCCACUUUUGCCCGAAGAUGAAAGAAGAGUUUCAACAAAUUCUUCUCCAGCUGCAGUCAUCAUAGGGCCUUCAGGUUAUGUUAUAGAACAACCCAAGUCUCCAGAUGUUAGUGGAUCACGAAGCACCCCCUAUCUGCUUAAUUUAUAUUCAUCUCAAGAACAACUUCAAGAACUACCCAAGAAUUAUAGAAAACUUGUAAGAAUGGCUUCGUGCCGCAACAAAUUCAACAAGAAAAUGGCUUCGUGCCUCAACAAAUCAACAAGAACAAUGGCUUUGUGCAUCAACAAAUCAACAAGAAAAUGGCUUCGUGCCUUAACUAAAAUGACUUCUUGCCUCAACAAAUUAACAGAAUACUGGCUUCGUGCCCCAAGAAACAUAGUAAAAACCCAGAACAAAUCACAACUCCGAAAAGAAACAAAUCACCCGAGAAUCGCAGAGAUGAAAGAUUAAGCAUAUUCAGAGCUACAACUUCAACACGAACUCUAAAAAAAAACCCAGAAUUGUCAAGCCCAAGAACAUUCGUGUACCCACAGUGGAUUCGCUGACCCAUUCCUGAUUCACGAAACUCACACCAACAAAUCUCCAAAUAGUACCGUUUUAGAUCACCAAACACCCAAUCUUCGAGUAACACCCAAACCAGCGAAAAACUUCACUAGAAUCGAACAAAUUAACACAAAAUUUUCCACUGAGACAAUCAAACAAACAGUUGGAGUGCAAAAAGAAAUAUGAAACUUGAAUCUUCAGUUCUUGAGUGAAAAAAAAAACCCAAAAAACACACCAGAGAUCAGCAACCAUUCAAGAUACCACAGUGGAAGUAGAAAAAUAUUCUUGAGUCCAAAUAUCACAAAUCAGAACUCCAAUUUGGGAAAAAUAAGGCAUGGCAAUGGAUGGUAGCAACACGGAGGAGUUGGCCCUUAGGUGCUUCGUCUCCAUCAAGACCACGCUCAGUAACGAGUUCCAGGGCCAAGUCAUCACCUUCGAUCGCCCCUCCAACAUCAUCGUCAUUCAAGAGAGUUCGAAAAAAUGAAAGUUGUCAUACUUGGGUCAGGCAGAAGACCCGCUCGAUAUCAAAAAGUGUUAUCUUGAUCUCAAUAUUCUCCAGGCCAGGGAGGAACUGGUGAUUAGGCAAGCAGAGGCGAAGUUGGAGCAGAUUGCCAAGAAGUUACAGGACGAUCACGGAAGCACAUAAGAAAAUCUAAUGAAAAACGAUGAAAUCUAAUGAAAAAAACGGAACCACCAGAAUCCAAGGCGUGAGCCUGAUGGCUCUGAUACCAUGUUAACUACAUUGUAAUGUUUGGGAAUUGAAGAGAAAAUCAAGAAGAAAGAUGAAGAGAAGAAAGAUGAACACAGAGAGUUUUAGAGAGAGAGAUUUAGAGAGAGAAAUAUGUUUUUGUAUCAAUUGAUAGAAUGAAGGUUACACAAUAGUUUUUAUAAGAGAAAGCCUAACUACUCCAACCAACUUACUAACUGUAUUGCUAACUAUAUUGCUGACUUAUAUACUUAAUAAAACCCGACGACUUCAUGAUCGUCCUCGUCGUUGCGCCUCAAUAUGUGGUUGCAUCUAUAUCCCUUUUUUUUAUUUGAAUUUGAAUUGAAAGGGGAUAUUCUUCCUAUUUUCUUUUAUUGAUUGGAAAAGAAGAUUUAUUUGUGAUUUAGAUAAUGUUAUUUUGACUUUAUCUGCACAUAGUUCAUCUGGUUUAAAUUCGAAUUGUACUAGGAUAGGUAGUUUAAAAUAGCUUAAUUUCAUAUUCCUUUUACCUGGAUUCAAGCCAUUAACAAUCAUCCAGAUUGUAGGAACUGUUUUCGUUCUCUCUGCAGAAUAUCAAAAAAUUGCUGGUAACAUCGGACCUACGAGGUUGCAAGUAACCUUCCUAUCAUGGUAGGUAGUUUAAUACCGUCCCCCAAAUAGACUAGUAAUACAUGUAUAGCUAAUUGUCAUGUAAAAAUCAUAUUCUAAAAGGAUAGGUAGUUUAUAUUGUAAGCCAAAUGGAUGAGUAGGAUAAAUUUUUUCCACAUGCGAGUUGAUAAAAAUGAUUGUAGGUAAUUUUCCUACAUGGUAGGCAGUUUAAAACCGUCCCAAAUAGCAAUACAUGUGCAACUAAUUAUCAUGUAAAAAUCAUAUUCUAUGGAUAGGUAGUUUAUAUUUAAAACCAAAUGGAUAGGUACGAUAAAAUUUAACAACUUAUGGCUGCUUGUUGUAUUUAGUUUCGAUUUGGAAGCUUUAUUGAUGAUACCAUAAUAAAUAUAUCUUCACAGAUUGGAUAAGCCAUAUGACAAGUAAGUACGUAAUGGAAAAAGAAGAAUAUGAGUAAAACUAAAAAGUCGAAGGCAUCAUUUUAUUACAUUGAUAAAAUUAAAUUAAAUAAAAAUAAAUAAAAAAAAGAUUCAAAUGGCAACACAUAUGUAUGUCAAAAUGGGGCGUUGCAAGUUUUCCCAUUAUGGCGUGUAGCAUCACCACACCUACUGCACUUGUUGGGGCAUGUUUCUUCCCAAAUAGAUUUUAGUCUUUCAAAUUUCGGUCUACCUGGUGCCUCUUUGUCAAUGAGGAUUCUAUCACAAAGUCCUAACUCAUGGAUUGUUCAUCAUUUUCAAUAUCAGGUACAUGAAUGAUGGGAUAGGAAUAAGAAGACAUAUAAAAAACUGUUGUGAAAUAAUCUUUGACAUAAUCAUAUGGGUUGCCUCCAUCUUUCAAAAUAGCUGCCAAAGCAUAUGUACACAAGAACCAUUUAAUCUACCACUGAUAACAAGAACAAGUAUGACUUUGUAAGUCCACCAUGACGGAAUACUCAUUUCUGACUUCGAAAAAAAUGUUCAGUUGAAUGACACACAUUCAAAUGUCAUCCAACUUCAACCAUUGUCAUCAUUUCAUCAUCCAUUGUUGGGCAUAUUGGUGAGGUCCAUCUUUUGGCAGCGCGUUGCCUAUCAUACUCAUCCCCAUCAACUUGACAUGUAUAUUAUCUCGAUCAUUUGGUAAGUUGGCAUCUUGCGUUCAUCCAAAGUCCAAGAAUUGAAGGAUUUUGCAAUAAUAGAGCACAUCUCACCAUUUUUCCCCCUGAAGUAGGCAUUGGACCAGUUUUCUUUGGGUGUGUUUUGCAAAAAUUUCUGAAUUAUUGUACCACCAUCCUUGAUGAGAGUUUUCAUUUCCUGAUUGAACACAAGUUGGGAUGGAGCAUAACUACAUUUUUCAAAUAGGUUAGCAAUGACUUCACUGUAACCAGAUCCCAUCUACUUUGGAUAUUUACUCUAUAUAUUCAAUGUCAAAUGAAACAUACAAAAUGCAUGUGAUGCUUCUGGAAAAACAGUGGAAACAGCUCCAAGUAAACCUCUGUUGCGGUCUGAUAUGAAUGUAACCGUAUGACCUUGGGGAAGCAAUAUUUCUAUGAAAUUUUCCAGAAUGGGUGUGAUAUCCACACACCCCAUUUUACUUCUCACACACCUUUUUAAUUUUCGGCUGUCAGAUCGGAUGAAUUGAAGAAGAUCAAUGGACAUAAAUUAUCAAGGGGUGUGUGAGAAGUAAAAUGGGGCGUGUGGAUAGCACACCCCUUUCCAUAAACCAUGUCCAGUUGCUUUAAUUUUUAGAGUCCGCAAUGCCAAAAGCUAGCGAGAAGAACCCUGAGCCAUGUGUUGGGGAAGAAAAACAUGUUAGAGAAAAAUUUGUUAACGAUGAAUACCUAAGAACAACUUAUAUAACAUAAACUACCCAGCAUUGUAGGAAAUUGAAUUUCCAUGUUAAUUUAUUUUCAUAUAAUACUAUUUGGGACAUAUUAAAGCACACAAUAUUUGAUACCCUCUAUUAAACGAGAGCAUGCUAGAACAAUUAAGGGAAUGGACACAACAUGUAUAAAGUCAUAAAACAAUACCUUCUUAUAUAUUACAAUUUAGGGCUCUAUUAAACUACCUAACAUAGAGAAAAAAAAUUAACAUAACCAAUUUUGUAAACAUGUAUGUGGUAAACAUUUAAACUACCUAUCCAUGUGGAAAAAAAAAUUAUUAACUUUCAUGAAGCGUAUAAUAUAAGUAGAUGUCAUACCUUGAUUACCAUUUUUCCAAUGGCUACUAACAAAUGACCUUUAUACUUGCACUACUAUAAAAUUAUCUAUAACUGGCGGUCCAAAAACCGACAAGAAACGUAUAUAACUGUCGGAUUUUAAGAAAAAUCCUACAAAAAAUGGAUGCAGUGACGGUUAUAAUAAGCGACAGAUUUGCCAGCGUCAGAAAAUGAAUUUUCCAACAGAAAAUACUCUAAAACCGACAAAAAUUGUGUCGGAUAUAACCGACAUGAUAUAUAUUUAUAAUAAAUAAAUAAGAGAAUUUCUAUUGGCUAAAACUGACAGGAAAUAAUAAAACCGCCAGAAACUCUGUCGGCUAUAACCGACAUAUCACAAUUUAACGGUUAUUUUAGCUUCGAUUUUGAUGAUUUUUUGUAGCUACACUCCUUGAUCCUAUAAGAAUGAAAUGAAUGAAUUCGAUUUUGAAUUUAAAAUAUUUACACUAGUGGAUAAAUCUUAUUUUAUACUUAAUGGAAGUAUAACAUUAACUCUUACGUGUUUGUUAAAUCUAUCAAUUUGAUAGGAUAUGCAUUCUACGAAACUAGUUUCAAUGAUCCAACCGUCAAAUAUGUUUGUAUAUACUCCGAGAUAGCAUGUGUAAAAAAUCGCAAAAAAAAAAAAAAUUAAAAAAUGUGUUUAUUCAUUUAUUUUUAAUCAAUAUAACAUUUUAAAAUAAUAAAAUUAGACAUGAUAGAGUACACUAGAUGUUCAUGUGUGUUUAUGUGCCAGACAAUGUGCUUUGUGACGCAUUGAAAAAAAUUGUUUAAAUUUCUUUGUAUCUUGUUGCUUGCCUGUGAGGGAGCAUAAUCCUUAUUACAAAAAUGAUAGAGCUUCAUAUUGUAGUUUGUUGUUAUUAUUCUCUCAUAAAAUUUAUGGCUCGUGAGAAUUAGGUUCAUUAGACUUUAGGAUCAUGAGUGAAAAAACAAAAUAUUUAAAAUAUGUGUUUAUUUAUUUAUUUUUAAUCAAUAUAACAUUUUAAAAUAAUAAAAUUUUCAUUUUUGUCGGUUAUAAUCGCCACCAUUAACUUAAAACCGCCAGAAUCUAUCAAAAAUAUUUUUUUUUAAAAAAGAUUAAAAAAUACUGUCGGUUAUAACCGACAAUAUUUUUUUGAUAUUCGAAACUAAAUAUCCGCUAGGAAUUUAUGUCGGAUAUAAUCGACAGGAUUUUUCUAAUAUCCACCACUAAUUAAAUGAUGUGUCGGAUAUAAUUUAUCUGACAAGAUUUUUCUAAUAUCUGCCACCAUCAUCCGCCACCUAAAGCUAAUAUUGUAGUAGUGUUGUUUUCUAUAAAAGUUCCAUCGAGGCACAAGAAAGGUCUGUAGAGUUAGAACCCUUCAAUACCAUUAUAUGAAAUGGAUAAACUCUCAAACCGACAUGAACUAUCAUUAUAUUCAAGUUGCACAUGGGAGCCUGGGGUUGGUUGCUAGCACUGCUUUUGCAUACCAUAAUAGUUGUCUGUAUGAUUUUGUAUCAUCACCAUGGACCUCCGUCUUUGCUAACUCUUUGUCAUAACAAGCAUUCUAGUAAGAAAUAGCUAUACCAUAGUUUUUCUUGAAAUGUCUAACAACAUCAAUUGGUCUCAAAAUUGGAUUGGUUUGAAUCUCGUCAGCAAGUCCCGAGGCCACAAUUUUGGAAUCCAUCUUGAUGUUUUUAUUUUUUUAUUAUUUUUAUUAUUUUAUUUAUUUUUUAUCACGAAACCUAGCUUUACAUGUAUGUUCAUUAUUUAGACUCUUAAUGUAGAAUAGCUAGGACGAUUCAAAAUGGCAUGCACGCACCAAACACAGCCCUCAUCAUAUUUAUCGAAGCAUUCAGCAGUAACACGCUCACUAUCAUUUUUGCAUAGACAUACCUGAAACCCUUUUCAACUGCAUACUUCAUCUAUCUUUGUCUGAACUAAUUGACACCGCCUGGAAAUUCUUGACCAACAUGGCUAAUGUAGUUUCUCCACUCAAGGGACAAAUAUGUCUUCCCAUAAGGAGUGGCAAACGUCCCAAAAUUUGCACAAUCAUCCGCGGAUUGUAUGCCUUCAUAUGUAAAAAUUUGUUGACCAUGUGGGGACUUAGAAAUAGGAUCAAGCCACUCAACUGGUUAAACCAUGGAAACACUAACAACAAUAGAUGCCAUGUUUUCAACAUAACAUGAAAACUUCACUACACUCACAUCCAUGUCAUAUUGCAGCAAACAAGAUUGGUGUUGUCAUAAAGAGUACGUCAACUUCAUGACUUCAGGACUUAAUCCCACAAAUCGAGAACAAAUUUGUUUAGUAAUGUGCUUGUACUUAGUACGGUUAAAUAUUGGAAUUAAAAGGGUCUUGCUCUCAAAAGUGCACUUCACAAUGAUAGCUCCCUCCAUGAUUAAACAAUUAUAAAACACAAAAAAAUGAAAAAAAAAAACAUUAAUGUAAUAGGUUGAAAAAGGCGAAUAUACGGGUUACUAAAACUUCGAGAGUAUAAAUUUCAAACAGGCAGAACAUCAAACAUCUUCUGUGCACAAACAAUAAUAAAGGAGAAUUACAAUCAUUAUAUACCUAACUUGAAAAUUAAAUAGCAUUCAAUUUACUAUGUUUUAGUCCUUUGAUAGACGGAGAAGGUUGAGCAUCGCUAAAAAAGAGAGGGAAAACACGAUCAUAAAAUUGUACUGGAGAAUAGGUCUCCUGAAAAAAAAAUCUACACAAAUCAAAACAAAGCAAUAGAAGAAGAUUAACAAAACUACUGAACAAUGAAUUUGAAUGAUGAAAAAAAUCUAAAACGUGGGAAAUAUAUGGAGAACGUGCAAAAGUUAUGGGAGGUUAAAAUAGUAACAACAAAGCAAAAAAUCAACCUAAUUAGAAAAAUUGCUGACAUGGAAUCUUAGUCAUUGGAGCUAAGUCAAAAGCAACUAAAAAUUGGACUAAUCCUAAUGUUGAGCUAUAAAAUUGGACCAGUUUCAAGUUUGUCCUUUUUUAUAGUAAAAUAUUCUAUACGGAAAAAGAUUGCCAAAAAAAAAGAAAAAAGAAAAAACUAAAGGUUAAAAAUGAAAGAAAAUAAUAAAGUUGUUGCAGUCCUAUUUGUUUAGGAGCGUGUUCGUGUAAAUCCUAUUAUAUCUAGGAUAUCCUUGUUAGAUUCUAUCAUAUCUCUUAGACUAGAUAUUAUACAAUUAGAGUUGUAAUCCUAUUGGGGUAAGGAAUUUACCUUCCCUACUACAAUAAAUAAAGGCACAAUGGGUGAGAUAACACACACCUCACAUUUACAUAUCUCUCUCUUUCUCUCUACUACUGCCGCACCCCCUCUCUCUGUCAUUUAUAAUGAUUUAGUAAAUUAGGCCUACAAUACGUUAUCAGCAUGCUCUUGAAGCUGGACUAAAAAGAGUUUGAUUUUCAAUCAAGGGAGUAUUACGUUUUUAUGUUUAACUUAUUAUUUUAUUGAAUUAAUCUACAUGAUAUUGAUUCAAUUUAAUUUUUCGCUGUUAAACCUGAUAUAACGCAUUGGAGAUGCAAUUCCGGCUUUCUGAGAAGGCUUUUCUACAAAUUCAAUGCCUCAAUUGUUUUCUACCAAUCAGGUACACUUCAAAUAAAGGAAGAUAUUUGAAACGACCAAGAAGCAUGAAAACAUUCCCUGAUGAUGCAUGAACCCCCUACAUUUAUUUUUUCCUUCUGAUAUAUAUAUUGUAUAAGUCCAUAUAUUUGUCAAUAUGUAUAUGUUCAUGCAUUUAUGCAAUUUUGCUAUGUGGAAUUUGUGAGUCAAAGAAUCAAAAGAAAUUAGAAGCAAUUAGGGUUUUUCAAACCCUAGAUUUCGAAAAAAAAGAAGGAGAAAGUAUGGGAAAAUCACAGCUCGAAGCCGCAUUGAGCCAAAUAUGGACGAUGUCGUUUCGAGGUCGGGACCAAAACUGUAGUAGCCCUUGCAUAUCACCAGGCCCGCAUGCCUAGGUUCUUCAUGAUUAGGCCUGCAGCCACAAUUUGUGCCCACCUUAUCAGAAGCCAGCCUUGCUGGGUUCUACUUCCUGGCCCAAAACUCGAAACCAGCACUACUGGGUUUCCUCCAUGCAAUGGCCCACCUGAAGCAAUCCAUGUGCUGGACUUUUGUUUUUUUCCCCAACUUGACCCAACCAGCAAGCAAACAUUUGCUUGCUGGGCUUAUAUCAUGCCAAAGUGAAGCCAGUGAAGCUGGGCUUCUCUCACGCCUUAGUCCAAAGCUAGUAGCUUAGCACUGUUGGGCUCUGCCUAUUCCCUUGGCCUGCUAAACCUGUAGCCACUUUGGUCUGUUUUGCAGCUCUGGCCUACCCUUGCAGCUUGCUGCAGGCAACCCCUCAAUAGCCAGCUAACACGUGUUGGGCUAUGGUUUUUUUUUUUUCGACCUGAUGCCAUAUUUUGGCAUCCCCCACUUCUUAACCAUACUAAAAUAUUUUGGGACAUUUUUGGUUAAACCAGUACUAGGCUAUAAUUUUAUUGUCGCUUGACCUGAAGCCAAUCAAAGCUAAUAUGACCCAAAUGUCAUUAUUUUGCUUCCAUGAUCGAUCUCGAAUGGUCCCGUUCUAUUGAAUUAAUUAAAAGUGACCCACAGUUCAUUAAUCUGACAAGAAAUCCAAAAUUAUUGGCCUAAAUCCCACUUUUGGCCAUUAAUGAUUCAAUCAUUUAUUUUUCUUCUUUGAACCGUUGACUCUCUUUCGGAGUCCCGAAGUGCUCACACUUGAGUUCCUAAAGCAACCUAAAUCCACUGCACUUAAGAUUGUACCUUUUAUUAUGUGUUCUUACAGGAACCUCCUUUUAUGAACCAGAAGUUCAUAACUAAAUUGAACAUGUAGUUUUAAAUUUAGUACCUUUGAAACCCGAAGUUUUCAUAAAACAAUACACCCAGGAAACCCCGAAUUUUACAUGUACACCAUGUCUUAGAACUCGAAUGUUCUAACUUUGAUGCUUAUGGAUGUUUUUUUUUCCCAUAGCACCAAUUACAAUCUUGUUCCCUCCAUUCGGUGGUUGUCGAACCAUCACAAAUUUGAUUUCACUGAUUUGGAUGGUUAUAACAGAAACCACUUAAUGUGGGUACAAGACAUGAAUCUUCACUUGACUAUCAAGAAGCUCAGAAACCAUUGAAGCCAACAAUGGCAUGAAAGAGCUUCAUAAGCCUUUACCAUGAUCUUCAUUCAAAGAUUCAUGCCCGAAGCAUAACAAACGGAAGCAUCUCCCUAACGAGGAUUCCAUGGCACUUUGGCUCGUUCUUACAAAUUGUUUAAUCAUGAAAGAUAUUGCCUGAAACACACCAUGAUUACGUCCUUGAAUGAGUAUGAUUCUGAAGUUUAUAAAAUUGAUGAAAUUUUUUAAUGGAGAAUACUUUUCUUGACCUUCCAUGUCUCUAAGUUGCUCUUGAAGUAACAGUGUAGAGAACAAAAAAUUACCAAAUUCUUGGAUCUAAUUACCACCAUAUUUGCUAAAGAAAGGUACCCCAGUGACUGACUAGGUGGUACCAAACGAUAUAGACUUAUCUUAGGCUAGAGUAUACUGAAUGGUGAUACCUAGUUUCAGCUGGGGCCCAUCGAAACGUAUGCUCCGCUUCGGUUGAUGCGUACUGAAUAGGCCCCUCCAACUUCAGCUAGAACCUUUCAAACCCAAGUCUGGGUAUGUCUGUCUCUCUCUCACCCACUUUAAGGUUUCUUUUUACUAUGUAUGGUAAAAUCAAGGCCUGCCAAGGUGUAGCAUCAUGCCCGAAGAGUGAUCCUUGGGACUUAAAACCGUUAACUUCAUGAAUAGGAAUAGUGUUCCAGAACCUCAACCUUGUAGAAUCUACUUUCGUUUUGAUGGAAGAGAUAAUUGGUUAUGCACUUGUUCGUACCCCUACCAAUGUCAUUAAGGAGUACCAUUUGAAGGGAAAUUGUGAGAUUUCAUGUGGGAUUUCUAGUGACUAGCAUGCAUAUACAAUUCAAAAUUUAUAUACGAAAGCAACGGAAGCAUGUUAUCAAAUAAUAUCAAAGCUAUAGUCAUGCAAAUCCUCUUCAAGAUGCAUAGGUUUAUGUAUGAUGCAUCAAAAACAAUUUAUUGAAGAACAAAGUGUAGGAGUAGUUUUAUACCUCUUGAUCUAGACUUUAGACCAAGGAUGGACCACCUCCAAGCCCUUUGUUGUUGGAACUUCUUGAGCCUAGCCUCCCUCCUUGCCUCCUCCACUUUGUUAGAAUGAGUGCUCCUUGGUUCUCCUUAAGUCUCCAAAGUUGAAGACCUCUAAAGAUCCUCACCGACUAGAGUAGUAAGAAGGAUGAAGGAAUAACCAAAAGGGUGAGAAGAUGAUUAGCUAAACCCCCCUUUGGUGGCCGGCCCUUUGAGUGUUGAGAGAGAUAUUUUCUUUUUCUCUUUUGUUGUUUUAACACUUCAAAAAACCCUAAUGAAACUUUUUGCUAUAAAGUUCCUUUUAUAACCAAAAAAAAACAAGUCAACAUUUGACUCUCUCUCUCCCUCCUUUGGCCGGCCCCUUUAGUGUUGUUUGGGCUUUGGGCUUUUAUUAUUUCAAGUCAUCAUAUGCUUGAAUAAAAGCCCAAUGGGUUUAGGCCCAAUGGGCCCAAUUAGACCCGAACUUUUCUUUAAGCCCAAAACGAUCUUUUAUCGCUUUUAUGAUUUCUUUAGACAUUCUAAUUAAUCACAACACUUAAUUAAUCCAAUUAAUUAUUUCCAUCAUCCAUUAGUUACUCACUCCAAGAGUGUAUUGGUGAACAAUCAUUUUAGGUUCUAAUUAGCAAGGCAGUAAGGUGAUUGGCACCAAUCCAAUUGAUUAUUUUUAAUCCAAUCACUUAGUGAAUUAAAACUUACUUUUAAUUCACCUUCUUCUUUGACGACUACAUUUAAUCAUCUAAAAGAACUCACAAGUCAUGAGUGACAUCUAACCAUAUAUCAUGGCUACCCAAGUUAAUGUAGAAUUUGUUCGGAGAACCUAUUCAGUUGGAAUUACAAUGUAAUUCAAUCCUUCUCUAAAACAAUACUCUCAAUCACAUUACUAGGGUAUGGAUAUAUUAUGUCAAACCCCUAAUGUGAUUAUUCCUUCUUAUAUGAUUCAUUUGAGUCGUAUAGGAACGCUUUCCUUUAUUACGCUCGAUACUUCGGCCGAAGAUUCCCGAAUCAUAUCUUAGAGUAUUCAUCCUCUCUUAACGAGGAUUAGAGAUUCCUUGUUGCGCAUUCACUUGCCUCCAUGACUAAGUGGCUUAACCCCAACUAUGCCGUGGACACCCGCGGAUGGAGUGACUUUGACAUAAUCAAAGAUCAAGUACCUAACCACAAGACAACUAUGAUGCCUCAGGUCAAAGGACUACUUACAUUAUUCCAACCAUUAGAGUUACUUGCUUGACAUGUGAGUAGACCUCCAUGCAAGUACUCUCGUUCGAUUGUGUUCAGUGAACUCAUUCCCUUAAUGAGCACCUACAUACCUGUCUUAGUGUCACUACACGAAUGGGACGAGACUUUCCAUCCUUCCAAUUGAAGCGGACAUAGUAUGUACCGGUCUAUGCAUUGUCAGUAUCCCUCCGACAAUCAUAUGACCAAGAACCUUUUGGACAUGAUGGUUAUGUGAAGAAGGUCUAUGUAGUCUAACAUCAUUAGAUUACUUCUUCCAUCAAUCCAUUGUCCAUGGAUUCACUAUUUAGGACAUAUAUCGUGUGUUGAGAUAGUCCUAAUUAGUAUCUUUGCCAUUUGAUGUACAAGAAUCAUCUAUACAUCCAUUCAUUGUCCUGAAAGGUUUCUUCCAAAGAUUGACUUUCAGGGCAUAUUCCAACACCAUUCUCAUAGUCAAUAUGUGAGACUAAUUUUUCUCCACAUAACACUGUUUAAAUAGCAGAAUUUUGACAUGGAUGGCCAUGUUGGCCGAAUCCCCUUAGUAAAUUUGGUUUACUUUGUGAACAUUUUUCUAUGUUCUUGGAUUCAAGUUUGGUGUUUCUUUUAGUUAUGGAUACUGUUAUCGAUAUUUUCCUCGAAUAUGAGUUAAUUGAAUCAUGUUUCUUAAAACAUGUGACCAAAUUCAAUUAAACACGUAAUUAGGUACAAAUGUGGGAAAAUUAGUUGUCUGGAUGAAUACGAUACUAUGCACACCAACUUUAUACCUAAAUCACAUCUCUAGCAAUGACUUUGUAAUUUAACUGCAACAAAUCUCGAAUUAAAAUACUAGACGCAUUGUCAUAAACAUGCAACAAUAUAAUUGUUUUGUAUUCCAAAUAAUUUAUUCACAAAACGUUAUUACAAAAAGUGUGACUUUCAUACUCAUUUGCUCUUCUUGGUCAACCAAAAUUGUAUUAGUUUGAUUCGUGAUUUUAAAAUAUGGGGAAUGUUUAGCCCAUUAAUAUGUGGCCAAUCGUUUGGUCCUUCCAUGGCCUCUAGAAGUGUUUGGUGCGAAGUUGAACAAAUGAUCGCAACCUAAUUAAGAGCAUUGGCAUACUCCUUGUUGUAUGAAUGGUAUUAACUUACCAUUUACAGUGGAAUAUCUUUGCACCACCUCCAAAAUACAAAGCCUGAAACUAUGUUUUAGGGCCAAUGGGCUACCUCCCAACUGGGAUAUGCCACAUGUGGCUAGCCUAAAGCAUGGUGAUUGACUACUUUAAUUGCUUUGGCAUGACCAUUUGGGACACUUAAGUUGAACAAUGAUUCCAUGCCAUACUUCUUUACCCAAAGUAAGGAUCUUGUGCUUACAAGCACACUUUGCCAAGCUCGCUCAUUUGGGAAAUUGAUUUUCUAUAUCAUCCCUAACAAAGAUACGAAAGCACCCUCUUUUCACAGUGGAUUCAAAGGAAUAUACGUGUACUAAUCCAACCAACAUGCGAAUCAUAUAAAUACUUAGUGUUUUGGUUGGUGUAUCGACAAAAUGGUCACAUGUUUGUCCACACACAUUGCUUCUAAACCUCCUGGCUAAUUUUAAGGGUUCACUUCCUUAAUUAUCCCAUAAAGUCUAGAAGACUGGAUAAUGCCGGAGAGUUUAAAUCAAAGGUUUUUGCUAAAGUAUUGCAUUUAUUUUGGGUUUAUAAUUGGACAUCAAAUUCUCAUCUUCACCCCAAAACAGCCUCGCAGAGUGAUUAUAAAGUGCAAUUUAAAUGAUUGCCCAGACUUGGGUGAACGCACUAAGCUUUCAGUUUCUACCUAAUGUUAUGCAAUCUUGUAUGCAGCUAUGUUGGUCUGCCUUGAGGCCCAUUGCCACCCAACCUAUUUGAUGUUCUAGUUGGUUACUGGGUACUAAGCUGAUGUUUCAUACUUAUGUAUUUGGGUGUGCAUUCCAUGUGUCAGGUUGUGCUGCUGUAACGUACCAAUAUGGUUCCUCAAAGAAGGAUGUCAAUCUUUGUUGAUCAUGAUUCUCUUUCACACUAGCUCUUUAGAGGCCUUAAGUGACCUCUUUACAACUCAUUUUGCGGAUUGUCACUUCAAGGAGACAACCUUCCUGAAUUUGUGUGGACGGUACCCAUUUUGUCUUAUCUCGAUCCCCAUACCACACAAGUGUGAUAAGAAAGUGCAAUGUAUUCUAGCUUUCAGAAUGUUGCUCUAGACGCAUUCCUUUGAUCUAGCUAAAGUGACGAGAUCAUAUACCAGCUACAAACAUGCCUGCAAGGACAGACAUACUUAACGGAUAUCAAGUCAACAUCCCCAAAGAAUGUGCCGCCCUUUACAGUUUAGCCGCCCAAGUUGGAAGACCCUGUACACCGGCAAAUAGCCAAUUAAUAUAUCUUGACCCGAAGCAUGAUAGAUCACUCAGUUUAUAGGAUCACUUCCCUAGAAGAGGAAGGUCACGACACAAAAUGAAUCUAUACUCGAUCACUGUCUUAAAUCAUUUCCGUCUCAUGAGAUUAAUUUGGAUUACCCUCGAGACUUGAAGUUCAUGGUCCAAUAUACUAGUUUGGAUGAUGUAUGAAAUUGGAAGAUUAUCAUCGAUGAUGUGAUUGAUGACAUAAGGUUUAUCUUAAACGCUCUGUGAUUGACUGUAGCAAUAUGAAAUGUGGUUGGUGUUUCUCCAUGGAGAUAUUGAUAUGGAGAUUUACAUGUAAGUUCCCAAAGAAUUACAUGAACUAGUUCAAAUAGUUCCAAACCAUGGAACACUCUCUCAACUUUUUUGAGGCGUUCACUUACGGAUUAAAACAAUCCAGCAGAUGUGGUAUACUUGUCUAAGUGAUUAUUUGAUCAAUCGGUUACCCUUGUGUGUUAAAGUAAGAAGUCAUAUUCAAAAUUGCUAGAGUUACAGUUUAUGUCGAUGACAUUCAUCUCACUAAGACUCUGGAAGAGCUUGAGAAAAUUGUCUCGCACUUGAAGACAGAAAUAGAGAUGAUGGAUCUUGGGGAAACUUGUUUAUGUCUGAAGUUCAAGUAUUGAUUUGAUGGUACUUUGGUCUACCAGUCGAACUACACCCCGAAAGUGUUACCUUUGAGUCCACCUAAUAUCUUCCAUAGGCUAUAUGCCAAUGAGACCCUUAAGAGGUUAUGGAAUCUGAAGUUCUAUAUAUGAGUUCAACUUUGCGCUUUGUUGUACUUAGCUCAUUGCCUUAUACAGGACAUCUCAUUCGCUUUUAAUCUAUUGGUUAAGAUGUAGCACCGCGCCUACACGCAACCACUUAAUUAGUAUUAAAGACAUUUUUCCACUACCUUGAAGGUAUGUGUGGGCUUAUCCCAACACAUAUCGAGCGGAUCUAACCGUUUUGAUCCUUAGAAUGAUGCUUGCCUUGUUUGUUAUGCUCACGCUGGUUACUUAUCACACUCGCACAAGGUAUGUCCUCAAAUUGUUAUGUCUUUACCGUUAGGGAUAUCACAAUAUCUUGAAGGUCCACGAUAGACCUUAGUUGUGAAAUCUUCGAAUCGUUUCAAGAUCAUCGCACUUCACGAUGCCACAUGUGAGACAUGGUUGAGAGUUUUUGUUGAGCACAUGCAAAUUACUUGUUGUUUUCAUCCAUCAUUGAGUCCUUACAACAAUCCAUGAAGACUAUGCCACAUGUAUACACUUGACCAAGACAUGAUACAUCAACAAAGUCAAUGCCAAGACAUAUUGUGUCUACAUCACAUCAGUAAAGUAUCAGGAGAUUGAAGUCAUGCAAGCUGAUCCCAGACAACUUUGCCGAUCUUUGCACGACGUCACUACUGAAGUCAACUCCAGAAACUUGUUCGAGGAAUUGGUAUGUGACAUGCUCGACCCCAAUAUUCUCAAAACACCCGAGUAGACACGUGCAGGCCGACACCCAAGGGUGACGAAACCAUAUUCACAUGCAUGUAAAAAUAUGAAGAAAGAACGAACGUAAAUUUAACUAUAAUGAAUAUGCAAACGUGGGAACAUGUUUAGAAUACAACUAAUCAAGAAUACUGUAGAAGGAAUAUAAUGAAAAGGUACGAACAAAGGAAUGCGUCCUAAACAGAGAGGACUGGAAGAUAUCGAUGCGGAAGUGCCCUGACACCGGGAUUGUACGCCUCGAUUCUAAGUCCUAAAGAGGGUGCAAAACAAAGCAUGAGUGGACCAAGUUUAUAUAUAAGUAAUACUAAAACAAUUACUCUUCAAACGUACUAACCCCCAGUUUUAGAAAACCUCGUAAAGCUAAUAAGUAGUAGGUUUUCCAAAAAUCCUAGCAUGCCAUAAAACAUUCAUAAAACAUAUAUCAUAUAUAGUGUACUUAGUAGUGGUAUCAUAAUCGCCCGAAGACAUUACAUCGCCUGCCUGAAGCUGCUCGAAGGCCCUACAUCGCCCACCUGAAGGCAUAUAUAAAUCAUUUGCCCGUAGGCACAUAGUAUGAAUAACCACUAAGUAAGCACAUAAAAUCAUAAACAUAAUCUUUCCAAAAUGUAUCUCAUCGAAGCUCAAUAGCUCAAACAUCAUAUCAUAAAUCCAUAGGAGCAUUCUAUCUCAAAUCAUCAUCAAAAACCAUGUUCAUAAGUAAAUAUAAUCAUAAAUAUUUCAAAGAACGUAAAUUCAAUAAAGCAUGAUAUUUCAUAAAGCAUAAAUCCAAUAACUCAUAAACGUUUCAUAAAACAUAGUAAUAAAAUCAUGUUUUUCAUUUAUGCAUUUCUAGUAAUAAAAUCAUGCAUUUUGGAAAGGUUCCACUCACAGAUACUCCAACACUGAAGAGCCGCUUAAACUACAGAGGACGAGGUCAUCACUAACAAACGCAUCUAAGCACAUAAAGGGAACAAUUAGUAAAAUCCUACUAAAACAAUUGAAUUUGGGAAAACGAAGCGCGAAUUUGGAAUAAGGGUGUUGAAAUACCCUAAGAGGGGUCCUGGGGAAAUUUUGUAAAAGUCAACGAAAAGCAAACAGGAACAUCUAGGGAAUAUUCCAUUAUUCCUUAACAGAAUAUUCCCAAACGGAAUAUUCCAUCGGGUUCGGGUCGAGUCGAAUCCAGGUUAGAUCUAGGUCGGGUCGGAUUCAGGUUCGGUUGGACAACGAGUCGGGUCAAGUUGUUAGUCUGGGUCGAGUUGCUGGCUUAGGCCUGGUUGCUAGGUUUUGGAUCUGGUUUUUGGGUUGUUGGUCAGGUCGAAACGGUUUUAGGCUGUGGGUUGGCCGGAAUCUGGGCGGGGUUCUAAAGCUCCGUUCGAGCUCAUUUCUUCACCAUUUUCGAAGUUCUAGCUAUGGUACCAAUUUAGAGUUGUGUUGUGGCUGGAGUUGGCCGGAAAACGACCUACAAGUCACGGCAUCCCUCAUCGGAAAAUGGGUUAGUUAACCUAAGCUCUUUCUGUGCCCAACAUGUGAAAACAACUUAAAGCCUACCUUAAUCUAACCUUAAAGCAUAAGCCAGACGGUUUAAAGGACCUACUUACGUCGGGGGUGGCGAGAAAUCACCAUGGGUUUGUCGGGAAGAAGGUGACAGUGGCCUCUGCCACUAUCGAGUUUCCAGGACCUUAGUCUGGGUCUAAGAUGACGACGUUCAGGUGGUGGUGAUGGUGGUUCACCGGUGUUGUUUGUUUGUUCGUGUGGGUCAGUGCCUCGAAAAGGAGAGGAUAAUGCAGAGGUGAGAGGGAAAGCUAAGUGAAAAUAGAGAAAAGUGAGGGGGAGAGAUAAGAUAUAGCUAAGGGAAAAGUUACGGGGAGAGGGCAGAAAGAGAAAAGGCCAAUAGACCAAAACGAAGGGGUGUGCCCCACUAGCACACCAAACAAGCCCAAAAAGGACCAACAUGAAAAAUAUCUCCCACACAUGAAAUUACCGAUUUACCCUCGUUUCGAAAUUCGUAAAAUUUGGGAUGCGUCGUUACAAUCUAUCCCCGUUAAGAAAAUUGUGUCCCUGAAAUUGAAAUAACUUGCUAUAGAUAAAUACUCGAAGAUAGGAAGAAGAAUAUAGAAAAAAGUAAUCAAGUCAGAGCGGUUGCAUAAAAGAGAAUGUCACUCUGUCGCGAUCGGAUUGCAAUGAUUCCUCUUUCAUGCUUCCAAGCUCAUACUUUCUUCCCCCAUCAGUAUAAUAGUAGUAUUAUAACUAUAUAAAAAUAUAAAGUCAAAAAUAUAUAAUAACAUAAGGUCAAAAAUAUGUAUGCAUAAUAAGAUAACGUCAAAAUAGAUAUGUAUAAACAUCAAGGUUCUAAAAAUCGCUAGGCGCUAGUCGGGCGGUGGGCAUGGGUCUAGCGCCUAGGAGGCUAGGUGGGGCCUAGGCGGCCUAGGUGGAUUUAUGUAAAUUUAUUAGGCUUUUUUUAUUAGCACCCCACAUAUUGUUGAAUGCACCCCACAAAAAAUUCAAUAUUAAAUUACUUAUUUAUUCUACUAUGCAAUGACAAUUUCGACCUUAUUAAAUUUAAAAAAAAAAAAAGAAAUUUCCAAAUACACCCCACAUCACUUUUAACAUAUUAUUUAUCUUCUUCAAUUAUCAAAAUCCUCACACCCUCCAUUGUUGAACAAAAUCCUAACUAAUGAAAUUACAAACACAUUGAUUGAGAAAACCCUAACUAAUGAAUAUGCCAAUGCUAUUCAUCACUAUGACUGCAAGAAAUUAUUUUCUCUCCAACCACACAUUUUAUCACAUCCCGACAUUUACUAUGUCGAAAAACUUCAGAACUUAUGCCUUUGAACCAGCUCUGUGAAUUGCAAUGCCAACAGCUUGAAACUUUCAAUAAUUCUUUUUAUUUUUUUUAUUUCUUUUGUUAUAGAAAAGUUACAUAAGAUCUUGAGUUUGGAUAAUUCUUGAGUUUGGAAGUGACAUAAGAUUUUCCAAUCUGCACAAAGAUCAAAAAAUUUAAGACAAGUGUUAGCGUCUAAAACGGUUAAUGAUAAUAUGCUCUCAAGCUGGAAAUGAAAAACAAGUCAAUCACAGAAGUAAUUAGCCUAGGAACAGCAAGGUAUCUAGAUUCAAUCCAUUAAAAUUGAAAAUGAGUAUUAUAAAAUUUGAAGAAAUUGGGCUGUAUAUAGAAAUAUAAUGUGUGUUUUGAGAAUGUGGGGUGUGUGAAGGUAUUAUAGAGAGGUAUGUGGGGGUGUAUAAAGAUAAUUUUAAUUGAAAAAGUAAAUGUGGGGUGUAUUAAGUAUGUGGGGUUUAUUCAACAAUUUGUGUUAAUAUAAUAAGUGAUUUAUUAUAGGGGUGUGAUAUCCACACACCCCAUUUUACUUCUCACACACCUUUUUAAUUUUUGGUCGUUGGAUCGGAUGAAUUGAAGAAGAUCAACGGCAUAAAUUAUCAAGGGGUGUUUGAGAAGUAAAAUGGGGUAUGUGGAUAGCACACCCCUUAUUAUAUAUCUUGUAAAUAAGUGCCUAUUUACACCUAAAACAAAACUAUACUUGUGAUAGCCCGUCCCGGAUGUAUAUAUUAUUUAUCCUCGAGAGCAUGGGAAUUUCUAUUAUACCCUUGUUAUUAUUGAGUUGUGUGUGUCUGUAUUAACUAAGGGUUUGGACCAAUAGGUUCUAUCCCUUAUUAUUUGGACCUAAAUUAGAACUAAAGACUUAAGAUUUUGGUUGGUUGACUGCAAACUGGACCACACACACAUACCCUUCCUUUAUCCCGUUGACUCUCUCUCUCUCUUCCCUCUCGCAUUUUCUUCCAUGUCCAUACAAUUGUACGGACAAACCUUGAACCCUCCAUUUCACGCACGGAUCGAGCUCGUGGUUAGCAACAUCAUCUUCCUCUCAUCGUCACGCACUCAUCUAUACCAUUUUUAGAACGUGAAGACCUCAUUUUCCCGAGAACCCAGUUUUGGGUCACUGUUCAUGCACUCAUGUUAUUGAAGUUUUUAAGAGAUUUAAAGCUACUAGUGAGCUUUAGGACAUCUUCACGAAGCUCGGAGAAGAAAACCGAAGUGAAUUGGACGUCGGGAAGUCGAGUUUGGUGAGUUUCAAGUUUGGCCGGAUCAAGGUUCCUCCGGCGAAAUCCCGUGGAUUUCAAGGCUUGAAAGUGGUAAGGUUUGUUCCUCUCGUCCUAAGCUUCAUUUUGGUAAAAAUUUCAUGAAAUUUGGUUGAGAAAUGAGCGGGAAAUGACGAUUUGAAGUUUUCCAAUUUUCCGGCGAAAACGUUGGUCACCGAAGUUCGAAGGUUGAAGAACACGGAAUAUUCUGACGGCGUCAGGUUAGUUUUAAUGGAAUAUGCUGCCUUUUGACGGAAUAUUCCCUAACGCCAUUAAAGAUUCUGUUAGGUGUGCCAGGCACAUGGCCGCGCGUGGGGGCGAGUCUGGCCGUGCCCUUGCCGGAGCGUGGGGCAUCGGAAAAUUUUUCUAAAAAUAUGGGGGUGUUCCUGAGGUUGAGUAGGUCAUGGUGGUAUAUUCAAAUGCCCCAUUUGAGCAUUGUAUGAGAAGUUAAUUCCUAGUUUUGGGUAUGUGUUUUAAAUAACGUUUUAUUCAGUUAUUUCGUAUAUAGGUGAGACCUAUCCUGAGGACGAGCACCAUCAAUCGAGGCUCGGAGGCUACAUGUUGGAAAUGUGCCCUAAAACCAAUCAUAUGAUGAUACUUUACGGACAUUUCACAAGUUAAACUAAUGUAGUUUAAAUAUAAAGGGCAAAAGGUUAUUGUUUGAGUCGUCUCAUAUACAUGUUAUAUGCUUAAACGAUAAGUCCAAGGAAUAUGUGAUUGGGAGAAUGCAAUCUAAAGAAGUUAGAUUCAUGAGACCAUUAUUUCGUAUACGUUGGAAGUAUGCCCACAAAGCCACUCAUUUGAUGUAAUAGCUUUUGGAAUACUUAUUGUAUUAAACUUUUAUAUGUUUAAUGAAGGGCAAAGCUUAUUGUUAAUCACUAUUUAUUGUAUCAUGUGUUUAAGCAAUAAGGGAAUCCAAGGAAUGUAUUUGUUCUAAGAGAUAAGUGAUCUAAUGAGUUAGAUUAUCGAGACCUUUCUCUUAUGUUCAUUCCUAAAACGUUCCUAGCCAUAGGAUUGCCAAUUGGGCAUUGACAAUCCGCUAAGGUUAGUAUGUGUUAUGUUGACUCAAACGUGAGUAUGAACUAGUCUCAAGUCAUUUGGUGUUGGACACUGAGACAAACACAUAGGUGCUCGAAAAGGUAAUCGAGUACACUGAACGUCGAUCAAAAGAGAGUUCGAACAUACAUGUCAUGUAUGAACUCUAAAGUUGCAAUAUGCAAAGUAGUCCUUUGACCUGAGGCAUCAUAGAUGUCUAAUGGUUAGGUCCUUGAUCUUUGAUCAUGUCAACGGCAUUCCUUCGGAUUGUCCACGGACAUUGUUGGGGUCAAGCUAUCUAGUCAUGUAGGCAUAUGAAUGCACAACAAGGGAUCUCUAACCUUCCAUGGUGGAAGGAGAAUACUCUAAGAUAUGAUUCUAAAGUCUUUGGCCAAAGCAUAUGAAUAUGACUUAGGAAGUUUGUUCCAAAUCAUAUUCAAAGGAAUCAUAUAGGAAAGUAUCACAUUGGAUAGUAGACAUGAAACAAACUAUCACUUAAACAAUGUGAUUAAGAGUAUUGUAUUAGAGAAGGACCGUAUUGCAUUGUAGUUGUAACUGGAUAGGUUCUCCAACCAAUUCUACUUAGCUUGGGUAACCAUGAUAUGCUGCUAGGUGUCACUCAUGGUUUGUGGAAGCCCUGAAGAUUAGCAAACACUAAUCUUAAGGGAGAAUUGAAAUGUGGUUUCAAUUCACAAUCGAUCGUUAAGAGUAACAUCGCCCACUGCCUCGCUAAUUGGAACCUAAUGGAUCGCACACCCACAUAAGGAUGUUAGUGAAGAAAUUAUAGGAAAUGGAUAAGCAAUUAAAUGGUUUAAUUGAAGAAUGGUCAAGAUUAAUUAAUUAGUUAAUUAAUUAUACGAAAGGUUCGUAUUGGGCUUUUAUAUGUUGGUUUUGGGUUUCGGGGCCCAAAAGUGUUUUGGUCCACAAGGCCCAUUAUGUUUAAGUUGUAUGACAACUAAAACAAAAUGGGCAAAUUUAGCCCAAUAACAAGGAGAGGCCGGCCAUUAGGGUGAAUGGGCAAAGCUUGCUUAAUUACAAGUUUGCCACUCACCAAAGAAAAUGUUAUAAAAGCAACUUUAUAGCAAUUUUUCUCAUUGAGGGUUUUCUUAAUAGAAAUUGGGUGAAACAUUUUCUCUCAUUUUCUACAUAGAGGCAGGCCACUUAGAGGAUUUUUACUAGCAUCUAAAAUCUCUCUUAAGUCAUCCAUAUCAUCUUCACAAUAUACAACCUUGGUGAAGAGACUUAGAGACAUCAAGCUUUUGAUGUUUUUGGAGAACAAAUCCUUUUUCCUCUAAUCAUCAAAGGAGCACUAAAGGGAGGAAAACACAAGGAGGAUUCAAGGAGCUUGGAGGUGACUUGAAGGCCCUCCACUUGGGUGAAUCCCUUGUGUAAACAAGGAUGAGCUUCAAGGGUAAAGAAUCACUUAAAUCUUUACUUCUCUUUAAUGUUGUUAAAGAGUUUUUAUUUUGGUUCACCAUAUACUAGGCUUUGAAAGUCAUGGGUUUUAUGAAUUGUUUUUGGAUGCAUGCCUACUUUAAAGUGUUAAUAGCUUGCAUGUGUAUUCAAAUGUUCAUACUUGUUCUUAGCUAGGACAAAAUUUUUCCUUCAAGUGGUAUCAGAGCCUAGGCCUAGUGUAUGGUGAAUCCUUUUGGGUUUUGUGAUGUUCAUAUUUUGUGAUUUAAAUGUUGUAAAUGUUACAAGCUUUGUUCUUGCUUUUGAAUAUAUAAAUUUUGCUAGAAAAUUUAGCAUCUCAAAUGUUGUAGAUGUAUUUCAUUCAAGCAUGAAUAUUGGAACUAAAAUUUGGUGCCAUGUGUUUUGGGAAAUUCGGCCAAAUCCUUAGGGUGACUUUUUGGGUUCAUGUUUGUCUUGUUAAAAUGGUUUUAAGGUGAUUUUUGGAACCCCUAAGUACCCUAGGAUAUUAGCCCUCUUUUGAGUGGUGAAAAAUUGAGUUUUGGUGAAUGAAAACAUCCAUGGAGCUAUUAUGAGUUUUCAUGGUGUUCUUCAAAUGUUCUUGAAGUUCUUGCCAAGAACAAAAAGGUUUGAAGUUUUGAUUCUAAAUUUUUAUGUUUUUCAUAAAGUUUUGGUAUAUAAUUGAUUUAUUAUUUGAUGGGUGAUGUUAUUGGUGAGAUGUGAUGAAAUGGUUUUAAUGUUUGUCAUAAACUUUAAGUUUUUCUUACAAACCAUCACCUUCACCUUUAACCUCACCUAAUAAAAUCAACUUGCAAAAACUUUUUAGAAAUUUUUCAAUUUUUCAUUAAAUGGCUGGCCACCCCUAGUGGGGGUCCUUUUGGGGCCUUUUGUGCAAUUAACAUAAAGUUUUGAUACUUUUGUGUUUUUGCAUUUUGGCCCAAAAGUUUACGUUUUUACGUUUAGGCUUAAAAACUCUAAAGGACAAAUUGUUUUGAUCCUUUAAUGAUGUUUUUUACAUUAUUAAAAUUUUGGGAUCUAGUUGUAAUUUACAUGAAGUUGUGGACUAUUGUGUUUAUACAAAGUGACCCCAAAAGUUUUUGUAUUUGCAUUAUGGCCCAAUUGUUGUGGUCAUAGUUUCCUUUUGGCCCAAAUAAAAUGAGAACAAAAUUGUUUUGUCUCUUUAAUGAGAAUUGGAUUUUCAUUUCAUUUAGUUCCAUUUAAAUCAAUUCUAUGGAUCCAAAAACCAAUUGUUUAAAGUUGUUUUCUUAGUUAAUAUGAUUGAUUAAGAAAAGGGUGAUUAUGAACCAAAGGCCACGAUAAUUGAGCUAUGUGAUUGGCCGAUAUACAUUAUGAAUGUUUGGGUUUAGUAGUGUAGAUUUGAAUGUAAUUUGAUUAAUUCAAUUUGUUGUAAAUGGACAUAAGUCCAUCAUUUGAUUUGUGUUGUAAAAGGGCAUAAGCCCUUACUAUUAUUAUUUCAUGUAUUCCUUUUGUUUAAUUGUAUGCAAAUGGAAUAGUUGGGUCCAACGCCCAAUAGGAAAUAACGGUUUAAUUGGAUUAAACGCGUAACUAAAAUCAACAACUAUCUACCUUAAACCCAAGGUCCAACACAAGGCUCGUGUUGGAUCAAAUCAAUCGGUUCAUAAUCAUCCUAAAACCUAAUAUGACUAUAUAGUCCAUAUGAGGAUGCAAUGCAUUCGUUAGUAGUUCCAUAUAGUCUCGCUUGUUUCAACGAAACAGUGGGAGUAUUAUAUGCUACUAAAUCAUAUUAACUUGGACCAAUGGUUGUGAUAGGCCCAAGUUCUUUUAAUGUGAUUAAAAUGUUUUGAUGUAGCCCAAAACAACUCCCUCAAAUCAAAUAUUAAGUUGAUAAGCGAGAGAUGUUUUGAACAUCUCUUCGUAGGCCUUCCACCGUGGUGGGUUCCAAGCGUUUGUGACUCAUGCACCGGCUUCACCCUAUCAUGGGGAAGUACAAAGCAUGUGCUUACAUCCAGGAGGAAUCCAUAAUACAUAUGAUGAGGUGAGUGUAGGCAACGAGGAUAGCCGACAUCGUAUCAUCGUGAGGCUAUUCUUGAACCCCUAUACAAACUAAGCAUGGUGGGAAUAACUUAACUAAGUGCAAUGGAAGCCGACAUCGUAUCAUCGUGAGGCAACAUUCUCUAGAGGCCAAACGGAUGGGUAAUUACAAAACGUUGUAAAUGAAUAAUGCGUUAUUCUCUCAUCAUUAUUUUUGCUAAGCCAACAUCGUAUCAUCGUGAGGUGGGCUUGGUAAUGGUGAGUCUCCCAUAACCCGCUAAGAGUUCAAUAUAACUCUCGAAUUCUAUUGAGGGAUGUGGAAUUUGCCAAAAAUAGUGGGUGGUACUAUUUGAUUCAAAGACCCAAUCAAAUAGUUUUUAAACAAACAAUCUAAUACGAUUUCUGUUAUGUUAUGUAGUGAACGACAUGCCUAAAAUUAUACCCACCAUUAUACUUGACAAAAGGGGCCUUAAGGGCCAACGUUUCCUUGCUUGGUAUCGCCACAUUGAGAAUGUCUCAAAGGUGAAAGACAUAUUGUAUGUGCUUAAGCAAUCCCCUCCUCAUGUACCUCCUACGAAAUUAGCUUCAAAGGAGGAGUGUCAAAAUUAUGUUAGACACUAUGAGGAUGACUUACAAGCCAAAUGCUUAAUCCUUACUUCACUUAGUGAGGAGCUUAUGAAGCUACAUAAGCACAUGGACACUUCUUGUGCCAUGGUUGAAAGUUUGCAUAAGAUGCAUGACAUUGAGACUAGUAAUGUACGAUUCUCAAAUGUUUGUAGUCUAAUGAAUGCCAAAAUGGCAAAGGGGGCAUCGGUUCAUAAACAUGGACAAAAGGUGGAAAAGAUAUUUAGAAAUCUUAAAAGUUUAGGAACUUCCAUCGAUGGGAAAAUGGCCCAAGAUUUUUUCCUUGCAUCUCUCUCGGAUGAUUUCACUAAGUUUAUUGUAAACUAUAAAAAGUGAAUAGAUUCGAUCAUUCUUUGAAAAAGAGAUGAUUGACAUGUGCUGUAAAUUUGAAAAAGGUUUCAAAAAGGACAGUGGGAGUGAGAAUGCAAUGAUAAGGAAAAGGUUGCAUAAGAAGAAGGCAAAAGAAAUCCAAAGGAACAUGCUUUCAUUGUGGAAAGGAUGAACGUUGGAAGAAGAAAUACAGGGUGCGCAUUGCGAGCCUUAUGACACGAACUUUUGAAGAGACUAUUUCUGUCAUAGAGAGUUCUUUUACAGUGAGCUCCAAGUUCCUGGAUAUUUGAUUCAGGCGCUAGUCAACAUAUCUGUAAUACGAUGCAGGGACUAGUGGGGAGCAAGCCACUGAGCAAUGGGGAGAUGGUUGUGCGAGUUGGGAACGGCACUAAAAUCUCUGCAAAAGCAAUAGGCACCUACAUGCUUAACCUACCCUCUGGGGAAGUCCUGGAACUUAAAAAUUGUUUAUAUUUUCCUUCAUGUAUAAAGAAUUUGAUUUCCAUCUCUAAGCUUUUACGAGAUGGGCACUCAGUAUUGUUUGACAAAAUGAGUUGCACUUUAUACUUGAACGGUCGUAUUAUCUCUCAUGGUAAUAUGAUAGAGGGACUUUUUCACCUAGAGACGAAUAGUGGGUUGCACUGUAUUGAAAGCAGGAAUACCUCAAAACCCAAAAGGGCUAGAGAAGAAGUUAACCAAGAAAAGAUGUGGCAUCUUAAACUUGGACAUGUGAACCUUGAUAAGAUUCGCAAGAUGUCGAAAGACGGAUACAUCCACCCAUUAGGUAAUGACCGGAUGGGUACUUGUGAAUGUUGCUUGAAAGGGAAAAUGACCAAAUCUCCAUUUACUGGAAAAGGAGAGCGUGCCACUGAAAUUCUAGGGUUAAUCCACACUGACGUAUGUGGACCUAUGUCUACUACGUCGAGAGGAGGCUUCUCCUACUAUAUCACAUUCACCGACGAUCACUCUCGGUUUGGCUAUGUGUAUCUUAUGAAGUACAAGUCAGAAUCCUUUGAAAGGUUCAAAGAAUUCAAGAAUGAAGUUGAGAAGCAAACUGGGAAACAGAUAAAGAUCCUAAGAUCGGAUCGAGGGGGUGAAUAUCUGAGUAACGAGUUCCUAGAUUAUCUCAAAGAGUGUGGAAUAAUAUCACAGUGGACUCCACCGGGAACUCCACAACUCAAUGGAGUUUCUGAAAGGAGAAAUCGAACCUUGAUGAACAUGGUUCGUUCUAUGAUGAGUUCUGCUGAUCUACCAGUAACAUUCUGGGGAUACGCUCUAUAUACAGCAGCUUACUUGCUUAAUAGAGUACCUUCCAAAUCAGUUUCACAAACGCCCUAUGAGAUAUGGCAUGGAAGAAAGCCAAGUCUUAAACACAUUAAGAUUUGGGGUUGUGAAGCAUAUGUCAAGAAGCUUGAAGCUACUAAGCUUGAAGCGAGAUCAGUAAGAUGCUAUUUUUGUGGGAUAUCCUAAAGAAACUAUGGGAUAUGAGUUCUACCAUCCUGACGACCAGAAAGUCUUUGUCGCCAGAACUGCUAAGUUUCUAGAGGACGAAUUCGUUCUCAAAGGGACUAUAAGCAAACAGAUGGAAAUUAAUGAGAUUAAUAAUGAACCACAAACAAGCACUAGACAUAUUGACAACCCUGUUCCUGAACCCCUAGCUCCACGUAGAUCUGAACGGGUUAGUAAGCCACCUAAGAGGUAUGGCUUAGACAAUGACUUUGAUGAAUUGUACCUUCUAGGUGUAAAUGAAACAAAGGAGGACCCUAGAGACUACACUGAAGCAAUGUCCGACAUUGAUUCAAAGAGAUGGCAAGAGGCCAUGAAAUCCGAGAUGGAUUCCAUGUAUCAAAAUCAGGUCUGGACUCUUGUAGACCCUCCAGAAGGUAUUGUACCUGUUGGAAACAAAUGGGUCUUCAAGAGGAAGAUAGGCGUUGAUGGGAACGUGGAGACUUAUAAGGCUAGAUUAGUAGCCAAGGGUUACAGGCAAAGAGAAGGGAUUGACUAUGAAGAAACUUUCUCUCCUGUAGCCAUGAUUAAGUCCAUUCGAAUUUUGCUUGCUAUAGCUGCAUACCAUGAUUAUGAGAUCUGGCAAAUGGACGUGAAGACGGCCUUUCUGAACGGCUACCUAGAGGAAGAGCUCUAUAUGACUCAACCCGAAGGUUUCGUGUCCAAGUCUGAAAAGACUAAGGUAUGCAAGCUUCAAAGGUCCAUUUAUGGACUUCAAGCAAGCCUCCAGGAGCUGGAACAUUCGUUUCGACACUGAAAUCAAAACGUUUGGUUUUACUCAAAACGAAGACGACAAUUGUGUUUAUCAAAAAGUCGUUGGGAAUGCAGUUGUAUUCCUAGUGUUAUAUGUAGAUGACAUAUUACUAUUCGGGAAUGACACUGCAAUACUUUCUUCUGUAAAAGUGUGGUUGUCCAAAACCUUCCACAUGAAAGAUUUAGGAGAUGCAUCUUAUGUACUUGGGAUAAAGCUCUAUCGUGAUAGAUCCAGAAAAUUAAUUGGAUUAUCCCAAUCUAUGUACAUUGAUAAGGUGCUAAGUAGGUUCGAGAUGGAACAAUCUAAGAAAGGCUUUCUUCCUGUAAGACAUGGAAAUUCACCUUUCUAAGUCCAUGGAACCUAAGACUCCUGAAGAGAUACGGCAAAUGAGUUAGGAUUCCUUAUGCUUCAGCCAUAGGAAGUCUCAUGUACGCCAUGAUAUGCACAAGGCCUGAUAUCGCAUAUGCUGUGAGCAUUACUAGUCGAUAUCAAUCUAACCCAGGAUUAGAACACUGGGCAGCUGUCAAGACGGUCCUUAAGUACUUAAGAAGAACUAAGGACAUCCUCAAAGUUAACAUCCUCAAAGUUGCUUCAGCCGAUAACGUAGCAGAUCCACUGACAAAGCCAAUGUCUCAAAUCCAGCUUGACCGUCAUAUGGAAAGGAUGGGUAUUAGAUACAUGGGAGGAUGGCUUUGAGUGCAAGUGGGAGAUUGUUGGAAGUAUGCCCACAAAGCCACUCAUUUGAUGUAAUAGCUUUUGGAAUACUUAUUGUAUUAAACUUUUAUAUGUUUAAUGAAGGGCAAAGCUUAUUGUUAAUCACUAUUUAUUGUAUCAUGUGUUUAAGCAAUAAGGGAAUCCAAGGAAUGUAUUUGUUCUAAGAGAUAAGUGAUCUAAUGAGUUAGAUUAUCGAGACCUUUUCUCUUAUGUUCAUUCCUAAAACGUUCCUAGCCAUAGGAUUGCCAAUUGGGCAUUGACAAUCCGCUAAGGUUAGUAUGUGUUAUGUUGACUCAACGUGAGUAUGAAACUAGUCUCAAGUCAUUUGGUGUUGGACACUGAGACAAACACAUAGGUGCUCGAAAAGAGUAAUCGAGUACACUGAACGUACGAUCAAAAGAGAGUUCGAACAUACAUGUCAUGUAUGAACUCUAAAGUUGCAAUAUGCAAAGUAGUCCUUUGACCUGAGGCAUCAUAGAUGUCUAAUGGUUAGGUCCUUGAUCUUUGAUCAUGUCAACGGCAUUCCUUCGGAUUGUCCACGGCAUUGUUGGGGUCAAGCUAUCUAGUCAUGUAGGCAUAUGAAUGCACAACAAGGGAUCUCUAACCUUCCAUGGUGGAAGGAGAAUACUCUAAGAUAUGAUUCUAAAGUCUUUGGCCAAAGCAUAUGAAUAUGACUUAGGAAGUUUGUUCCAAAUCAUAUUCAAAGGAAUCAUAUAGGAAAGUAUCACAUUGGAUAGUAGACAUGAAACAAACUAUCACUUAAACAAUGUGAUUAAGAGUAUUGUAUUAGAGAAUGACCGUAUUGCAUUGUAGUUGUAACUGGAUAGGUUCUCCAACCAAUUCUACUUAGCUUGGGUAACCAUGAUAUGCUGCUAGGUGUCACUCAUGGUUUGUGGAAGCCCUGAAGAUUAGCAAACACUAAUCUUAAGGGAGAAUUGAAAUGUGGUUUCAAUUCACAAUCGAUCGUUAAGAGUAACAUCGCCCACUGCCUCGCUAAUUGGAACCUAAUGGAUCGUACACCACAUAAGGAUGUUAGUGAAGAAAUUAUAUGAAAUGGAUAAGCAAUUAAAUGGUUUAAUUGAAGAAUGGUCAAGAUUAAUUAAUUAGUUAAUUAAUUAUACGAAAGGUUCGUAUUGGGCUUAUAUGUUGGUUUUGGGUUUCGGGGCCCAAAAGUGUUUUGGUCCACAAGGCCCAUUAUGUUUAAGUUGUAUGACAACUAAAACAAAAUGGGCAAAUUAGCCCAAUAACAAGGAGAGGCCGGCCAUUAGGGUGAAUGGGCAAGCUUGCUUAAUUACAAGUUUGCCACUCACCAAAGAAAAUGUUAUAAAAGCAACUUUAUAGCAAUUUUUCUCAUUGAGGGUUUUCUAAUAGAAAUUGGGUGAAACAUUUUCUCUCAUUUUCUUACAUAGAGGCCGGCCACUUAGAGGAUUUUUACUAGCAUCUAAAAUCUCUCUAAGUCAUCCAUAUCAUCUUCACAAUAUACAACCUUGGUGAAGAGACUUAGAGACAUCAAGCUUUUGGAUGUUUUUGGAGAACAAAUCCUUUUUCCUCUAAUCAUCAAAGGAGCACUAAAGGGAGGAAAACACAAGGAGGAUUCAAGGAGCUUGGAGGUGACUUGAAGGCCCUCCACUUGGGUGAAUCCCUUGUGUAAACAAGGAUGAGCUUCAAGGGUAAAGAAUCACUUAAUCUUUACUUCUCUUUAAUGUUGUUAAAGAGUUUUAUUUUGGUUCACCAUAUACUAGGCUUUGAAAGUCAUGGGUUUUAUGAAUUGUUUUUGGAUGCAUGCCUACUUUAAAGUGUUAAUAGCUUGCAUGUGUAUUCAAAUGUUCAUACUUGUUCUUAGCUAGGACAAAUUUUUUCCUUCAGUAUACAUAUCCUAAACGUUCCUGAUCAUAGGAUUGCCAAUUGGGCGUUGACAGUCCGUUAAGAUCAGUACGUAUUGUGUCUUCUCUCAGGGAGAGUGACUAGUCUCGAGUCAUUGGUGUGUGUGACAUCAAGACAAGUACGUAGGUGCUCAAUACAGAAUGAGUUCACUGAACACGAUCAACGAAGAGUUCUCAUAUUCAUGUCACAUGAGAACUCAUGGUUGGGAUAAUGCAAAGUAAUCCUUUGACCUGAGGCAUCAUAGUUGUCUUGUGGUUAAGUCCUUGAUCUUUGAUUAUGUCAAAGUCACUCCAUUCGAGGGUGUCCACGGCAUAGUUGGGGUUAAGCCACUUAGCCAUGGAGGCAAGUGAAUGCGCAACAAGGGAUCUCUAACCUUCAAACCGUUUGAGGGAGAAUACUCUAUGAUAUGAUUAAGAAUCUCUGGCCAGAGUAUGAAUGAGAUUUAGGAAGUCGUUCCAAAUCACAUUCAAGGUAAUCAUAUAAGCACACGAAUCACAUUGGAUAGUAGACAUGAAUAAACUAUCAAACCAAACAAUGUGGUCAAGAGUAUUGUAUUAGAGAAAGACCGUAUUGCAUUUGUAAUCCUAAACUGAAUAGGUUCUCCACCUCUUCUGAUUAGCUUGGGUAACCAUGAUAUGCUGCUAGGUGUCACUCAUGGUUUGUGGAAGCCCUAAACGUGUAUAAUCACUAAAGGGAGAAUUGAAAGUAAGUUUCAAUUCACAAUCGAUUUGAAAUGGUUUUAAUCGCCCACUGCCUCGCUAAAAGGAACCUAAUGGAUCGUACACCGUGUAAGGUGGAGAUUGAAGAAACAAUGGAGAUGAGUAAGAAUAAUUAAAUGGUUUAAUUAUUUAUGGCAAGGAUUAAUUAAUAUGUUAAUUAAUCAAAACGAAUAAGUUCGUUAAAGACCUCGGGAUAGUUUUUGGACCUUAAGGCCCAAUGGGCUUCGAACGUCAAGCCCAUUGGACUUAAGUUGUAUGACAACUUAAUGAAUAAAGAUUCACAAAGGGCCCAAAAGCCCAAAUCCCUCAAUUGGCCGGCCAUGUUAAAAAGAAUGGCUUUUUUGGUUCUUUAGGUCACUUAAUUUGAAGGACUAUAUAAAGGACUUUAUAGCCUAAAAUUCAUUAAGGGUUUUCUUUUGGAGAAAAUUGGAGAGAACAUGUCUCUCCCUUUCUCUCUAAAGAGGCCGGCCCCCUUGGAGGGAUUAGCUAGCAAUCCAACCUCCAAGGUCACUCAUUUCUUCUCCAAUCUAACCUUGGUGAAGAGACUUAGAGGUUUCUCAAUUUUGGGAACUUGGAGAACCAUUUCUUCCAUCCAAAUCCAUGGAUCUAAGAAUGCAAGGAAUGAAGGCCCUCUCUUUGGGUGAUUAGCCUUUGCUUAUGCAAAGAGGAAUCUACAAAGGUAUAAAUUUCUCAACUCACUUUGAUUUUUGAGUUGAGUCUUGGUUCACCAAUCUACUAGGCUUUGAAUUUCAUGGUUAAUGUUUUGUUUUAAGUGCAUACAAGCAUGAUUCCGCCUUUAAUUGUUAAUUGCAUGCUAUAGAUGUUGCUUAAAUGAACAUGUUUUUCACAAAAUUUCCUUCAAGUGGUAUCAGAGCCUAGGUCUAGUAGUUGGUGAAUCCUUUUGGGUUUUGUAGUUCAUAGUUUUGAUUUAAAAGUUGUAAUAUGUUACAAGCUUUAUUCUUGUUUCUUUGAAUGUAAAUUUUGUUAGAAAAUUUGCCAUCUCAAAUGUUGUAGAUGUAGUUCAUAUGAGCAUGAAUAUUGGAGCUAAAAUUUGGUGCCAUGUUUUUUGGGGAUUUUCGGCCAAAUCCAAAGGGUGAUUUUUUGGGUUCUUGUUUGACUUGUUAAAAGUGUUUUCAAGUAACUUUUGGAACCCCUAUGUACCCUAGUUUGGUUAUAUGUUAUUUCCCUUAAGUUUGAAGUGGUUUUUGGGAUGUUUUUGGAUGAAAAAUGUUCAUGGAAAGCUUUUAUGGGUUUUUCAUGAAUGUUCUUCAUUGUUCUUGACAUUUUAGUCAAGAACAAAAAGUUUGGUGUUUUGAUUCAAAGUUUUGGUUGAUUUCAUAAAGUCUUUGUUUUGUGUUGGUUGAUGUGAAUUUUCUAUCAACAAAACAUUUAUUUGAAAGGUGAUAGAAAUGGUGAUGGGUGUGUAAGAAGUACUUCUCUUCUUACACACCACUUGCAUGGUUUUAUGAUUCACACCAACCAAAUUCCACUUGCAAGGCUUUAUGACAUUGUUGAAAAAUUUCCAAAUUUUUGUGGACACUUAUCUCUUCUCUAUUUUCUCCCUAAAACCGGCCACCCUAUUAAAAUAGGGUAUUUUUUGGGCUUUUAUGCAAUUACAUAAAGUUUUGAUACUUUUGUGUAUUUGCACUUUGGACCCAAAAGUUUACGUUUUUACGUUUAAGGUCCAAAAACGCUAAAGGACAAAUUGUUUUGCUCCUUUAAUGAAGUUUUUAUAUUUGUUGAAAUUUUUGGGUUCUAGUUGUAAUUACAUGAAGUAGUGGACUUUUGUGUUUUUACAAAGUGACCCCAAAAGUUUGUGUUUUUGCAAUAUAGCCCAAAAAAGUUGUGGUUAAUUGCAUUUUUGGCCCAAAUUAGGUUGAGAACAAAAUUGUUUUGUCUCUUUAAAUGAGAAUUGGAUUUUCAUUUCAUUUAGCUCCAUUUAAAUCAAUUUUAUGGAUACAAAAACCAAAUGAAAAUGUUGCAUUCAAUUUAAUUAGUUAAAGCGUUAAUUAAUUAAAGGGUGAUUAUGAACCUAAGCCUACGAUAAUUGAGCUAUGUGAAAGGCCGUUUCAAAUUUGUUUGAACCAUGGGAAUGUGUAGAUUAGAUUUUGGUUGUAAUUUGAUUUGAUCAAAUGUUGUAAAAGAGCUUAAGCUCUUCUUUACUUUAAAGUAAUUUGUUUUCAUUCAAAUGUUGUAAAGAGCAUAAGCUCAUCUUUACUUUGAAGUACUUCUUUCUUGCUUUAUUUGAUAUGCAUGAAAUUGAAGUAGUUGGGUCCAACGCCCCUAAGACAACACGCCUUAAUGUGAUUAAACGCGUAACUAAAAUCAAUCACCAUCCCUAGACCGAGAUUCAACACUAGGCUCGUGUUGAAUCUAAUCAAAGGUUCAUAGUCAUCCUAAGGCCCUAAGGCAACUAUAUAGUCCAUCAAAUGAAUGCAAAGUUUAUGUUAGUAGUAUCAUAUACUCUUGCUUUAAAAACCGUUUUAUAAGCAUAGUGGGAGUAUUAUAUACAACUAAAUUCAAUCAAAUGGACCAAUAGUUGUAAUAGGACCAAAAUUGUUUUAAUAAAGAUUAAAAUGAAUAUUUAUAUGUGAUGAGACCUAAAACCCUCAACCAAACCAUUAUUAAGUUGAUAAGCGUGAGAGUGCUUUGAACACUCUUUCGUGGCCUUCCACAUAUAAAGUGUGUGCAAAGUGUGUGCUUUGAACACUCGUACACCGGCUUCACCCUAUCAUGGGGGAGUACAAAGUGUGUGCUUACACUCAGGAGGAGUCUAUAUGCAUACUUGAUGAUGUGAGACGUAGGCAACGAGAAUGAUCAACAUCAUAUCAUUGUGAGGUUGUUCUUGAACCCCUACCCGAACUUGCAUGGUGGGAAUGACUUAACUAAGUGCAAUGGAGCCAACAUCAUAUCAUUGUGAGGUAACAUUCUCUAGAGGCCAAAUAAGAUGGGUACUUGCAAGAGAUGCAAAUGAGUAAGCGUACUCUCUCAUUAUUAUUAAUGCUAGCCAACAUCAUAUCAUUGUGAGGUGGGCUUGGUAAUAGUGAGUCUCCCAUACCCUACUAAGAGUUUCCUCCAAAACUCUCGAAUUCCAAUGAGGGAUAUGGAAUUUGCCAAAAAUAGUGGGUGGUGCUAUUUGAUUUAAAAGACCCGGAUCAAAUGGCUUAAAAUCAAUCAAUUUAUAUUCGUUAUGUAUUUAUUUACCAAUAUAUUUGCAAACGCUAUCCAACACUUGACAAAAAAAGCCGAAAUGCUUUAGUUUCCGGACUUGGUACUACAAAAUCCCAUAGAUUGUCUUUAAAUGGCUUGUAAAUGUACCUAAGUAGUCUCAUCCUCACAAUCUUCCUAUUGAUAAUGUAUCAUUAGAAGAAUAUGUUAGAAAAAGUCUAUCAUAAAGAGGACAACACUUUUUAAUGUCAUAAUUCUUCAAUUACAAAUUUGUUGUAUGAAGAAAUAAGAGUUGCUUUGAACAACUCUUAGUUAAAUGCAAACAUUAGUGCUUGUUUCUUUGUUACAUGAACAAGGAACUUUAGAAGAAAGCACAAAGGGCAUGGACACUUUAUGUGCCAUGAUUCUUCACUUACAAAUUGUUGUAUGAAGAAAUGAGAGUUGCCUUGAACAACUCUUGAAAGUUUGUAAUUAUGUUUAGAACAUAAUGGUUGGUUGACAAAAAUAGUCCAUCAACAUGGACUUAUGAUGAUUUUGAAUCAUUGAGUGUUGAAGUGAUAAACCACUUAACGAGACGGAAACUAGGCAAGGACUUCACCUUUGUGUCCCUAUCCUAAUGGUUCACUAAGUUUAUUGUAAACUAUGUAGUGAACAAUAAACACAUGCUCUCCAAAAUGUUUGAUGUGUAUAACACAAUUGAAAUAAGUUUCAAGAGAGAUAGUGGGAGUUUAGGGACCAUGACUAUUGUAGUCAAAGGAGAAGUCAAAUGAAGAAGAUAAAAUUAACUCCAAGGGAACAAACUUUCUUUAUGAAAGGAUGGACAUUGGAAGGGGUAUUUGCAAGAAAUGUCUUGCAAGUGUCAAGAACACACCUUUCGAAGGUGUUGUAAAUUGUUCUUGAAUAGUUCAAAACAGUUGGUUCUUCUACUUGAAUGCUUGAUUCCGUAUUAGUAACUAUGUUUUACAAUCGUUGUAAAAGUGUGACUAAUAAGAAGUAGAAGAUAUAUGAGAGAAGAAAAGGUGCUUCACAUUCGGAACGUGAAUAAAAUAUAGAUCUCUGCGAAAGCAGAUAGUACUUACUUCCUCAUAUGAACUACCAAAGAAAUUGGAAAAACCAAAGAUUGUCUUUACAUUCCAAUUUUAAGGAACUUAAUUCCGUCACUAUAGUAGAGAUGGAUGAAUGUUUUGUUUGACAAAACAUUGUUCUUUAUUAAUCAAUGAUUGGAUUAUAGUAAUCUAAUUGAUUGUCUCUAUAGUAGAGAUAAUAUGGUAGUGUUAACUGUUUAGAAUAUAAUGAUGCUUAAAACCCAAAAGGUUGCAAGAUAGUGACUAAUACAUAAAUUACGAGUUGGUCAUAGAUGGAUGCUUUGGAUCGUUAGAUCCGGAUCCAAUACCUUCUUGUUAAAAUUGUAUAGAGGCGAAAUGUUCGAAUCUUUAUUCUUUUGGAAAGAAGAAAGAAUCACAAAGUUGUUGAGGUUAAUUCACUUAGAUGUUAGUGGCACUUGUCCACAACAUAAUACUACUCAUGUUGGAUGACAUUCACCGAAGAUCACUCUCGGUUGGACUAUAGUUUAUUUUUGAAUAAACACAAGUCCGAAUACUUUGCAAAAUGUUUCAAAGAAUUCAAGAAAUGUAAGUUGAUGAGUAAGACGUCUAAAGUAUUUACCUCCUUAGAUUUGAUCCAAGGAAAAGUAACACUUUAGAUGAGUUUCCUUGAAAGAUAUCAAGGAAAAUAGCAUCAUAAGAUAAUGAAUUUCUCCAUUAGGAGAAGAACGAACUCGAAUAAGAUUUAGUUCGUUAGAUGUUAUCUAUUACCCAUAUAUAGGAUAUAUACUUCUAAAAACAAUAUGAUUGUCAAUUAGAAGAUCUUCCAAAUUUUCAUGACUCCAUAAGAUGUAGUUGGAAAGAAAGACAAAUCUCAAGCAUGUUAAGAUUUGGGGUUGUGUGCUAAUAAGCAAUAUUUGUUUGAUAACAAUCUUGUGGGAUAUCCUUAAAUUAACUUUUGGAUAUCGCUUCUAUAAACCAACUAACAAAUGUUGUUUUGUUGGGUAGUUCAUUGUAAUCCUACAAUGUGAUUUGCCUAAGAGCAAAUGAACGAGAGAUAGAACUCAAAGAAUGGGUUCUUUGAGAGACAAGAAAGUAAUCAACAAAUAUAACAACCUAGUUCCUAUACCACAAGCUCCAAGGUAGUCGAGAAGGAUUUAUAAACCGUCUCAGUUGAAUGGUUUGAACUUUAUGACUAUGUCAUAGAGUUACACCUCUUAAUUCGAAAGAAAUAAGAAUGAAAAUCCUUAUGACUACAUUGAGUGUAUAUACGAUAUAUACUCAAGGAAAUGGUAAAGUACCAUUUGACCCGAAAUAAUGAAACCUUAAAUAGCUAAUUGGUAGCUUAAGGUGACUACAAUCAAAGAGAAUGGUUGACUUUGAAGAAACCAUCUUUGACGUAGUCUUGUUUUCAAUUAAUUCGAAGAUUGCUAGCUACAACUAAAUGGUGAUUCAAUGUUUGGACAUAAUAUGGGUUUCCGAAACCAUUAUUAAGAUAGUCUUGAUAAUAUAUGUCUAAAACUAUAAAUCACAAGACAUGUAAGUUGUAGAGAUCCAUCCAUCAUGAAUCUUAGCAAGCUAGUGGGAGCUAUAAGCAUCUUAUGAGAAAAAGGAUCAAAUCGUUUGAUUUCUCAUAAAGAUGUAAAUGAAUCUUUUGUUUACUAGGUUUACAAAAGAUUAGUGGGAGUUAAUCAUGUUCCUAAAAUUUAAAUAUAUAUGAUAUAUUAAUUUUGGAAAUGAAAAGAAUACUUCUUCGUUAAAGUUAUGACUUUAAAACAUUAUAUGAAGAUAGAAUGUAUAUGGGAGACAUAGUCUAUAUACAUGGGAUGGAAAUCUAUAUUGAUAGAUUUUAGGAUAUAAUUGGAUUAUAUCAAGCCCUAAAUAUAGACAAAAGAUGCUAGGAAGUUUCUCAUAUGAUGAUAAACUUCAAUAGAAGGACAACUCUAGUGAGACUAAGAAGUUGCUCUUCUCAAAGAGAACGUACUCUUUGACUCCCAAAGAAAUAAUGCGUAAAUAGAAUCCUUUAUGCAUACGCAGAAAGGUGAUUUAUGUAUUUCAUAUUGUAUGAAAAACAUUGAUAUGAGUUGUACCUAGAACGGUACAAGACGAUAUCAGUGCAAGCCCAGGAUCAGAACCAUGGCAACUGUCAAGUGAGUCCUUAAGUAUUUAAGAAAUACUAAAGGAUAAAUUCCUCAAAGAAUGAGGAAGAAUUAGAGUAACGUAAUGGAAGCGUAAAUGUAUUAGAUUAUGAAUCUAAUCCAUCAUUGGAUGUUUCUUCAUUAUGAAUGAAGAGAUAAACAGAUAUCUCUUUAUUAUGACUAAAGAGAUAUUUGGAUGGAAACAUUAAAGUAAUGACUUUAGUGUGUUCCAUUAUGAAUGCAAAAUAUAUUGCCAUAUAGAAGUUUACAACAAUGUUGUUUGGAUGGGAAAGUUCAUUUAUGAACUCUCUAUUCGGUUCCAACCAGAAAGUGUAUCUAGUGUACUGACACUAUGACACUAAUGGGGCGAUAGCUCAAGCCAGGCGAAUCAAGGUCUCAUCAAGGUCCGAACUCAAAUGAGAGACUGAACCACAUGAUUAAGAAUCAUGUAUAAUGGUGACGUCGUUAUUCUCAAGGUUGCUUCUAUGGAUAACAUAUAGAUAUCCAUUGUCUAGGCCUACUACUCAGCCAUUUAUGAAAUGACUACAGAAGAGGUAUCAUCACUGAUGACCAAGCUGAUUGGCUCUAGUGCAAGUGGGAGAUUGUUGGAAAUGUGCCCUAAAACCAAUCAUAUGAUGAUACUUUACGGACAUUUCACAUGUUAAACUAAUCUAGUUUAAAUAUAAAGGGGAAAAGAUUAUUGUUUGAGCCGUCUCAUAUAAAUGUUAUAUGCUUAAACGAUAAGUCCAAGGAAUAUGUGAUUGGGAGAAUGCAAUCUAAAGAAGUUAGAUUCAUGAGACCAUUCUUUCGUAUACAUAUCCUAAACGUUCCUGAUCAUAGGAUUGCCAAUUGGGCAUUGACAGUCCGUUAAGAUCAGUACGUGCUGUGUCUUCUCUCAGGGAGAGAGUGACUAGUCUCGAGUCAUUGGUGUGUGUGUGACAUCAAGACAAGUACGUAGGUGCUCAAUAGAGAAUGAGUUCACUGAACACGAUCAACGAAGAGUUCUCAUAUUCAUGUCACAUGAGAACUCAUGGUUGGGAUAAUGCAAAGUAAGUCAUUUGACCUGAGGCAUCAUAGUUGUCUUGUGGUUAAGUCCUUGAUCUUUGAUUAUGUCAAAGUCACUCCAUUCGAGGGUGUCCACGGCAUAGUUGGGGUUAAGCCACUUAGCCAUGGAAGGCAAGUGAAUGCGCAACAAGGGAUCUCUAACCUUCAAACCGUUUGAGGGAGAAUACUCUAUGAUAUGAUUAAGAAUCUCUGGCCAGAGUAUGAAUGAAUGAGAUUUAGGAAGUCGUUCCAAAUCACAUUCAAGGUAAAUCAUAUAAGCACACGAAUCACAUUGGAUAGUAGACAUGAAUAAACUAUCAAACCAAACAAUGUGGUCAAGAGUAUUGUAUUAGAGAAAGACCGUAUUGCAUUUGUAAUCCUAAACUGAAUAGGUUCUCCACCUCUUCUGAUUAGCUUGGGUAACCAUGAUAUGCUGCUAGGUGUCACUCAUGGUUUGUGGAAGCCCUAAACGUGUAUAAUCACUAAAGGGAGAAUUGAAAGUAAGUUUCAAUUCACAAUCGAUUUGAAAUGGUUUUAAUCGCCCACUGCCUCGCUAAAAGGAACCUAAUGGAUCGUACACCGUGUAAGGUGGAGAUUGAAGAAACAAUGGAGAUGAGUAAGAAUAAUUAAAUGGUUUAAUUAUUUAUGGCAAGGAUUAAUUAAUAUGUUAAUUAAUCAAACGAAUAAGUUCGUUGAAGACCUAAGGAUAGUUUUGGACCUUAAGGCCCAAUGGGCUUCGAACGUCAAAGCCCAUGGACUUAAGUUGUAUGACAACUUAAUGAAUAAAGAUUCACAAGGGCCCAAAAGCCCAAAUCCCUCAAUUGGCCGGCCAUGUUAAAAGAAUGGCUUUUUGGUUCUUUAGGUCACUUAUUUGAAGGGACUAUAUAAAGGACUUUAUAGCCUAAAUUCAUUAAGGGUUUCUUUUGGAGAAAAAAUUGGAGAGAACAUGUCUCUUCCUUUCUCUCUAAAGAGGCCGGCCCCCCUUGGAGGGAUUAGCUAGCAAUCCAACUCCUCCAAGGUCACUCACUUCUUCUCCAAUCUAACCUUGGUGAAGAGACUUAGAGGUUCUCAAUUUUGGGAACUUGGAGAACCAUUUCAUCCAUCCAAAUCCAUGGAUCUAAGAAGCAAGGAAUGAAGGCCCUCUCCUUGGGUGAUUAGCCUUUGCUUAUGCAAAGAGGAAUCUACAAAGGUAUAAAUUUCUCAACUCACUUUGAUUUGAGUUGAGUCUUGGUUCACCAAUCUACUAGGCUUUGAAUUUCAUGGUUAAUGUUUUGUUUAAGUGCAUACAAGCAUGAUUCCGCCUUUUAAUUGUUAAUUGCAUGCUAUAGAUGUUGCUUAAAUGAACAUGUUUUUCACUAAAUUUCCUUCACUACAACCCUUCGACAUAUCAGUAAGUGGGCUUUUGGUUUUCCGUAUAUACCUCUAUACUUGAGAUUUUCCCAGAAAAUGUGUUUAAAUGAUUAUACAUUUUGAAAUGCCAUGCAAAGUAUCUACCUAUUUUAUUUAUGCAUUAGUAGUUGCAUAUAUUUAUGAUUGGUGCUGCGGACGCACAGGUCAGUGCCAGGUAAGUUCAUAAACUAAAGAUAUGAGAUUACUUCAAUUAUGUGAGAUAUGAUGUGAUGUAUGAGAGCUCAUAAACCUGCACCCCAGUCCUUCACGUGAUGUUCACCUCCCGCACCAUAUGCUCACCUUGGAUCCUAGUUAGGUGCACAAGCUUGUCGUACAUACCACUUUAGGUGGUUCCAACUCGUAGGUGACCCAUGAUUAUUUGCACAGCCUUCACAUGAUCGUAGCACUAGAGCAUAUUUAUUUUACACCUAGUCUUGUCGUACAGGCCACUUGAAGUGGUUCCGACUUGUGUGCAGGAAAUGGAUUUAAUAUAAUAUGAUUGAGGUUGAUUAUGAGCAAUAUACUCAGCCGUACAAAUUGAGUUAGAGGGAUUUGGCUAAUACAAUAUUUGACAUUUAUAUAUUUUGCCUGGAUUACUUAUAGUAUUGCAUUGAGAUACUUUGGCAUGGUAUACUUCUAUGGAUUUUCAUCUUGAGUAUGAUUUCUGUUACAGCUUAUUAUUACUAUUAUUUUCUGGGAAAUUAUACAGGUUUUACGGUGAGGGGUUAUAACUUCUGAGAAAUGAAAUGAUUUUGAAAAGCUUUGUUUUUUCCCACUCACACUUUCUAAUUUGCGCCCCUCUAGGUUUUAGGUAGAAGUGCUUGGUGGAUCACGAGGAUUUCGACGAGGAUUCUGACAGAAUAUCAUUAAUGUAGGAUCACCUUUGGGUGUUGAAUAAUUAGUACUUGUCCUGCUUGACUGCACUUAGGAUAUUUAUACUCUGGUUGUGUAUUUCACACUUAAUCUUCCUCUAGCACUGUAUCUUAGCUAGUACGCUAAUUGAUUUGGUUUUUGUUUAUUCGUAAUUCCUUAUAUCUCUAUUGCUUCCGCACUGUGCACAUGGCUACGUCACCCGCAUGUGACGACCAGCAUGCCUUGAUCUAGGUCGGGGUGUGUCAAUACUUGUAUGGAUAAUAAAAGAAUGAUAAAAUGCAAAAAUAGAAGUAGAAGAAUACACAAAUUAUAUACAUCCAAAAAGUUCAAUAUUUAAAAAACAGUAAGCAUAUAAUCAUAAUGAGGAGGAUUUGGAUGAUAGCCUAAAUUCUUCUUGUUCAUGAAUCAUGAUCCUUGCAUUGGAUUAGACAUAGACUAAAUUAUUUAACCUUGUUGUAUCUAGUUUAUUUCUUUUCUUUGUAUGCAUCCCCUCAAAAGUGCUCCAAUUCGUUUCACUAUUGGAUGAACUUGUAGUAAAUCCAUCAUUUACAAAUUAGGUACACCAUUUCCAUAAGUAUACCACCAUGAAACCAAAAAAGAAAAAAGCACACAAUUAAUAAAAAAAUAUAAAAAAAACCGCCUAGGACCGCCUAGCUCUCCGCCUAGGAGCCGCCUAGGACCACCUAGGCGGCCGCCUAGCUCCAGACCGAUCUUUUAAAACGAUUUGCCCAAAAUUGGGGCAGGCCUUCACCGCCUAGUGCCUCGGUGGCCACUAUGCCGAUUUUUAGAACACUGAUAAACAUAAAAGCCGAAAACUUGUGAAUUUAAAACCAAAAGUGAAAAUGACUCACCAAACCUUUGUAAUGUCGAAGUACAUAUAUGUAACCAUAAUAAGGUAAGUUAAAAUACUUGCACUAAAAAUUAGAACCGAAAAUGAAAAUGGGUCACGCCCAAGCAUUCAUAACAUCACGUACUCCGAAAAUAGGUGUGUGAUUAAUCAGUAACUACUACCGUAGACAAGUUUACUUGCCCACUUGCUUAACGAACCCAUCAAAUAAGCCAUUGAUAUUACAGUCUGCAGCCGCAAUAUUGACAACUCAUUGUUGUCUCAAUAAACAAGUAGUAAAUACCGAGGGUGGAAAAUGACCAUUUUGUCCAAACUCCAAGACGACAUCAUCUGAAGUACACAGUUUCCCAUAUAAAAAAUUUGAUCCUUCAAAUACCUUUUCACAAUACUCUUCUGUCUAACAAGUGUUGCAUGUAGAAUCUCUCAUACCAUGUCUCUAAUAGUGCCAUACCUAAAUCGAAAAUAAUAAUUGUCAUUGUAAACAACUCCAAAAGAGAUCGGUGCAAUUUCUAAUCAUGUUGAAACCAUAGAACAGAUGAACACAACAUGUCUUCCAAAUUCUGGAUAGUUCGUUUAGACUGGCCAACAGUCUAAGAAUGAAAUGUGGUACUAGAUAACAACUUAGUGCCCAUGGCCUUCAAAAAGGCUUCACAAGACUUGGAAGUGAAACGCGCAUCGCGAUGAGGUACAAUAGUGACGGCAUGCCCUAUAAUCGAACAAUGUGAUUCACAAAGCCUAUGCGAGAUGAUUCAUUGAAAAUUUCUCUCGGGUUUAGCAAAAGGCUAUGCCGAGAAGGCUAAAAGAACACUAAAAAAUUUAAGGGUCAAAACAAGUCCAUCAAAUAUAAAGUACAAGAUAAUAGGAUUGAAUGCGUAACCUUGAUGCAAGAAUACAUGUAAGUACCUAACUUGAUUUUGUGGUGGCAAGCCGAGAUGGUUGAGCAUGGACUCGACUUGAGUGGUAGUCUAAAGUAAUCUGAUAGGCGGGAACUUAGACUUUUCCCCAUUCCAAUAUUCACAACAGCUAGUUACAACAAUAACCUCAUGGAUAUUCAAUCACCAGUUGUAAUGAUUCGCUCAAUAAGGUGUUAAUGGGUAAUUGAAUGGCUGAUGGUCUCGGCUAAAACUUUCGAAUCUAAGUUGUCUUUCUGAACAGUCUGCCUACUUUAGAAAUGAUAUUAAGUGUUGUAGGGUAACACGAACCCAAAGUUGACUAGAAUGUCUUCCAUUACCAGGAAGUGAAUCUGGGAUUACAGUCGAAAACGAUGUUAAUCAAGACGUUAGUCUAAUGAAGUCUAGAAUGAAGAAUUCUGCUAAGAGGUCAAAAGUAUGGUCCUCAUGGACUGGUAGAUAAUAUGUUGAGUGAGUUGAUCAACAAAUACCGAAAUGUCAUCAUAGUCUCCAUGUGUACAAGGUGGUUUGUACAGGAAAUCUAUGGUGACAUUCACCCAUUUCCAUUCGCAUCCCCAGUGGGUCCUCAACAACCUAAAAAGGACAACCAUGGAAAUUUCUUCCUUCCUCCAAAUAGGAUUAAAAGGAAAUUAAGAUAAGCCCGAUGGCUUCCGUCUCUCCACUUCCAUUUACCAGUAAAUUAGGCAUUUCCUCACAUUUCAUUGAUAUCCCCUUCAUACAAUACCCGUAAUAUAAUGGACGAAAACAGUGGUACAACUUAGUACUGCCAUCACGCAUGGCAUACGCUGAAAUGUGAACCUCAUUAAAAAAUUUCCUUGUUCACAAUUUCAUUAUCCUUAGGCAAAAACAAUUUGUUUCUUAUGAACAAAGUUCCAACUCCUCGGACUUUCAAAUCCCAUCUCAUGUCAUCUAACACAUGCUCAUUCAAACUCGCAUAUUACUGAUUAAACUCUUGGGCUUCUUACCGUAAAUCUACCGAUACAAGUUUGACUUAGAAGUGAGCUGACAGUACUCACCAUGGAUCGGGCGCCAAAAUAAAAUCAAUUCCUCGAAGAGAAAACAAUAGUGGGACACGGAUAGCUUGGAUAAAGGUAAGCUGUCCAUGGGAUUUUUUUACUAAGAGCAUCAGCUACGACAUUGAUAGGAGCAUAUUUAUGCGACUUAGUUGGCUUGUUCUUGUGCAUUUAUGUCGUGUUUCCUUAGUUAUUUUAAUGUUUAAAGUCAUUUUCGUGUGUUUUCAGACUCUAAGUACAAAGUAUGCAAGAAGAUGCAUUUUUGGAGGCCUUUGGAGCAUGUUUCGGGCUUGGAAUGGAUAGCAAAUGCAUGGGCCAAGUGGAUGGACGAAUUUGAGAACUAAAGAGGCCAAGAAUAUGAAGAAUUAUGGUCCAAAAGAUGAAGAAAACAGCCCAAAAAUCUGUCACCCCAACUUGCAUUCCUUGCCAUGCAAACCACAUAGAAUUCCCUUUGGAUUCCAUGCCAUGCUUGAUCACUCUUGUCCUCUACAUAAUUUCUAAUUUCAUGCUUCAACUCAUUUAAUUAUUACACUCAAUUGCUUGAUACCUCUUGUUCCCUUCACUCAUUAGAUUUUAGACAACAUUUACAUCCAUUACAUGCACCAAUUGAUGCUCCAUCAUUCACAUUUGGAAUCCCAUGCCUUGUGUACCACAUGUUGCUGCACCUUUGACCCAUUUAUUGACACAUUUUCACCUCCCUUUCCAUCUCUAUGCAAUGUACACAAUCAUUCAUGCUCCCUAGCUUCAAGACCACUCCAUUUUACCCUUCACACUUUGCAUCAUCACUUCAUUUUCACCCUUGGACCAUUGCACACCACACACACACAAAUUACCAUGCUUUUCAUCCUUAACCUAACCUGAUUUUCUAAGGUUUUUGGGGCCUAUAAAUACAUGUUUACACCCCUUGGCCAAAGAACAAUCCCCCAUAUUCAUCAUUUUAUCACAGAAAUUCGUCCAUACACACCCUAGGAAGCAAAACACCCCAAAAACACAAUUCUAGUGCCUAGAAAACAUAACAGCCACUCCACCUUCUUCCACCCUCUUUGCCUAGUUCUCCACCACCUUCCAACCAUCAAACACUCUUCCACACUCACCCUAAACCCCUCCAUAUCAUUCCCCAUCCAUUCUACACCAUAAAUCCACCCAAAAAUCUGUCCACAAGCUUCAUGCCGCAACAAGGAGGAAGGGAGAUCCAUUGAUGCACUUGCUUUCCAAGUUGGAGCAUUUUAGGUGUUUUCUUUCCUUUGAUUUUAAUGUCUAAUUUUAUGUAUCUUUGUAUUGCAAGAAUGAGGAACUAAACCCCCUUAGUUGGGGGGUGAUUCGAAACCAUGUACAUGCUUGCAAUAUGAUUUGAUUACAUUCAGUUGUUAUUUCAUAAGUUGCGGAUUCAAUUCGUUCAUCUACUUGAUUGAUAACUUAUUUGUGUAUGUUGAUUGAGAGUGCACGCUUAGUUUUCAUGCAUGAAUAUGAUGCUAGAUUAUGAGGGAGUUUCACCUAAUAGUUACAAUCUUAUAAUCACAAGUAGUGAAGGUCGCUUGAAAACGAUCGCGUUGAAUGAAUUCUUGGCACUAGUUUCAUGCUCAUCAUAGUAACGAAUGCCUCGUCAACACUUAUAGUUCUCAUUGUGCUUCAUGAUUCUUGAUUGUAUCUUUAUUGUGCUCAUCACGUAAGGAACCUUUGAGGAAUGCUUUGAAUUGUUGUAUGCGCUUUUCCAUCCAAUUCAUUAACUUAAGGAGAACUUGAAGGUUAAUUUAAGCGUAUCUAAUUAACUUGGGGUGUUGAGUUUCAUAAUUUAUUGAAAGAACAACUGAAAAUCAUUUUGUUUGCAAGUGUGUCAUGUGUGGAGAAGAACCUCCUAACUAGCCUUUUAUCCAUCCUUUUCAUCCAAAAACAUUUUACAAUCUGUUUUGUUUUAAAGUUUCUGUUUUGUUUUCAAUUUUCGUCCAAAACAAAUCCCCUUUUAUUUUGAAGUCUUAGAUUAGUUAGAAAGUGUUUUGAUUUGUGUUUCUAAGUGUUUUGAUUCAAGUUUUUAUCCAACUUCGUCCAAGUUCUUGUUAGGUUCUCAAAACUACCCAGAAAGUGGUUUUUAGGCAGUUUUGAGUCAUUAGGUUGCUGUUUUGAGUUUUAUGUUUGUUUAAGUAUUUUAAAGUAUAGUUUUGCAUUCUUUGAGUCUAGUUUAGUGUUUUAAAUUUUGUUUUUAUGUUUUUAAGUCAGUUUUCAAGUGUUUAGCAAUCCCUCCUAAUCCCCGGCCUAGAACGAUCCCUACUUACAUACUUUACUACAUUUGAUAAAAAGAGGGUUUAAUUUUGUGUGUUAACUUAUUUCACGCAUCAAAUUUUGGCGCCGUUGCCGGGGAUUAGCAACUUUGCUAAUCUCUUGGAUUGUUUUCUUUCGAAUUAUUGUAUUUUGUUUAAGUUUCUGUUUAAGUUGCUGAUUUGUUUUGUUUUCUUUGUUUUUAGGUACUAGUUUAUGACCCGUAGCUCACAACCUGUUCGCGAGCAUAUCUCCGACUUUGACGGUGAUUUUGAGAGGACUUUGAGAAGGAAAAAGAAAUUGCAAGAGUCUAAUCCUCCUAGUCCCGAGCCUGAAUUAGAAGAGCAAGAAGUUGAGGUUGAAGAGAAGGCCACGACACAAGUGGGUGGAGAAGAGCAAGGUAUAGCCAUGGACAACCGUACGCUCAAGGAGCUUGCCGCCUCGGGUUUGGAUAAUGCCGCACCAUUGUGUAUCCAAUAUCCCAUGGCUGCUCAAGGUAAAACCGAAGAGUUCGAAUUAAAGUCAAGUUUGCUCCACCACAUUCCAAAGUUCCAUGGGCUGUCCAUGGAGGAUCCGAACAAACAUUUGAAAGAAUUUGAAGUGGUGUGCUCAAGUAUGACUCCGGUUACAGUUGACGGAAGUAUUUUAAAGAUGAAGGCUUUUCCAUUCUCUUUAAUGGACAAAGCCAAGGAUUGGUUAUACGAGUUGGCUCCCGGUACAGUUACAUCUUGGGAGAGUAUGAAAAGGGCGUUUCUGGAGAAGUUUUUCCCAACUUCUCGCAUCAUUCUUCUUCGUAAAAAAAUAAGUGGAAUUCAGCAAAGCCAAGGUGAAUCUUUCCCAUCUUAUUAUGAACGAUUUAAAUCACUUGUUGCUUCUUGUCCACAGCAUCAGAUGAAGGAGGAGCUACUUCUUCAAUACUUUUACGAAGGUCUUUUACCACUUGAACGGCAAAUGUUGGAUGCUUCCGCAGGAGGAGCUCUAGUGGAUAAGACACCUAGGGAUGCCAAAACCCUCAUUGCGAAUCGAGCACUCAAUGCACAACAAUAUAAAGGUGUUGGGCAAAGAGACACCCCACGGCCACAUCAUGUCAAUGAGGUAAGUUCUAUUUCUGAGUUACAAUCCCAAAUGGCUAACCUUACGUUAUGUUAUCGCAGUUGGUUGAAGGCCCCAAAACGUAAGGAACUACAAUCUGUGGUGUAUGCUCCAUUCAAGGACACCAAUCUGAUCAAUGCCCUCAAUUAAUUGAGAAUGGAGGAUGGGAAUCGGCCAAUGCUGUAGGUUAUGGGAAUCAAAACCAACCAAGGAAUGAUCCUUUCUCCAAUACAUACAACCCGGGAUGGCGUGACCAACCCAAUUUCAGAUGGAGAGAUGCACCACAAUAUGGCCAACAAAGUGGAUUCCGACAACCCCCGGGUUUCUUUCCAAGGCCAAUGGAACCACAACCACCUCCUCAGGCACAAUCUUCCCAAACUAACCCAGGUACGUCUAUGAAUGAUGAUAAAACAUAUCAGCUACUAACCACCAUGGCGCAGGGAAUGCAGAACCAAGCAAAGGAGGUUAAUGAGCUGAAGAAGCAAAUGGGCCAAAUGGCCGAAUUUUUGGGGCAAUUCCGUGAAAAUGGUAAGUUACCAAGCACUACGGUGGUCAAUCCAAAGGGUGGCUUCGAAUCUGCAAAGGCUAUCACAUUACGAAGUGGAAAAGAGGUGAGAAACAAGGAAGAUGAGAAGAUACAACUCGAAGAAGAUGAGAACACCUACCCCACGGCAAGGGUACCAUCACCCAUGCCGCAGCUAUCUAAGACAUCCCAUCCGUCCACCUCAGGUAAGAAUGUUCCAAAUGUUGUGAUUUCGAACACUAAUCUGCCCAAUGUCCCCUUUCCUAGCAGAUUUUUGCAAUCAAAGAACGAAGAGGAGGAAAAAGAUGUUCUAGAGACAUUUAGAAAGGUGCAUGUCAACAUUCCCCUCCUUGAUGCCAUAAAGCAAAUCCCGAAGUAUGCCAAGUGUUUAAAGAAGCUUUGCACAACAAAGAAACGUGUCCGGGAGAAAGAGGUGGUACAUGUAAGCGAGAAUGUCUCCGCCAUCUUGCAACAUAAACUACCUCCCAAAUGCAAAGAUCCGGGAAGUUUUACAAUUCCGUGUGUCAUUGGUAAUACCCGUUUCAAAUCUGCCAUGCUUGAUUUAGGUGCUUCUAUAAAUGUUAUGCCAUAUUCCAUUUAUGCAUCUAUGAACUUAGGAGCAUUGAAAAAUGAUGGUGUAAUCAUACAAUUGGCCGAUAGAUCUAACGCUUAUCCAAAGGGAGUUUUGGAAGACGUUUUAGUGCAGGUUGAUCAUUUAAUCUUCCCAGCAGAUUUCUAUGUCCUCGAAAUGGAUGAAUCGGACCAUGCCCCUUCAUUGCCCAUCCUCCUUGGAAGGCCAUUCAUGAAAACGGCUCAAACGAAGAUUGAUGUGGCCAAAGGAUUAGUCACUAUGGCAUUUGGUGGUGACAUGAUUAGUUUCAAAAUUUCUGAAUCCAUUGAGACUCCUAAUGUUGUUCAUUCUUGUUGUGCCAUUGAUAAAAUUGAAAAGAUAGGACUGGACCGUUCAGCACCAGGCACAAAGGAUGCAUCAAGAACCAUGCAAGACGAGGGAAUUGGAGUGGCGCACAAGGACCAUACGACCACUGCUCUCAAAAUGCUCAAAUUGGCCGAACGCACCAUGGGGAAGAAUGUUCACAUUGCUGCCACUUCAUCACAACACAUAGGUAAGCCACCUAAUCCAAAUCCAAUUUCCAUUAAAGUUGAUAGGUGGUUCCCUUCUUUGGUGCAGGUACCUAAGCAAAUCCCCGAUGGUGGGCGUAUGAACAUGAACCUUAGGCAACACAACGCACCCAUCAACAAACAUCACUAUCCAUUUCCAUUCAAGGAUGUAAUCUAUGAGAACUUUGUUGAGCAUGUUGUGGAGGACAUUCCCUUGCAUGCCGUGGGCUUCAGUGGGGAGUAAUUGUGUUCAUCGUCCGGCUGGAAGACGUUAAAGCAAGCGCUUUAAGGGAGGCAACCCAUUUAUUCUGCUUGAUUGUCAAUUUUAUUACUUGUUUAAUUAUUUUUGGUUGUGACUUUCUAUUUUGAAACAUUAACAAAUAUGCAAAGGAUUUUAACAUUAAACUUCGUGGAAAUGAACAGCAAACUGGGAAAUAAAGAAACAUAGCAUAAUACAAGAGGGAGCCUUCACAAAGGCUGCUUGGGAGAGGUCGCAGUAGUCGGCGGAGUUGCAGUAGUCGGCGGAGUCUCAGCAGUCGGUGGGGCCACGGAAGGAGGAGGUAUCGGAGGUUGAUCAGUUGGAGCUUCACUACGCGGUGCCACCCCAGAAGACGAAGGCAGAUGCGGUUGGAACAAACCCACAAACCUCUGGUGAUCAAGUAAAAUCUGACCAUCAGUUUCUUGCAGCUGGUCAAUUUUCCUCUUCAUGUUUGUGGCAUAAUUGUGUGCAAGCUUGUGCAAUUGUUUAUUUUCAUGCUUGAGUCCUCUAAUCUCCUCUUUGAGACUCUGUAUUUCAGCCACCAACGAUUCAACGUGACGGGUUCGAGCAAAUAGGCGUUGGGCCAUGUUGGACACAGAACCCGCACACUGCACGCUAAGAGCCAGAGACUCCUUAACUGCCAAUUCAUCAGACCGUCUAGCGAGCAGUCUGUUAUCUCUGGGGGUGACAAGGUUCCGGGCCACCACCGCAGCGGUCAUGUCAUUUUUCAUCACCGAAUCCCCAACGGUGAGAGGACCAGUAGGGGAUAUGAGGGACGGACGCCAUAUGUUGUCUGGAGAAGGAGGGGCUGCUCCUUCACUAAGGUUCAAGUCAAAACGACGGUCGGAAGGGCCAGACAUUUUUCAGAGGUGUUAAAGAAAGAGGAGAUCGGACAAGUCAAGAUCGUAAAAGUGCAAAACGAGAGUUUUUUUUCAGGCAGAAAUUCAAGUGUGCUUUGAACGUCCUGCAUACCUCUAUAAAAAUCAGCACGCGAUGGGAUUUCAGAGAUCGAAGAGGUGAGCUCAGAAAUCGAAGAAGCCAUUCGGAGAUCGAAGAGGCGCCAGCUUUCUCAAAAGUUGGGCUUGCUCACAAACCACCAAUUCCAGAUACCGAAGAGUGUCAACUGUCUCAGCCUCGUCAGCACCCAUCACACGCAACUCAGCUUUGCGAAAAUCACGGGCAGUCUGUCGAAGCACCGAUUUCAACCAUCCGUCUCUCUCAGCCUCGUCAGCACUUGUCACAUGCAAUCUCUGCCCUCAACGAAGCUCAGAACUCGAAGCGUAAAUUCCGGAUAUUAAAGAGACCUCUGCUUUAUCGAGACGUGUUAGCAUCUGUCAAUUUGCACAUCUGCGUUGCGUAAAUCACGCGCAAUCUGUCGAAAUUUUUUGGAGAAGCGGAAUGCACGUGGAAACUACUGUUAAAUUAUCCCAGGCUUGCCGACACGAGUAAUGGAACAAUGCCUUCCCAGCCAUUAAGAAAAUUCUAUAAAUGUUGAACUUCAAAGUGAAGCAGUCUCACCCAACUUUCAGCCUCACUUAACCCUUCAUCCUCUCUGAAAUGGCUUUCCAACAAACCCUCUCAAGUCACUCUGUAUUUUUCAUCCCCUGGGAUACCCCUGCAAACAACCCAUCCAGAGCACAAGUAUUUCAUAUCAUAAAGGUUGAGAGCACGAGUAUCUCAUAUCAUGCUUUCUCCCUGUCCUUUCUCCAGCCAGCACCUGCUCUCGAGUACUCAUCAUCUUAUGCUUCCGCUUCGUCUCUCACGUAUAAGGGAAGUGAAGAUGAUACCUCGAAGCAUGUGGAGACAACGUGCUGAUUCAUCCUCAACUAAGGACAAGGAGAAAGAGAGCAAGAGGUGGGCACUUGGAAAGAUUGAAGAAAGAAACAGACCAACACCUCUCCCUCGUGCCUGCCCGUUGUGCAGAAGAAACAAGCAGAGAAGAAUGCAGCUCGUACAAUCAUCCCAGCGGAAGGAGUCCGAGCUGAAGAACUAGAGAAGCUGCCACAUCUGCUUGGAAAACAAAUAAGGAACUGCAACAUCACCAAAGAGCAAAGCUUCGCCGUACAAUUCCAAUCCAGUUCAAGAUCAAAGCUGUGGAAAGUCAACAAGAUCAACUAUCUCCAAAACCAGAUUUGCGUUCUUAAACUCUACUCUGUCUGGUUUUUACUUUGCCAUAUUUGUCAUGUUUAUUUGUCGUUUGUUAUUUGCUUGUUUUUGGUGUGAGUAUAUGCUUGAAACAUUGAGGACAAUGUUUGAUUUAAGUGUGGGGGGGUAACCAUUGUUUUGCAUGAAAUUCGUAGAAAUUUAUCACCCAUUACUUCUAGUGUUGUUCCUUGCUGUUUUAAGUAUUUUUAAGCUGUUUUGGAGUGUUUCAGUGUGUUUUGACAUAAAAAUCCGAAAAUUCAUAAAAAUUUGAAAAAUUGUUUUGAAAAUCCAAAAAAGAGUUGUUUUUGUGUGCUUAUUUGUGUCUUAGGGUACCUUCCAACACAAUGAUGAGGAUUCGUUUUGUAAUUGCAUGACUAUUAAAGAGAGUUAUAAACAUGGAUGAAAGUUUGAUUUACUCUUUAUUUAUGCGUGGUUGUGGUUAUAACUUAUGAAAUCACAUGUAAUCAUAAAAGAAAAAAAAAUUAGUUUUUGUAACAUGCUUGAAGGAAAGAACUCAAACUAACGCUACAACCUUGUGAGACUUGAGCCUAAACGUUAUUUGGAGAGUUGAUAUCUGUGCAUUAUUGUUUUCUAAAGUCGUUGCAUGAUCUCAUUUUUCUUUGCUUGGUUACUACUUAGAAGGCGUUUCAUCAUUUAGUUCCAAAUGCUAGAACUCAUGCCCAUUUCAUUCAAAGCAUGAUAUUGAUUUGCAUAACACAUAUUCAAGAUGAAGUUGUGUAGUUACCACCACCAAAGCCAAACUGCCAUGUAUCCCAUAUCGUUAUAUGUUUAAGUUAACCCCAUUGAGCCUUGAUAGCCUACAUUCUUUGUUAAACCACAUUAUCCUUACCUAGCCUAGUUUAGGACCAUCCAUACCCUUGUUCUUGAAGCAUAGUAAAACACGAUUCAAAUUGAAUUUCUUUUUGAUUAAUGUAUGGCAGAAAACAAGUGUGGGGGAAGUGUGAGUUAUUAUGCUUGUUGAAAAGAAAAGAAGAGUUGAAAAAAAAAAAAAAAAAAAAAAAAAAAAAAAAAAAAAGAGUUGAAAAAAUAUGCGAAAAAAAGAGUUUUAAAGUGCUGCUUGUUGAAGAAAGGGUCCAAAACAUAGAAUUCGGCCCUAAUUAUUGCUUGAAUUUUCCUUUCGUGUCUAAAAGCUGAUUUCUGCAAUUUAAGUGAAUUCUAAGUUUCAAUUUCAUUACUUUACUUGCUAUUGCUUUAAGAACGAUUGUUAUCCUUAUCCUUCAUUUGUUAGCCAUCACCCCAAGCCCCGUUACAACCCUUAACUUCAUCUUGAGUGUCAUGCGUUUCAAUAUGUGGAGUUUGAAUUUGGUAUGAGCAUAUGGUGUCACUGGUUCUCGCAUCUAAGUAGUAGCAUUCCAUUCAUGAGAUCAUAUCUAAACAUGCUUAUUAACUCCAGAAAUUGCUUUCUUUAUGAUACAUAUAUGUGAGCGUUCGUUUUCAUAUCUACAUCAAUCUUCUCACAUAUAACUAGUAUAGGGUGUGUAGUUAGAAAAUCUGAGUGAAAAUUGAGUGCAUAUCUUGUAAGGAAUUGAGUGAUUUCUCUAAGGCAUGUUACUACAUCAAAAAACAUUGUUUUAAUUGAUUAAUUGUGAACUCGUAAGUGUGUGACUAUGAUUAAGUAUGUGCUUAAGUGUAAAGAUGACUCAAAUCUGUGGGGAUAAUGAUUUUUAACAUGUCAUGUGCAUUGGAAAUCCCUGAGGCAAAUGUUGGAAGGUUUAGGUUGUGUUUUAUUUGUUUUGUUUCGUUUUAUUUCUUUGUUUUGCUCGAGGACUAGCAAAAGCUAAGUGUGGGGGAAUUUGAUAGGAGCAUAUUUAUGCGACUUAGUUGGCUUGUUCUUGUGCAUUUAUGUCGUGUUUCCUUAGUUAUUUUAAUGUUUAAAGUCAUUUUCGUGUGUUUUCAGACUCUAAGUACAAAGUAUGCAAGAAGAUGCAUUUUGGAGGCCUUUGGAGAGCAUGUUUCGGGCUUGGAAUGGAUAGCAAAUGCAUGGGCCAAGUGGAUGGACGAAUUUGAGAACUAAAGAGGCCAAGAAUAUGAAGAAUUAUGGUCCAAAAGAUGAAGAAAACAGCCCAAAAAUCUGUCACCCCAACUUGCAUUCCUUGCCAUGCAAACCACAUAGAAUUCCCUUUGGAUUCCAUGCCAUGCUUGAUCACUCUUGUCCUCUACAUAAUUUCUAAUUUCAUGCUUCAACUCAUUUAAUUAUUACACUCAAUUGCUUGAUACCUCUUGUUUCCUUCACUCAUUAGAUUUUAGACAACAUUUACAUCCAUUACAUGCACCAAUUGAUGCUCCAUCAUUCACAUUUGGAAUCCCAUGCCUUGUGUACCACAUGUUGCUGCACCUUUGACCCAUUUAUUGACACAUUUUCACCUCCCUUUCCAUCUCUCUAUGCAAUGUACACAAUCAUUCAUGCUCCCUAGCUUCAAGACCACUCCAUUUUACCCUUCACACUUUGCAUCAUCACUUCAUUUUCACCCUUGGACCAUUGCACACCACACACACAAAUUACCAUGCUUUUCAUCCUUAACCUAACCUGAUUUUCUAAGGUUUUUGGGGCCUAUAAAUACAUGUUUACACCCCUUGGCCAAAGAACAAUCCCCCAUAUUCAUCAUUUUAUCACAGAAAUUCGUCCAUACACACCCUAGGAAGCAAAACACCCCAAAAAACACAUUCUAGUGCCUAGAAAACAUAACAGCCACUCCACCUUCUUCCACCCUCUUUGCCUAGUUCUCCACCACCUUCCAACCAUCAAACACUCUUCCACACUCACCCUAAACCCCUCCAUAUCAUUCCCCAUCCAUUCUACACCAUAAAUCCACCCAAAAAUCUGUCCACAAGCUUCAUGCCGCAACAAGGAGGAAGGGAGAUCCAUUGAUGCACUUGCUUUCCAAGUUGGAGCAUUUUAGGUGUUUUCUUUCCUUUGAUUUUAAUGUCUAAUUUUAUUAUGUAUCUUUGUAUUGCAAGAAUGAGGAACUAAACCCCCUUAGUUGGGGGGUGAUUCGAAACCAUGUACAUGCUUGCAAUAUGAUUUGAUUACAUUCAGUUGUUAUUUCAUAAGUUGCGGAUUCAAUUCGUUCAUCUACUUGAUUGAUAACUUAUUUGUGUAUGUUGAUUGAGAGUGCACGCUUAGUUUUCAUGCAUGAAUAUGAUGCUAGAUUAUGAGGGAGUUUCACCUAAUAGUUACAAUCUUAUAAUCACAAGUAGUGAAGGUCGCUUGAAAAACGAUCGCGUUGAAUGAAUUCUUGGCACUAGUUUCAUGCUCAUCAUAGUAACGAAUGCCUCGUCAACACUUAUAGUUCUCAUUGUGCUUCAUGAUUCUUGAUUGUAUCUUUAUUGUGCUCAUCACGUAAGGAACCUUUGAGGAAUGCUUUGAAUUGUUGUAUGCGCUUUUCCAUCCAAUUCAUUAACUUAAGGAGAACUUGAAGGUUAAUUUAAGCGUAUCUAAUUAACUUGGGGUGUUGAGUUUCAUAAUAAUUUAUUGAAAGAACAACUGAAAAUCAUUUUGUUUGCAAGUGUGUCAUGUGUGGAGAAGAACCUCCUAACUAGCCUUUUAUCCAUCCUUUUCAUCCAAAAACAUUUUACAAUCUGUUUUGUUUUAAAGUUUCUGUUUUGUUUUCAAUUUUCGUCCAAAACAAAUCCCCUUUUAUUUUGAAGUCUUAGAUUAGUUAGAAAGUGUUUUGAUUUGUGUUUCUAAGUGUUUUGAUUCAAGUUUUUAUCCAACUUCGUCCAAGUUCUUGUUAGGUUCUCAAAACUACCCAGAAAGUGGUUUUUAGGCAGUUUUGAGUCAUUAGGUUGCUGUUUUGAGUUUUAUGUUUGUUUAAGUAUUUUAAAGUAUAGUUUUGCAUUCUUUGAGUCUAGUUUAGUGUUUUAAAUUUUGUUUUUAUGUUUUUAAGUCAGUUUUCAAGUGUUUAGCAAUCCCUCCUAAUCCCCGGCCUAGAACGAUCCCUACUUACAUACUUUACUACAUUUGAUAAAAAGAGGGUUUAAUUUUGUGUGUUAACUUAUUUCACGCAUCAGACAUUUGCCUAACCAAGAUACCCAAAAGUUCAUUGAAAGUCAUUGAUGAGUUCCAUCCACCUCUUAUGUCUCAAGCUCAACACCUUUUGGGUGAAAACACAUUAUCACUUCUUUGGUCUGAAAGGAUACAACAUUUAUUGCUCUAGAGAAAACGUUACCAAAUUUUAUAGCAAGGGAAAUUGUUACAAGUUCUAGGUCAUGAAUAGUAUAAUUCUUUCCAUGAGGUUCGAGAUGUCCAGGAGCAUAGGCGAUGACCUUCCCAUGCUACAUCAGAAAACAACCCCAAAUGUGACAAGGAUGCAAAACAAGAGACUUUAACACUCACCACCAAUGUCAAGAAAAGCAAGGACGGGAGCAUUAGUAAGACGAUGUUCCAAACUCCAGAAAAUUUUGUUCCCAACUUUCGUCCCACAUAAAUUUCUACAAAGAAAGGGUGUCAUUAGGUUUUCAAGUAAAAUGGUAACCAUUGGCUCAAGGUCGUAGAUAGAAUGGUUCAUUUCAUGCGAUUCCAACCAUCAAGAGGCACAUGCAUUACUCGGUCAUGCUGCAUCAGCGUGCAACCAAACAUUCAAUAAAACAUCAUCGUAGAAUUCGAAAUUUAUCGACGGCAUCGAUAAGUGUAAGAUUAAUGAUCAAGUGAGACAAUACUUCAGUUGUCAGAAACUUCAUUCACCUUCAACAUCUCAAACAAAAUUGACUAGUUUCUUAGCCAAAAAGGAAAUAGGGCUAUGCAAAGUUUUGUUAAGAACUACCGAUAGAAAUUGCCAAGACCAAAGAUAUUUUGUAUUUCACAACAUCUUGUGAGGAUUUUCAAAUUUUCAACAGUCCCAACCUUUUUGGAAAUGGAUAAGAAUAACGUCUGCUACAAUAGAGUCUCAUAUGAAAAGUAUCUAAUCUAAAUAAAAACAACGUUUGAAGAAUUUGAUGUAAAGCUGACUGUCGAUGUUUAGUGAACUUGACCUCGUUGUUGGAGUAGACAAUAAGGUUAUCGAUAAGAAAAUCACGAAUUCGUCGGAAAAUGGGUGGAAUAACUGGUCAAUUAGGGAAUCCAAGAGCAUAGGCGUAUUAAACUUUUAUAUGUUUAAUGAAGGGCAAAUUUAGUUAACUGUAUUAAAAUGUUAUUAAUAAUUAUUUAUUGUUAAUUCAAAGGUUUAAGCAAUAAGGUAUCUAAUUUGUUCUAAGAGAUAAGUGCUAAUGUUAGAUUGAGUACUAGACCUUUUCUCUUAUGUUUCAUUCCUUAAACGUUCCUAGCCAUAGGAUUGCCAAUUGGGCAUUGAACAAUCCUAAAGGUUUAGUAUGUUUAUGUUGACUCAAACGUGAGUAUGAAACUAGUCUCAAGUCAUUUGGUUGUUGGACACUGAGACACUGUGCUCAAAGUAAUCGAGUACACUGAACGUCAAUUGAAGUCAGAGUUUCGAAACAUAACAUGAACAUGCACAUGUAUGAACUCUAAAGUUGCAAUAUGCAAAAGUAUCCUUUAGUCCUUUGACCUGAGGCAUCAUAGAUGUCUAAUGGUUAGGGUCCUUGAUCUUUGAUCAUGUUUGAUCAAUGUCAACGGCAUUCCUUCGGAUUGUCCACAUGGCAUUGUUGUGGUGUGGCUAGCUACCUAGCCAUGUAGGCAUAUGAAUGCACAACAAGGGAUCUCUAACCUUCCAUGGUGGAAGGAGAAUACUCUAAGAUAUGAUUCUAAAGUCUUUGGCCAAAGCAAAUGAAUAUGACUUAGGAAGUUUGUUCCAAAUCAUAUUCAAGGGAAUCAUAUAGGAAAGUAUCACAUUGGAUAGUAGACAUGAAACAAACUAUCACUUAAACAAUGUGAUUAAGAGUAUUGUAUUAGAGAACCGUACCGUAAUUGCUGGAUAGGUACUUAGGCUUGGGUUGAUAUGCUGCUAGGUGUCGAAGCCCUAAAGAUUAGCAACACACUAAUCUUAAAGGAGAAUUGAAAUGUGGUUCAACAAUCGAGUAACAUGCCCACUGCCUCGUAAUUGGAACCUAAUGGAUCGCAACACAGAAGGAUGGAUAAGCAAUUAAAUGGUUUAAAUUGAAGAAUGGUCAAAGUUAAUUAAUUAGUUAAUUAAUUAUACGAAAGGUUCGUAUUGGGCUUUUAAGUUAGUUUGGGCUUCGGGGUCCAAAAUUGUUUUGGUCCACUAGGCCCAUUAUGUUUAAGUUGUAUGACAACUAAAACAAAUAUUGGUAUUAAGCCCAAUAACAAAAGGAGGCCGGCCAUAGCAAGGGUAGUGGGAAUUUUUGCUUAAUUGCAAGUUUGCCACUAACCUAAGAGAUGAAGUAUAAAAAGUCAUCAUCUUUAUAGCUUUGUUUCUAAUUAGGGUUUUCUAAUAGAAAAUUGGGUGAAACAUUUUCUCUCAUUUUCUACAUAGAGGCCGGCCACUUAGAGGAUUUUUACUAGCAUCUAAAAUCUCUCUAAGUCAUCCAAUUCAUCUUCACAAGAUACAACCUUUGUGAAGAGACUUAGAGACAUCAAGCUUUUGAUGUUUUUUGGAGAACAAAUCCUUUUUCCUCUAAUCAUCAAAGGAGCACUAAAGGGAGGAAAACACAAGGAGGAUUCAAGGAGCUUGGAGGUGACUUGAAGGCCCUCCACUUGGGUGAAUCCCUUGUGUAAACAAGGAUGAGCUUCAAGGGUAAAGAAUCACUAAAUCUUUACUUCUCUUUAAUGUUGUUAAAGAGUUUAUUUUGGUUCACCAUAUACUAGGCUUUGAAAGUCAUGGGUUUUUAUGAAUUGUGUUUUUUGGAUGCAUGCCUACUUUAAAAGUUAAUAGUUUGUAUUAAAUUGUUUUGUUCAUACUUGUUCUUAGCUAGGACAAAAAUUUUCCUUCAUUGCGCCCCCUUCAGGAGUUAGAAUCAAGGCAUACAGUCCCAGGGUCAAGACACUUCCGCAUAGGUAUCUUUGAGUCUUCUCUGUGUAGGACCCAUUCCUUCGUUUGUACCCUUUUAUAAUAAUUCUUUCACAUUAGUCUUAAUUAGUUGUAUGCUCUAAACACGUUCUUGCAAUUGCCUACUUCAUCAUAUUCAAAUUUCCACAUUUUGUUUACGUUCAUUCUUUCAUUAUAUGUUGAUGCAUGUUUAAAAUGGCUUCGUCACCCUCAGGUGUCAGCUAGCACGUGCCUAUCCUAUCCUGAUAUUAUUUGAGAAAAUAUUGGGGUCGGAAUCAAUGUCACAUAUUUCAAAAGCCCAAGAAAGACUCGAAGAUAAUAUCGAUCAACCGACUAUUUAAAACCGAAUUUAUAAGGGAAAUUUAAAGGUCGAAGAGUUUUUGGAUUGGGUGGUAGAAGUAGAUAGAUUCUUCCAAGUCAUGAACGAAAUGAUGAAGAUGGUUACCUUCCAUCUCAAAACAACUGAUAAUGUUUCGUGGGAUAGAACACUCGACCAAAGGCAAGGAAAGAAUCGAGUUUGAACGUGGAGGAAAAUGAAGCAGCUCAUGAUGGAUCCAUUCUUAUCUGCUGAUCAUGAGCAAAUCUUGUACUGCAUGUAAAUUAGCUAUACAAGGCAAUAGAACAGUGACAAAUUAUAUAGAUAAUUUCAUGUGACUUGCAGAAUGUAACCAUCUGACAGAGAUAGAAAACUAGAAAGUUGUGAGGUAUGUGAAUAAGCUAAAACUCUGCAUACAAGAGAAGAUUGGAUUGUAGAAUUUGUGGCCUUUGCAAUAGGCUAUUAACAUGGUUUUUAGGGAAUAAUUAGUAGAAAAAGAGAGGCGUCAUAAUUUUUUCGGAGGAAUGUGACAGAGUAUUUCGAAACCUAUAUUGUCUCACCAGCAGAUAGGGAAAAUUCAUGCAUCUAAUGAAGGAAGUAGCAAAACUUUCAAUGGAGGGCAGAUCAUAAACCAAACCUGUAGGGAGAAUCUGUAUGCCAAACCUUCAACAAACAUUUUAAAUCGGUGUAAGAAAUCCAGGCAUCGGUUCAACGUUUGUCCCAAACGCUGUUAAGCUAACAUGCUGGAUGCUGACGGGAAUUAUGUAGAACAAGAAGAUGAAGUUGCCAAUGGUGACUAAUUAGGGGUUGAGUUUGCAACUAAAGAAGGAAUAGAACACCUCACUUUGGUGUUGCAGCGAGUUCUCUUGGCGCCAAAAGAGGUCGGGCAUUAACACUAUAUUUUUGCUCUAUGUGUUCUAUUAACGGUUAUAUCUACGAGGUGAUUGUAGCCAAUGGGAGUUGCAAAAAUUUUGUGGCCAAGAAAAUGGUGGAUUGCCUGCAGCUACCUACUGAGCUACACAUCACUCCCCAUGCACUUGGUUGGGUGAAGAAGGGGUAUUUGGUUCGUGUCACAGAAACUUGUCAUGUCCAGCUUUCCAUCGGUACACAUUAUCAAGAUGAUUAAGUAUGUGAUGUAAUUGAUAUGAAUUUUUGUCAUCUACUAUUAGGGAGACCUUGGCAAUUUGAUGUGGAUUUGAAAUUGAACAAUCAUGAUAAUGCGGUGUUAUUCACUUGGAACAACCACAAGAUUGUAAAGGCUCAUAUUUCGCCUUCCGAUAUGCCGAAGAAGAAAAAUACUAGUUUCUUAAUUCUGACUAGUAAUGAGUAUGAGAUAAGAAGAUGACUCCUUUCCAAUUGUGAAGAAGAGUUUGUUGACAUAAGGCCAAAAAAAAGGAACCAAUCAUUUCGGUAGUGCAGCAGUUAUUAAGGGAGUUUGAAGAACUCAUUUCUGACGAGUUGCCUAAUGAACUUCUGCCCCAUGAGGAACAUCCAACAUCAAAUUGAUUUGGUACCCAAAGCUAGCCUAAAAAUCUUCUCCAUUGUCGGAUGAGCCCCGUAUAUAAUGAAAUAUUGAGGGAGCAUAUUAAAGAUUUGCUGAGGAAGAGCUUUAUUAAGGAAAAUAUGAGCCCUUAUGUGGUGUCUACCCUCUUAGUCCCAAAGAAGGCCAAGGGAAAGGAAAAGAUGUGGCGUAUGUGUGUUGAUAGUCAAGCUAUUAACAAAAUGAACAUAAAAUACAAAUUUCCUAUACCCCAGUUGAAUGAUAUGUUGGAUGUGCUCGAAGAUUCAAAAUGGUUCUAAAAUUAGACCUUCGCAUCAGUUAUUACUAGAUUCGAAUUAGGCAAGAAGAAUGAAAAACGGCGUUCAAACACAAGGAUGUGUUGUUCAAGUGACUGGUGAUGCCGUUUGGAUUGUCUAACGCACCAAGUACCUUCAUGAGACUUAUGAAUCAAUUCUUUGUCCUUUUAUUGGUCUCUUUGUUGGAGUUUAUUCAAUGAUAGUUUAAGCUAUAUCAAGGCCAAAGAAGAACAUUGGAUGCAUUUGAAAGUUUUGAGUGUGUUGAAAGAAAAUAAGUUGUAUAUGAAUGUGAAGAAAUGUAUUUUUUGUAAAUUGCUAUUUUUGGGAUUUGUGGUUGGCGAGAAUGUAAUUAAGGUGGAUGAUGAGAAGACCAAGGCCAUCUGAGAUUGGCCAACUUUGAAGUCAAUCUACGAUGUAAGAAGCUUUCAUCAGGAUUUGAAGUUUAUUAGCAAUAAAAAAAAUGUUAAUAAAAUGCAUAUCAAAUGAGUAACCUUUAUUUUUUUGCAAAAAAUCCCAUUUGUUACAAAGCACAAAUCUAGUGCUAAAAACCUUGUUGUCAAUGCCCUACGUAGACGGGCAUCCUUUCCCAAGAAGUUUUGGGGUUCAAAUGCUUGAAGGACUUGUUGAAUCAUAUGAUGUUUUUCAAGGAAUCUGGAGAAAUUCGUAAUCAUGCACCAAUUACAAAUUACUUUAUCAAGGAAGGUUAUUUGUUCAAGGGCAAUCAACUGUGUGUGGGACCAUGAUUUUCUAAAGUCGGAGUAAGGUUGAUCUGAAUACUAUUACCUCAAAAGUCCGGUCAUGAACUCAGCGGCUCCAAGCGAAGUUGUAUCAAACAGAACAGUGGUGCCACCAUCACCUUGUUUCGUGGCAAUAGGCGAAGUCCAAAGGGAGUCCAAUGGAUGACCAUGCUUGUUCCUCAAGACACAAGAUCUGGUCUAGAUAUGUACACAAUCAGAUCCUCAUAAUCUUGGAGUUCCUACAAUCUAGGAAUUGGUGUGUGCUGUACGCAAUCACACUUCUAAGAGGACCCAAUAUCUAGCCCUAGAUAUUCUCUAGGAUUCUUCUAGUUUAGUACCAGGAUUUUAUCAUAAAUAGGUCUCUCUCCCGGUCAGUAUAAAUACACCUAUCUAGGGUUCUUCUCGGGUAACACAUUCUUAGUAUACUUAUUCUCUUGUUCACUGCUUGAGUCUAAAAUUGUUUACCAACUUGACCGUCGGAGAGCCUUUGACCCACACACCCCCUCCAGUCUUGGGCUUGCUUACUGUUGUUUCUUGUUUUGCAGGUUACUUGAAUUUAUGCCUCCACCAACAGCAGCGGGCGCAAAUUUAGUUCCAACAAUUGUUGCUUUCAUUGAGAGUUUGACUCAUAUUCCUCUUGGCCCAAGUCACUCUAGCCAUCAUGAAAACUGUUCAUAAGCGAUCACGUCGCAAUGGCACCACUAGCUCGCUCAAUGAAAAGGCUUCCUUUAUGAAUAAAUUAUGGGAGAAGAUGUUGAAAAUACAUGCGUUGAUAAAAGACGUACGAAGAAGCUCGCAGGCUAAAGAAUGAGCAAGGCUAAGGAAACUUAAAGAGCGUAUGAAUGAUGUUGAAAACACCAUAUCUCACCUAGAACAGCAGGCGAUUUAGGCGGCACUUGAAGCAUAACGUGGGAAACCGAGAAAGACACAAAUUCCCUUUCCAACCCAAUACCCCCAAAAAGGGUCUCGCAUCGGAAUCAACCGCCUGAAUAGAAAGCAUGAACGCCAAAGGGAGAUUUGUACUGAAUGAGAAGAAGCGUGCCGCAAGCUUCAAUCGACUAAGAAGUCACCAUUAAUCAGCCUGGACACCACAAAGUUCUGAAAUCCUGAAGUUGAAAUUGUCACCGUCUCCACAACAACAUUUUUUUCGCCAAACUUCAAAUCGCCAACUCCAUGGUUGGACGAGUCUUGGUAGAUAACUGAUCAGAAAUUAAUAUCCUUUUUAAGGGGGUGGCCAAGGGAAUGAAUGUUCUUGGCGACGUCAAGACGAGGAGAGCUACCUUCCAAGCCUUCAACGGAAUGUAAUGCCCUGCCAAUCUAAUUCAGAAUUUACUCUUAGUGGUAGGCCAAAAAUGUCCUAGUUACCCUUUAUGUUACUAACCAUACUAAUAUUUCUUUCUUUGACAAUUUUCCACUAAUAUUUAAUCUCGUACAUUUUAUGGUUACAUCUAACUUUCUUGUUAGAUUGCCCACGUACCCUUCGAAAGAAUCAAGCCAGUCGUAGUUCACAAUACAAUAUUAAUCCAUUUUCUAAAUCAUUCAAGUGACUACCAAUCACGAAACUAGGUUCAAACAAAUGAAUCACACAAAAUUCAUAUCAUAUAUGAAUUCAGAAUAUCAACAUCGGCCCUCUAGCCACGUGCCGGAAACCCAGUUUUCCGACGAACUCCAAAAAUUACCAAAUUUUACAGGAAUGUAGAGUACAACUAAGGGAAUAAUUUUCAUACCUAGGCCGAAAUCCAAUUCGGCUGGAAAACACUUGAAAUUAGCCUCAAUCCAUGUAAAACCCUAGAACUUUGUGAUUUUGAUUCGACACCAGAACAACUCUAACGCCCCAUCCAAUGCAUGGGCUUUGUUCCUGAGGGUAAGGUGAGUCUAUUGAUGGUGGAAAUUGACUGAGUUAGCUUCAUGGUUGGCGGAUCGUCGCUGUACUAUAACAUCCCACAUCGCCUAGAGAAGUGGAUCAUGUAAGCCUUAUAUGCAUAUUCUCAUCUCUACCUAGCACGAUGCCUUUUGGGAGCUCAUUGGCUUCAGGUUCCAUUGGAACUUCGAAGUUAAGCGAGUUCGCACGAGAGCAAUCUUAUGAUGGGUGACCCACUAGGAAGUUCUCGUGUGAGUUCUCAUAAACAAAACGAUGAGGGCGUGGUCAGGGCCCAAAGCGGACAAUAUCGUGCUACGGUGGAGUUGAGCCCGGGAUGUGGUGGGGGUCUGGGCCAGGAUGUGACAAUUUGGUAUCAGAGCCAAUUCCUGGCCAGAAGUGUGCCGACGAGGACGUCAGGCCCCUAAGGAGGGGUGGAUUGUAACAUCCCACAUCGCUGAAGGGAGUGGAUCAUGUAAGCCUUAUAUGUAUUUUCUCAUCUCUACCUAGCACGAGGCCUUUUGGGAGCUCACUGGCUUCGGGUUCCAUUGGAACUUUGAAGUUAAGCGAGUUCGCACGAGAGUAAUCCCAUAAUGGGUGACCCACUGGGAAAUUCUUGUGUGAGUUCCCAGAAACAAAACCGUAAGGGCAUGGUCAGGGCUCAAAUCGGACAAUAUCGUGCUAUGGCGGAGUCGAUCCUGCGAAUGUGGUGGGGGCUGGGCCGGGAUAUGACACGUACACCAAUUCGCAUGCCCCCGGUGUUUGUUUGUCGAUAAACAGAGCCUAAUGACUCAAAUUGACGUGAAAAUGAAAGAGAUGUCGAGAGAGCCCGAAGUGCAGGUCAUUUUGACACUGGUUCCAUCACCAUCAGUGGCUGGAAUAGAGAGAUGGAGUCGAGGCAGAUCGGCGGGUCAAUUAGAUCUGGUGUCCUCCUUCCAUCCCUUAUUUCCCUCAUUUCCUUCCUUCUCAUGAGUCUUCUCUUCCCCCCCUUGGCCACAGCCACACACGUGGCUUAUCUCUACCAGAACACUCCUCCAGCCAAAUCUAGAGCUUUCCAGAUUCAUGGCAAUGAAGGAAAUUUUGUGAAAAACAUGUUCGUUUGAGCAACAUUUGUGGCAUGCAAUUAACAAUUAAAGGCGGAAUCAUGCUUGUAUGCACUCAAAACAAAACAUUACCUAUGAAAUUCAAAGCCUAGUAGUUAUGUGAACCAAGACUUAACUCAAGAACAAAGUGAGUUGAGAAAUUUUAUACCUUUGUUGGUUCCUCUUUGCAUAUGCAAAGGCUAAUCACCCAAGGAGAGGGCCUUCAUUCCUUGCUUCUUAGCUCCAUGGCUUUCUUGGAUGAGGAUGGUUGAAAGGAUUCUCCAAGUUCCCAAAGUUGAGAACCCCUAAGUCUCCACACCAAGGUAGAACUUGAAGAAGAGAUGGGUGACCUAGAGGAAGUAAGAUUGCUAGCUAAAAUCCUCUAGGGUGGCCGACCUCUUAGAGAGAAAAGGGAGUUUACGAUCUCAUCUUUUCUCCAAAAGAAACCCUAAGGAUGAAAUGGCUAUAAAGUUGCCUUUAUACCACCUCACAAUGGAGUGGCAAACUUGCAAUUAAGCUAAGUUUACUACCCCUCUUUAUAUGGCCGGCCAUUAAGGGUUCAUUGGGCUUUCAAGCCUUUGUGGUUUCAAGUUGUCAUACAACUUGAGUUAAUGGGCUUGACAUUCAAAUCCCAUUGGGCCUUCCGGCCCAAAACUAACCCGAGGUCUAUAACGAACUUAUUCGUUUGAUUAAUUAACAUAUUAAUUAAUCCUAGCCAUAAAUAAUUAAACCAUUUAAUUAUCCUUACUCAUCUCUGUUGUUUCUUCAAUCUCUACCUUACACGGUGUACGAUCCAUUAGGUUCCUUUUAGCGAGGCAGUGAGCGAUUAGAACUCUUUCAAAUCAAUUGUGAAUUGAAACUUACUUUCAAUUCUCCCUUUAGUGAUUAUACAGGUUUAGGGCUUCCACAAACCAUGAGUGACACCUAGCAGUAUGUCAUGGUUACCCAAGCUAAUCAGAAGAGGUGGAGAACCUAUUCAGUUUAGGAUUACAAUGCAAUACGAUCUUUCUCUAAUACAAUACUCUUGACCACAUUGUUUGGUUUGAUAGUUUAUUCAUGUCUACUAUCCAAUGUGAUUCAUUUACUUAUAUGAUUACCUUGAAUGUGAUUUGGAACGACUUCCUAAAUUUCAUUCAUACUCUGGCCAGAGAUUCUUAAUCAUAUCAUAGAGUAUUGUGAAGGAAAUUUUGUGAAAAACAUGUUCAUUUGAGCAACAUCUUGAAGGAAAAUUAUGUGAAAACAUGUUCAUUUGAAUAACAUCUAUAGCAUGCAAUUAACAAUUAAAAGGCGGAAUCAUGCUUGUAUGCACUCAAAAACAAAACAUUACCCAUGAAAUUCAAAGCCUAGUAGAUUGGUGAACCUUGACUCAACUUAAAACAACAUUUGUUAGUUGAGAAAUUAUACCUUUGUAGAUUCCUCUUUGCAUAAGCAAAGGCUAAUCACCCAAAGAGAGGGCCUUCAUUCCUUGCAUCUUAGAUCUAUGGAUUUGGAUGGAUGAAAUGGUUCUCCAAGUUCCCAAAAUUGAGAACCUCUAAGUCUCUUCACCAAGGUUAGAUUGGAGAAGAAAUGAGUGACCUUGGAGUAGUAGGAUUAAGGAGAGAUUGCUAGCUAACCCUCCAAGGAGGCCGACCACUUUUAGAGAAAGGAGAGCUUAUGUUCCCAUCCUUUCCCAAAAGAAAACCCUAAUGAAUUUUGGCUAUAAAGUCAUAUUUAUACCUUAAUUCAUUGGAGUGGCAAACUUGUAAAUAAGUCCAAAACUCACUCCAUCUCUAAAUGGCUGGCCUUAGGGUAUUAUUGGGCUAAUUGGGCCUUUGUGAAUCAUUAUUCAUUAAGUUGUCAUACAACUUAAGUCAAUGGGCUUGACGUUCGAAGCCCAUUGGGCUUUAAGGUCCAAAACUAUCCCAAGGUCUUUAACGAACUAAUUCGUUUGAUUAAUUAACAUAUUAAUUAAUCCUUGCCAUAAAUAAUUAAACCAUUUAAUUAUUCUUACUCAUCUCCAUUGUUUCUUCAAUCUCCACCUUACACGGUGUACGAUCCAUUAGGUUCCUUUUUAGCGAGGCAGUGGGCGAUUAAAACCAUUUCAAAUCGAUUGUGAAUUGAAACUUACUUUUCAAUUCUCCCUUUAGUGAGUGAUUAUACACGUUUAAGGCUUCCACAAACCAUGAGUGACACCUAGCAGCAUAUCAUGGUUACCCAAGCUAAUCAGAAGAGGUGGAGAACCUAUUCAGUUUAGGAUUACAAAUGCAAUACGGGUCUUUCUCUCUAAUACAAUACUCUUGACCACAUUGUUUGGUUUGAUAGUUUAUUCAUGUCUACUAUCCAAUGUGAUUCGUGUGCUUAUAUGAUUACCUUGAAUGUGAUUUGGAAGGUACUCUGGCCAGAGAUUCUUAAUCAUAUCAUAGAGUAUUCUCCCCCAAACGGUUUGAAGGUUAGAGAUCCCUUGUUGCGCAUUCACUUGCCUCCAUGGCUAAGUGGCUUAACCCCGACGAUGCCGUGGACACCCACGGAUGGGGUGACUUUGACAUAAUCAAAAGAGGUGGAGAACCUAUUCAGUUUAGGAUUACAAUGCAAUACGGUCUUUCUCUAAUACAAUACUCUUAACCACAUUGUUUGGUUUGAUAGUUUAUUCAUGUCUACUAUCCAAUGUGAUUCUCUUACUUACAUGAUUACCUUGAAUGUGAUUUGGAACGACUUCCUAAAUCUUAUUCAUACUCUGGCCAGAGAUUCUUAAUCAUAUCAUAGAGUAUUCUCCUUCAAACAGUUUGAAAGUUAGAGAUCCCUUGUUGCGCAUUUACUUGCCUCCAUGGCUAAGUAGCUUAACCCCAACUAUGCCGUGGACACCUUCUGACGGAGUGACUUUGGCAUAGUCAAAGAUCAAGGACCUAACCACAAGACAACUAUGAUGCCUCAGGUCAAAUGACUACUUUGCAUUAUCUUAACCAUGAUUUCUCAUGUGACAUGAGUAUGAGAACUCCUUGUUGAUCGUGUUCAGUGGACUCAUUCUCUAUUGAGCACCUACAUGCUUGUCUUGGUGUCAGUCACACCAAUGACUCAAGACCAGUCACUCUCCCUAAGAGAAGACAUAACACGUACUGAUCUUAACGGACUGUCAAUUCCCAAUUGGCAAUCCUAUGACCAGGAACGUUUAGGAUAUGUAUACGGAAGAGAACGAUCUCAUGAAUCUAACUUCUUUAGAUCGCAUUCUCCCAAUUACAUAUUCCUUGGACUUAUCGUUUAAGCGUAUAACAUUUAUAUAAGAUGGCUUCAAACAAUAAUCUUUGCCCUUUAAAUUAAACUAUAUUAAUUUAACAUGUGAAAUGUCCGUAAAGUAUCAUCAUAUGAUUGGUUUUAGGGCACAUUUCCAACAAUCUCCCACUUGCACUAAAGCCAAUCAACUUGGUCAUCAAUGAUGAUACCUCUUCUGUAGUCAUUUCAAAAAUGGUUGAGUAGUAGGCCUAGACAAUGGAUAUCUAUAUGUUAUCCAUAGAAGCAACCUUGAGAAUAACGACGUCACCAUUAUACAUGAUUCUUAAUCAUGUGGUUUAGUCUCUCAUUUGAGUUCGGAUCCUGAUGAGACCUUGAUUCCCUGGCUUGAGCUAUCGCCCCAUUAGUGUCAUAGUGUCAGUACACUGGAGACACUUUUUGGUUGGAACCGAAUAGAGAGUUCAUAAAUGAACUUUCCCAUCCAAACAACAUUGUUGUAAGCUUCUAUAUGGCAAUAUAUUUUGCAUUCACAAUGGAACACACUAAAGUCAUUACUUUUAAUGUUUCCAUCCAAAUAUCUCUUUAGUCAUAAUAAAAGGAUAUCUGAUUAUCUCUUCAUUCAUAAUGAAGAAACAUCCAAUGAUGGAUUAGAUUCAUAAUCUAAUACAUUUACGCUUCCAUUAAGUUACUCUAAUUCUUCCUCAUUCUUUGAGGAAUAUAUCCUUUAGUAUUUCUUAAAUACUUAAGGACUCACUUGACAGUUGCCAUGGUUCUGAUCAUGGGCUUGCAUUGAUAUCGUCUUGUACCGAUCUUGGUACAACUCAUAUCAAUGUUUUUCAUACAAUAUGAAAUACGUAAAUCACCUUUCUGCGUAUGCAUAAAGGAUUCUAUUUAUGCAUUAUGUUUCUUUAGGAGUCAAAAGGGUACGUUCCCUUUGAGAAGAGCAACUUCCUAGUCUCACUAGAGUUGUCCUUCUAAUUGAAGUUUAUCAUCAUAUGAGAAACUUUAUACCUUUGUUGAUUCCUCUUUGCAUAAGCAAAGGCUAAUCACCCAAUGAAGCUUGUGUUCUCAUCUUUUCUCUAAAAGAAACCCUAAGGAUGAAAUGGCUAUAAAGUUGCCUUUAUACCACCUCACAAUGGAGUGGCAAACUUGCAAUUAAGCCAAGUUCACUACCCCUCUCUAUAUGGCCGGUUUUUCCAAGCCCUUGGGCUGUUUUGGGCUUCUUGAAUUUUAUUUGUUAAGUUGUCAUACAACUUAAGCUAAUGGGCUUGACGAUUCGAAGCCCAAUUUGGGCUUUAAGGCCCAAAACUAACUCAAGGUUUAAAAAGAACUUAUUCGUUUGAUUAAUUAACAUAUUAAUUAAUUCUUGCCAUAAACAAUUAGACCAUUUAAUUGUCCUUACUCAUCUCCGUUCUUUCUUCAAUCUCUACCUUACACGGUGUACGAUCCAUUAGGUUCCUUUUAGCGAGGCAGUGGGCGAUUAGAACUCUUUCAAAUCGAUUGUGAAUUGAAACUUACUUUCAAUUCUCCCUUUAGUGAUUAUACACGUUUAGGGCUCCACAAACCAUGAGUGACACCUAGCAAUAUGUCAUGGUUACCCAAGCUAAUCAGAAGAGGUGGAGAACCUAUUCAGUUUAGGAUUACAAUGCAAUACGGUCUUUCUCUAAUACAAUACUCUUGACCACAUUGUUUGGUUUGAUAGUUUAUUCAUGUCUACUAUCCAAUGUGAUUCUCUUACUAACAUGAUUACCUUGAAUGUGAUUUGGAACGACUUCCUAAAUCUUAUUCAUACUCUAGCCAGAGAUUCCUAAUCAUAUCAUAGAGUAUUCUCCUUCAAAUAGUUUGAAAGUUAGAGAUCCCUUGUUGCGCAUUCACUUGCCUACAUGGCUAAGUGGCUUAACGCCAACCAUGCUGUCGACACCCUCUGACGGAGUGACUUUGACAUAGUCAAAGAUCAAGGACCUAACCACAAGACAACUAUGAUGCCUCAGGUCAAAUGACUACUUUGCAUUAUCCCAACCAUGAUUUCUCAUGUGACAUGAGUAUGAGAACUCCUUGUUGAUCGUGUUCAGUGGACUCAUUCUCUAUUGAGCACCUACGUACUUGUCUUGGUGUCAGUCACACCAAUGACUCGAGACCAGUCACUCUCCCUAAGAGAAGACAAAGCACGUACUGAUGUUAACGGACUGUCAAUGCCCAAUUGGCAAUCCUAUGAUCCGGAACGUUUAGGAUAUGUAUACGAAAGAGAAUGGUCUCAUGAAUCUAACUUCUUUAGAUCGCAUUCUCCCAAUUACAUAUUCCUUGGACUUAUCGUUUAAGCGUAUAACAUUUAUAUGAGACGGCUUCAAACAAUAAUCUUUGCCCUUUAAAUUAAACUAUAUUAGUUUAAUGUGAAAUGUCCGUAAAGUAUCAUCAUAUGAUUGGUUUUAGGGCACAUUUCCAACAGGCAAAAACGACUAUUUUGCCACUACUUUCGUUUGUUUCUAUUUCAUUCGUUAUAACUCCGUUUGUCGAACGGUUUUCGCCUACACGCUUGUAGGGUCGUCCUCUGUUCAAAUAUAUCUAGAAAUAUGAUAAAAUAUAUGAGGAUAAAAUAUGUCUUUGUAUAAUUACGUUAACCAAAUAGGAGCAUUUUUGUCAUUUUUCACUUAAUGAAAAAUUGUACGACAUAAAUAAUAAUAAAAUUCAGAAGCUGGAUUUCAGAUUUUCCCCAUUCAAAUUUCAUAACCAUAAAUUGAUCUACUUUUGCUUUUCCUCCACAUAAACAAGAAAAUGAAUAUCCACUACAUCUCUAAAAUAUUCAGAACAAUAAAACUUAUGGUCCCAGCAAAACUGCACAACUAAGCUAUGAGAUUCCAUGUCAUGGAUCAACCAGCACCCUACAACGCCAUCCUCAGACGAUACUAGUCACAGAACAUGGAUUCCUUCCUUGUAGCUAAUUAUGUGUUGCCAUGUCGCUUGACUCCAAAAUAAAUCUAUAAAAGGCACAGCACCCACAGGAACAAAAAAAACCAGGAAACUGCUGACAGAAAACAGCACCCUCACCGAAAGACAGAUCUCUCAUGAGCCUCUCCAUAUCAGUUGAGCAACCAUAAUCUGAACUACAUACAGUUUGAUUCCCUUCCUAGGAUAUGUAGGCAGUCUGUUCCUGACCCAAUCACAAACGCCGUCAUUUGCGCCAAGACAAGUCCACACAGAACUCAUCUCCUAACGUCCCACCAUAGGCUUAUCAUCAAAAGUGAUACAUGAUGUAAUUCUUACAUCAUAUCAUAUUUUUCUUAAAACUACAACAGUGAUUUGAUUCUCUUUCCUAGAGAUAUGUAGGCAAUCCUUUUCGAAUUCAAUCACACGCCCUUAUUAAUCAUCUACAUUUCCCUCCAUAAAAAAUUUAUGAAAUUUGUUUGUUUUAUGUUCAAAAUCUAUUGUUUCCUCUUUGUUUUUUUGAUAAUGCUGAAGAUAUCUCACUCACUUAAGCAGAGCAUAAACUUUGAAAACUUAGCACGAUUACAAGUCUAAAAACUCAAACAUUGUUAGAAGAGUUUUUCUUAGCCCAUCCUGUAUUAUACGGUUAGCAGCAUGGGAUACUUGAACCGUAAUAAGCCCAGUUACGAUUGGUGGGCUGCGGGCACAAACACAUGACACCCUAACUCGAAAGUCCAAUGCAUUAUCCGACCUCCGAAAAGUUUAUACAACUAGAAAAGUUGUGGUUAUAACAUUCAAACCCAAGCUCUACGCCAUGCAAGGGAAGAGUCAAAAGGGCGAUCCGAAAAUCAUCUGAAAGUGAUCUAAACUUCAACCCCGAGUACUACUACUUCUAUCCCCAAGAAGAAUUUUUAUUCCAAUGGAGCUCCAAUACGUGGAAGGGCUUUGACCAAGCCAUCAAGGUAGUCCAAUUGGGAACACUCAGGUCCCACACAUAGGUCUGGCAAAAGGAUUCAAAAAGUGUUUCCGACCCACAUGUCAAUGACCAGGUCCCCAAAGAACACUUGUUUAAGAUUCACUGGGGACGAACACACAAUUCGGGCUAAGGGAAAAAUCCUUCCUUGACAACAUGUUGCAAGUAUUGAAUUCCUUGGUCGAAGAGCUAGGACAAGGCAUAAGAGAGUGUUUUAUUUUUCAUAAAAUUAUUUUAGGUACAAGUCCAAAUUUUCCUAUCCUUAGUCCGAUAAAGGCGUUUUGACAAGUACAAAGCAAAAGAUUCUUCAUGGGUUUAAUAUUUAAUUCCUGGUAUCCGAGUAAGGUGGUAGUCUGGAUAUUGCGAUGAAAAGCUUUACGGAUACUAAGUUUGGGAGGUAACAUUUUUCCAAAUCAACGUUGCCAAGGAGGGCUUUUAAGCUCUAGCCCAAACCCACAAACUUACUUGUUUUUCUGCUCUGUUAUUUGUCUUCUUCAAAAGUUCGUUUACUUUGGAAGGAUUAUCGGAUUAAGAUUUUUUUUAAGGAUAAAGAACGCAAAGAAGAGAAAUCUGGUGAAGUUUCAUGCAAGCACAUGUUUAUCAUCAAAGUCCCAUGAAGGGGCACGAAAAAGUACAAUUGGUUGGGAGAUAAGCCCUCACCCCUGGCACAAAAAUUUCCUAUAAAGACUAUGAAGCAAACUUGCAAAGUGUGCCCACUCAAUAUGCAUAAUCAUUACAAUCUUUAUGGCAUGACACUCAAGAUCACACAUAAGAAUCUGAAACGUUUCCAUUGCAUUCCAUGUCGAAUAACCAAACAAAAAAAGAAGACUAAAUGGUACAUAUUCCAGCUUACUCCGGAAGUCAUGGUUUUUGGAUAACUAUCCAUCCUUAAAGGGAAUAGGUUGUCUUUCCAAUGCAUAAUUAGGGGCAAUUGAGGGACCAUGAUUUUCUAGAGACAGAGUAAGGCUGAUCCGGAUACUGUUACCUCAGAAGUUCGAUCAUGGACUCAGCGAGUCCAAGCAUAGUUGUAUCAGACGGAAAAGCGGUGCCACCAUCACCUUGUUCCAGGGCAAUAGGCAAAGUUCGAAGCAACUCUACCGGAUGACCAUGCUUGUUCCACAAGACACGAGAUUUGAUCCGGAUAUGGACACAAUUAAAUUCUCAUAAGUCGAGUUCCUACAGUCUAGGAAUUAUCGUGCGUCGCAAGUAAUCACACUCUUAAAAUGACGCAAUAUCUAGUCCUAGAUAUCCUCUAGGAUUCUUUUGGUUUAUUACAAGGAUUCUAUCAUAAAAAGGUCUCUCUCCCUAUUAGUAUAAAUACACCCAUCUAGGGUUCAUCUCGAGUAACCCAUCCUUAGCAUACUUAUAGCCUUUGACUGGCACACAUUCCCCCCCCCCCCCUCCCCCUCUCCGGUCUUUGACUUGCUCACAGUUGUUUCUUGUUUUGUAGAUUACUUAAAUAUGUGCCUUCACCAUCCGCCGCGGCAUGCAUAUUUGGUUCCAACACUGGAUUCAUUUGUCUUCCUUGUGGGAAAAGCUUGUUCGGGAUUUGCAUAGAGGAGGUUUAAGUGGUCACCUGGAUUGUGAUAAAACAAUAGCAUGUGUGUGUGUGAAGGAAAUAUAUUUUUGGCCACGGUUAAAGCGGGACAUUGGAGCAAUUGUACGAAAAUGUUAUACUUGUCAGGUUUCUAAGGGACAAGUUAAAACACUGGUCUAUGCAUGCAUUCGCAUGUUCCCAACAACAUUUAGAAGGAUAUGGCUAUGGACUUUGUGCUCGGGUUGCCUCGUACGCAACGAGGUGUGGAUUCUGUUUUUGUUGGAUGACAGGUUCUCCAAGAUGGCUUGCUCCAUCGCUUGCAAGAAGAUCGCUGAUGCAUCAAACAUGGCCAAACUGCUUUCUAGGAAAGUUGUUCGAUUGCAUGAAGUAGCUAAGUUUAUAACUUAUGAUUGAGGCCCCAAGUUCUUGAGCCAUUUCUAGAUUACUUUGUGGCGAUUGUUUGGUACUGCCUCGAAUCGCUGUAGUAUUGCCCAACCACAAACUGAUGGGCAGACGGAUGUCACCGUCAGGACUCUUGGUAACAUAGUUCGUAGUAUCUGUAGAGAAAACCCAAAACAAUAUGCACCGCCUCAUAUGGGAUUCGCAUAUAAGAGUGAUGCUCAUAACCCAGCAAGGAAGUCACCAUUUUUCAUUGUUUACACUAUUGUCACUGACCAUGUAGUGGAUUUGGUGAAACCGCGUAGAGGCCCGAGAUUUUAGUGUUGCUGCAGAGAACAUGGCUAAAGAUGCGGUGGCAGUUCCUGAUGAGGUCAGACAAAGGCUUUAAGCAGACUAGUGCCAAGCACAGAGGUGCAGCCUAUAAACCCCCGCGAAUUAGUGUUUCAAAGCGGACUUUGUUUUAAAGUUCGUAAGCGAAUCAAUGACAAUGCUCAUGCUAUUGACAUGCAUGCCCGAUUAUAUGAGGAUCUCCAAUACUUCCAAUGUUGCCGACUCAUUUGAAUUCAACGACUACGAGGGUAUUUAUCCAGAUCAUGAUUCGAGGUCGAAAUCUUCUGAAGUGGAAAGUACUAAUAUAGAACAGACGGUCGAGUAGAUUUGACGUUCGAACUCCGUUUUGGAUGCACGAUACCUUUCCGUUGCAAGCUCACUGCUUUUCCAUGACAUGAUAAAUUUUAGCCAUCCGAGAUCAUUUAUACCCCAAAAACUAAGAUCCCUGAACUUCCCCAGGACUGAGUUUAAGUUUAUUAAGCCUUUCGGCUUCUAUUGUAAUACACAUUGAAUUAAUCAAAUUACACCUUUCAGAUUUCCAAAACAAUGUUCUUCUGGGGUUUACGUUUGUAUCCUUGUUAGCUUGUACCGCAUCAGCUAUGGAUCUCUCAAUGACGUCUUCAAAUUUACAUGCCCGAACCAAGAGGAGGAUCAGCUUGAGAAAAAACGGGUAGCUGAAUCGCAUGGUUUUUUGUCAAGUAAAAACAAGAGAACGGGGGACUCCACAAGCCAUCUGCCUUGAGAGAUAAAAAGGUAUAGCAGAUUGUUGGGAGAAAUCCGCACCUCCGGAUCUCAACUGAACACAUUUUACAACAAGACAAUUUCUGCACAAACAAAAAUUGAGGGAACGAUCAGCACAAGGAAAACAAUUAUCAAUGCAAAUCAGUCGUGAUAAUUGACAGUGGAGAAAAAUACAUAGUGAGAAACAGCGAGCAGAUACCAAAAUAUUGAAACUUAUCGUGUUUAUUUAGUUGUGUACCAAGAAACACAACUUCAAUUAACUUUACAGCAACCCUACUUCCAAUUUUAUUACACAUGGGCGGGUAUGCCUGAAAACAAAAUUGUGUGAAACCUGAAACUAGACAGACUUCCCUACCUGAUUAAUGGUCCGUUGCGGGAAUCUAAGUUAACCAAAGAGAACCUAAAAGACUGAUGCCUUCCGCGCUGACCCUUAUAUUUCAUAAUGUACUUGUGCAAUAUUUUAGAAAGUGCACUACUGGUCACCUAUCUUACUAUUCACCUUAGUCAACACACUUACAAUUCACCUACCUUAUAUCAUUCUCCACUCCAAUCUAUUAACUCGCUGCGAGGGGCACAAAGCUUGCUUGCUCGCUCUUUGGAUUCAACAUCAUUAACCACCCCCCGACAUCUUGGGAAACCACAACAACAUGCCAGUUGUUCAUCUAUUGAAAAGAAUCUGCGAUAAUAAGAAGAACGUUAGCCCAUGAAAUGAAAUAAUAAGAAAAAUUGCAUACAACAAGAAUCGAGGAUAACCUAUAGUCAUAUGUAAGUUCUUCCCAUCGUUUAAUGUCUCUCUUUGCAAAUAUAAUUAUAUGCUCAUCAUUAUUAACACUAAUGACUCUUGAGUAGCAAUUUGGCUGCACACAACAAAGGUAAAGGUGAGUAAGUACAAGGUUAAAUAAACAAAUAAAAAGCUUGUGCAGAAGCCAUCCAAUUUAAACUCAGUAAUUGCAAAAGUGUACACAAUUUAAAAUAUAAAUUUUAUGAUUUCCACCAUAUCUGAAAUGGCAACAAACCAUUGUGUAAAAUGUUAUACAAGGUUACUUGAGAACAAACACCUCUCCCUUGAUGAAAUUUUGUUUCCGAAAGAAUCAAUAGGAAAAGGAAAAUUUCUCAUCACUAAAUUCUUUCAUUAACUCAUUAUGUAUCAAAGAGAGGCAUCAUUCUCCCAUAAUUUCUUAUGUUUACGCAUUAGCUUGUUUAUUAAAUGAAAACGAUAUCAAAUCAAUCUACAUUUUGACUCCCAGAAUCUUGUGAUGCAUUACUUUGUGAGAAGCCUAAAGGGAUGUCUACUUAUCAUGAAUGAAAAAGUGCAUGUUGAACGUAGGUAUGUCAUACCCAAUGUCCGGAAUGCCGAUAAUAUCGGCGAUAUUUCGCCGAUAUUAUCGGUUUUUCACAUUACCGAUAUUUUAAUAGGUAUCCAACGGGUUUUCGUCAAAAUAUCGCGAUAUUAUCGAUAUUAGCGAUAAUAUCGCCAAGGCUCCGUCGUCGCAGCUGCCAAGAUUUGCACCCCUCUCUGCAAUCCACGCUCAGACCCAUCAAAAUGAGCAAUCUCUUUUCUCCGGAGGUGGCCGGAAUAUGGGUUGGGUGUCCUUGGGGUCAUCGGGGUUCCUCUGCGCGUCGCCGUGCUUCCCAGAGACGGAGGAAAGGGAGGGAGAGUUCAGGAGGGUGGUGGAGAUACUGAGCUGGCAUCGGGGUGGACGAAUUUGGGUGUGCCUGGGUGUGGGUGCGAUCGAGGAAAUGGAGUCCUCUGCGCGUCGCCGUGCUUCCCAAAGAUGGAGGAGAGGGAGGGAGAGUUCAGGAGGGUGGUGGAGAUGCUGCACUGGCAUCAGGGUGGACGAAUUUGGGUGUGCCUGGGUGUGGGUGCGAUCGGGGAAAUGGAGUGAGAGAAUGAGAGUUCGAGAGAGAGAUAGAGUUGAGAACUGAGAGAGAGUGAGGGGUCCGAGAGAGACUCGGGAAAAGAGAGAGAGAGAUAGGGUGAGGGUUAGUGGGCUGCCACGUGGCAGCGUGACGGAGAGUGAGAAUCAAGAUGGAGGGUCCAAAUUAGAUUAGGAUAAAGGACUCAAUUGCACAAUUUAUAUAAUUUCAGGGAAAGAGUGAAUAUAAAUUAAUCUGGGGUCCAGAUUAGAUUAGGAUAAAGGACUCAAUUUCAGGGAAAGAGUGAAAAUAUAUAAUUUAAGGGAAAGAGUGAAAAAUUUGAACCUCAAAGAGUGAAAAAUUUGCCAGCUCGCUAUAUAAUCAACUUAAAUCAGUUAAAUCCAUCAUGCAAUGCAUUUCCUUCCAAUUUUUUGUGAUAAACUAAUAGAUAAUUGACUAAAUAAACAUCCUGCAAAGUUUCAAUAAAAAUUUCCAAGUUUUUCUUACAAUUUCCGUGGUUUCCAUAUUAUUUUUAUCGAUAUCGAUAAUAUCCCGAUAUUUCCAUCGAUAUUCCGUGUUUUUGGACUUCCGAUAUUUCCGAUAUCAUCGAUAUUUAAUACCUUGGUCAUACCUGAACAACCAUGUAUGAUUCUCAUUCAUGACUUCUCCCAUUCCAAAUAAGUAAACAUGCCCUGAGUUUCUAGAGGGAGGAAAAGAGACUUGUUGCUAGCUGUGCUGACAAUAUUUUUAUGGGUUUUAAGUUUUGAGACAAGUAGGAGAUUUUUGAGUGCGGAGGUGGGGAUGGGCAUGUAUUUACGGGAGAGUUUGAUUCUGGGCAUCCUUGUGAAGUUCAGUUUCUACUGGAUUAUGUUCAGGAUAAAGACAAUUCAAGAUGACAAAUACUUCACAAAAGUAAAACUAAAUAAGUAGACAAGGGUUGGAUAAUACGCACUUCACAAGAGUGAUUAAUUAGGUGAGCAAUGCUUCCAGCUCUUGUGGCAUCAAUGACUCGUUCAUCAUCAAUCCGGAACAUAUAAGUCCCAGCCCCCUGCAUGGGAAACGGUAAGGCUUUAGAGCGCCAUUUCUUUCUCAUUUCAUACUCGAGCAUCAACAAAUGUAAAAGUUUCUAAACGGGAGAUAAAUAUGAAGUACUACAGAACCUUACAAAUACUAGAAAAUCCAAAACUUGAGUAACAAACAUACCCCUAAUAGAUACGCCUGAUUGUUUCAAUUCUCCAUAAAUUUGGACGAGAUUUUAAUGAAUAUUCCUAUAGCUUAAGUGGGCAAUAACAAAAUUCAACAAUUUUGAGGAAACCCCCAAAGUUGGGAUGCAACCCUAAGAAUUAUGUGCAAACCUAAAAAAUUUUGUUGAGCAUGAUGGAAUCUAAAAUAGUAGGUCCCUGAGCGCAUGAUUAGUGGACUUCAAUUUAGGAGAGGAUGCACCUAGCUAAGCUGCUUUUCCAUGCAAAUAGAAUUAAAAAUUACAUGGCUAAAGGAAUUCUUCAAUCUUGAGAGACAAUAGCUCACCUCUUUCACUAAACCUUGGGGAGUUUAUGGAAGUUCUAACCCUAAACAAAGUAUGAGUCUAUUAAUACCGCUAGCGCUUUACAACUAAGGCUCACAUUGGUUGGACAUUUUAAUAGUUUACACUUGCAGGUUACAGAUCACAUUGGUUUGACACUUUUACUGGUUUACACUUGGAGACCUGCACGCUCAAGGGAAGACGGCAACAUUGACUUCCAUCUAGCCUAGAUUGCCUAGUAAUUAUCCAUGAACAAUUUUGAUAUCUAUUCUGACGUGAUUUGUCAUGCAACAUAAAAUGCAUGCAAAAAUAAUAAAGCCUAAGUUCCAACGAGCACAGCAAUGACUUUAGUACAUAACUUACCACCAAUGAAUUAUAUAUGAAGUGCUCCCUCCUGUCAGCUACAGGAGGUCUAACAAGUUCGCCCGUGUAUUCAAUCACCUACAAGAGAUAUGAUCAGUAUUCAAAGUAUUCUUUUACAGGUUCAAAAUAUACUAAGAAAAUUACUUUACCAUGUCCCCUGCUCUAUGUGGGUGCUUUGCAAAGAUACCAAAACCAUGAAUUCCCGAUUUUCCUGUAGUUAAAAGAAAAGAAGUUCCGAAAGACGAACUCAGAAUAACAAUUAAAAUAUAACACUAAAUGAUGUGAUAUUUUUAAAAUUAUAUAUGCAUUUACUAUAUAUGCUCAAAGUGUUACAACGUGCUCCCUGAAAGACCUAGGUAUCUACUAGUAGCUUCGAAGUAGCAGCACAAUAUUGUUACCAAAAUAAAUUACAAAUCUAAAGAAACAGGUUGGAGAUUGGUGAAGAUAACCAAUCUGAACAUAAAUAGGAGAAGCUGUUAUUUACAUACAACAUUCUUAAAUGUUUCUUCAAUGAAAUCUCGGAUAACCAUAUGAGUAAGAAAAUUAUAUCUUACCAAAUGCUAGUCUUUUUCGAAAGGUGUCCCUCAUGUAUUUAUACUUCUCAGCCAUAGAAAGUAUGUCAUUAGGAGCAUCAAGCCGGGAGGCUUUCAGCCUCUGAAGGCUAGAACAGAACUUAGAGCCAUUCGGAAGCUGUGAAUUACUUGACAAUUGGUGUUGGCUGUAACCACCUACUAAGUAAGGCUGGUUCUCGACAAACAAACGCUUUAAGGAUGCAGCAGCUAUGGCUUCAGGCUCUUUUCUCCCUCUUCUACAAAAGUAGUUGUAUGGUUCUGCCCAAGGGUUGGAUUGAGAGAUUGCAACAAAAAAUUAAUGAAUUUCAAAAUAAUAAAUUCAACAAACUGAGUAUCUAUAUCAAUGAUUCAAUGAUAGUUGCUUAUGCACAAAAUCGGUUGGACUUUGGAUCAACUUAGAUCCAACCGUAAAUCACACAAAAGCACAAGAACACAAGGAUAUAUCAGGGUUUACCCUGAGUAGAGGCUACAUCCAUGUUGGUGUAGAUCUAGUUUCGCUGUGUAAAUGUGGGUUACAAUGCAAAUAGAGGCUUGUUGUUGCCUUUAAAAGAGUAGAGAGGCUAGGGUUUUUACUCUAGAGUCUAGAGCGAGGGUGAGGGAUCCCUUUUAUACGACAAGGGUUUCCCUCCCCUUAUACAUAGUCCAUGGGCUAAAUCAUGAGGCCCAAAUAUGGUACAACAAUAGUGCAUACACUAUAGGAGCAUUCAUAAAAUAAGAUCGCAAACACUACCGAAUCUCAUUAAUUAAACAGGACAGAUAAACAGGCACUCGAUUGUUUAUUAUCCUACAGCAUAUGACACUGGACUCGAUGUUUAAUAAAGACUAGUUACAUAAAAGAUCAGUAGAAAAUAUGGAAUUAAGUAUCGAUCUCGUAAAGCAUUUAAUCAUCUUUCAGUAUGAUCUGGAAUAAAGAAGUAAAGCGAUGGUGGCAGCAAAGGCCAAAUGAGUAAAUGAGUGAGAGAUGAUGAGGGAUGGUGAGAUAUGUAGGAAGUCAUACAGACAAUAGAGUCAAGUUCGUUUAGAACAUGAUACAAAACACGAACAAGCAGAUUAAAUCAUAAUCAACUUUGACUCUUUCAAUAAAUAAAGGGUGGCAACCUCAAAUAUGGAUCACACACUAUGUCGUAGAAAUAAAAAAUAAAUAAACAAUUAUGGCCACAGCUCAUGGCUUCAUAGUACAUUAUGAUUAUAACAUCAUAUCUGUCAAGUGUGCCAAAAGCGACGCAGAAAUGUAAACAAACUUGUGAGGUAAUUUGCAGUAGGAUUAUCAAAUUUCAUCUAAAGUAGACUGAUUAUACAUUUACAUACCCGUACGAGCACAUCCAGAUGGAUUUGUUGGUGGAGUGUAUUCUGAGCACUGGCGCCCAGUUCGACCAAUACAGUUAUCAGCAGCUGAACGGUCAUUUGUUGCCUGCCUAUGCUUCUUGCAGAAGGAAAGAAGACGAAUGCACUGCUCUACUUCAUCAUCGUCUACAGAUAGUAGAUGUAGUCUGUCCUCAUCCUCAAGCUUCGUAGUUAUAAUAAUAGAAUAAAAAUAAAUAGGAACAAAUUAAGAACUACUUGAGGAAAAAAUUCCAUUGAAAUAAUUCAGUAAUGCAUCCAGCAAAUUACUGAAAAAAAUAGAGUAACAAAAAACCAAUAAUGUCAAGUAAAAAUGAGAAGAAAAAAAAACUACCUCAACACAAAGACCAGCAGCUCGCGCGCAAAGUGGGUGAUAUGCCACACAACAGGUAUGGUUUGAACACUGGAAGGGACAAAAUUCAGAUGGUUAUUAUCAAUGAAUUUUGACUUUAUACAGUUAAGAAGGAAAAAUUAAUCGGGGAAGAUACAAAGAUGCAUGUAAUAUAUAUAUAGGAAAGUAGAUAUAUCCAGUGUAUUAAAAGCGUGAGGCGUGGGCGAGGGAUCCGAGGGAUAGCCUGGCCUAGGCAUGAGGCGAAGCCUCACUGGACCUAAAUUUUUUAAUAUAUACACUGAGCGUACACAUAUAUUAUAUUAAAAAAAAAAGAUUAUUAACCAAUAAUCACCCUAAGCACACACAUAUAUUAUACAUAUAUAUGCACGCAGACAACACACAUCCAUUAUAUAAAAAUUAAAAAUCAGAAAAAAAAGGCAGAGAGACGAUAGUGCAAGGAAGAGGUAUGAGGCAGUUAAAACCCUACCCAAAAUUUGGGUUUGGGAGUUAAAAAAAAAAAAAGCCCUGAGGCACGCCUUCCGCCGCCUAGGUGGCUCCGGCGAAGCCCUACGCCCACUCCCUCAAAAUAGAGGCGAAAACCCUCAAGCCUAGCCUCAGAGGGCGCCUAGGCACGCCCUAAGGCAAGCCUUUUAAAACAUUGGAUAUAUCAUAGAAAAUAAGUAAAGAGCAUAUGAAAGCCAACCAAUUUCUAAAUAGAUGCUACAAUUAUGUACGGCACAAAAAGAAUACAAAUUUAAGCUUUACACAUGAUAUUCUAAAAUGGAUUAAAAGUAUAUUUUUCUCCUCUAAGACAGACUAACCCUUUUUUCCAAGAAAUGCAACACUGAAUAAAGAAGAUUGGUUACUAGCAUACGAAGAUUCUAACAAAUGCUCAACUCUGGAGCAUUUAUUAUGUUAAUUAUUUCACUUGGACCAGGUACCCUUUUUUCUUCAAAAACGUAAUAAAUAAAGCAGAUUGAUGACCAAAAUAUAAGUAAAAUAUUCUAGAAAUCCCUCAAUAUGAAUCAUUCAUUCAGUGAAUUUCCAAAAAGACGAAAAAACAUUCAAAGUGUUUCUUCCCCGCAGGUUGCAACAAAAUAUUCAGCCAGUUUGACAUCACGAUACAUGUUAUAAAUUCAACAAAUUGACCAGCAGUGUAUUGUUAUAGGAAUAUAAAUGAACUUACUUGAAUGCAGGCUCCAUACGAAACGCCACAGAUACUACAUAAUAGCUUCCAACGGUCCUGUUACAAAACAGAAGAUUAGUGGAGGCAGGAAUACCUUGACAGUAUGGUUUUUUGCCAUUUUGAUCCCAAACGACCAAAAGUAUAUGAGAUCACUGCCACACAAAUCCUCACAAGAUAAACAUAAAAAAGGUGACACACGUCAAAGAAAAUGGGGGAGGGGCGAACACAAGGAGGCAGCCAUAGUGGUGUGGAAACAUAUAAUGUGAACAAGGAAAUACCUUAUUGAUUCUACUAAGCCCAUCAAUUGGCUCCAUUCUCUUAACAUCAGAUAGGCAGGUUUCUGAAACAUUUUCAGACCAUUAAUAGAAAAAUAAAUACAUAUUCAAUGAAAAAAAAUGGAAACUGUAUUUUCAUGAACCUGGUAUCCAUAUGGCACAAGCUAGAUGAGCCCAGCGCCCGUCAGUUGUAGGCUUCAUUGCACCCCCUGGACGAAAAUCAGUUCAAUAAUUUAAUGAUGUGAAAUCCAUGGCGUUACAAAGUUCAAAGAUUUAAUGAAUUAUAAGUACCUAUUACAGGACAAAGGCAGCAAGGUGGUAGAGGUUUAGGAGCCCCAGGCCGACAUAAGUUGCAUAACCAUAGUACCCCACCAACAGGUUCCAAUUCCCCAUAGCAUCUUGCAUGGACCUGCAAAACAUUACUACUGAUCAAAAAAAGGAACAUACCAGGAAACACACGACAAAGUAGAGAAUGAAGCGCUUCAAAUAGCCUUGAAAAAGAAAUUUGGUUGAAUAUUAUCUUGAAUUUCAUAGUUUAACCACCAUUAACAGUACUGCGAUCCCCACUACCAAAAGACCCUUACCAUCAUUCUGCAUUUGUCACACUGCAGGAACAGGUUGUUUUCAUACUCCUAUAAACAAAACACCAAUUAGCAAACCAAUAGGGAAAAGAGUUUAAACGAACUCCCACUUAAAAAUAAAACACAGCAACUAGCGGAAAAGACAGAAACAAUAUAUAUGUAGUAAAUCUUUUAAAGAAACAAGAUAAAAUAAAUACAGCAAACCAACAGACAACUAUUAUGCAGAACAGCAGAAAAAAGAAUGUCAGUUAUAAAAUGAUGUGGAAAAGCUUUUGGAGAUUACCUCAUCCAUGUGGCAAACACUGCAUUUAUCAAGGUCCUUCCAGUCCACACGAACAGGUCUGUAACCAACAGGAACAUCUCGAUAUCUCCUAGAGGCUAACUUGCACUUGGGUAAUUUUGAAGAAAGCCUGGAUUUUGAUAACCUCUGCCAAAACCCCAAAUGUUUAUAUUAGGCUAGAAAUCAAGGAAUAAGGGCAGAAGCAGAAAAAGCUGUGUAGCAUCUUAAAAUGGAAUGGGAUUCAACAAUUUACAACAUGUAUCCAAAACAACUAUUAGUCAAGAACCAUUAACUAAGCAACAGAAAAGAUUCCACAUUUUCAACAGAUAAGUAUAUUGCAAAAAUGAUAUAAUAAAGAAGAAUAUUGAUCUGAAAUUACAUGUGUGCGCACAAAUGCAUCUAUACAAGCAAACAUAUGCAUAUACAAUUUAUAAUAUAUCUUCAUGGUUGACAUGGCAUUUAUUCUAUAUCCAACCCAAGAGUACAGUAGUUCGGCCAGAUUCCCAAUCCUUACUUUGAUACUACUCAUUAGAGAGGUGCAGUACUAAACAGUUGAACAUGCUUAAAAAUUAAAAGUUAUAACAAUCGUUAUUACAAAAAUAAAAUAAAUUCUUAAUCUUGAUGGAACAAAUAAAUAAAACUAGGCAUCAAAGCCCAAGAAAAAAAUGAAAAAUAAAAGGAUCACAUUUUAUUCACAAAUAUAACGGUAGUAGAAACUUAGUAGUGCUAAUGCACAACUCAGCUUAGAUACCUGAAUAAGUUUAGCAACUUCCGGUAUAGAGAAACCAAACAUAUGAGAACCAGAUUUAUAGGUCCCUUCUAAUCUGCCGUCAGCAUUGCCAUUAGAACCAUCAAAUGAAGUGUUUCGUGCUUUCCUUAUCCUUUUGUAUAUUUUAUUCCAGCAAGCUGAUGGUGUAGAUCCUUUGAACUGGAAGAGAUGAGCAGAAGGGAAAAUAAAUAACACAACAACAUUGGCAGAUAUUUAUUCCAGAUACUUCUUUGUGCAACAUACACCUGUACUCAACUAAGGAAUCACAAAAUAGAAGAUGAAACAUAUAACAAGACAACGUCCUUUUAUUACGUACUACCUAGGCAGUGCACCAUAAUUAGAAAGAGAGCAUACACUGCUGUCAUUGCAAGUGGAUAUGUAUUCUGAAUUGUAAAGAAAUAUGUAUUCGGGAUUGUAAUUGUAGACCACAUUUAGGGGAUUUAAAGUUUAAACUAAGCAAUGAUAAGUUACUUAACCGUUGAUCAGAUGCCUAACAGGUUUAGCAAGGACAAGUUAAUUAACAGUUGAUCAAAUGCGUAACGAGUUUAUAUACAUUACGAAUAAAACAUAAGUGCAUUUACUAUAUAAUUCAAGAAGAUUAUCAGCAAGAAAACCCUCGUGGAAGUAAGAGGUAUCAGCCCUGGUUUGGUACUGAGGUGCUUUUGAAAAAAGUGGGUAUCAAAAAAAGCUGGGAGCCUUUUUACGUUUGGUAAACAUUCAACUUUAACUUUUUCUCACAAUUUUGCAUGAAAAAAAGCCAAAAACACAAAGCUGCAAAACCCAGCUUUGAAAAACCGGCUUUUUUUGCUUGCCCAGUUUCUACGCAAACCGAUUUCGAAAGAGGCGCUAAGGCCUUUAAUGAAAUUUUCCAAUACCCAAAAUGGCUUUUAGCAAUUAAAUAAAUUAUACAUUAUACCCGUCAACUUCAUCGCCAACCCCGCGAGUGAAGAUGAAGGGCCACGUGGGUUGGACCCAGAAGGAGCUGAGGACAUGCUGAAAGCUCCAAAACGACGCCGGUGAGUGGAAGACGACCAAGUGGUGGUAGUUGUCGGCAAUAACAUGAAGGGAACUCUCCCACGACUUCUCCCAAAUCUCCGUCGAGAGAGCAGGGAUUGUGUUCGAGGGAUUGCGAUUGGUGUUGCUGUGGUGGUGGUCUUCGAUAAGGGAGUGGAAUUUGUCGGUGACCCAGCCUUCCUUAGGAUAUGGCAGAGAGAGACGAGAGAGAAGGAUGAGAGAAGGAGUGGAUGGUGGAAGAGGAAAGAAAAUACAGGUUUUGCAAAAGAGGAGAACCAAACCUUGGAAAAGAAGAUAGAAUAAAAAAUUAUGAUUCCAUAAUAAAAGAAAAGAUAAAGAGUAAUAGUUGUAUAGUAAAUAGAUAUUAUAAAUGUUGGAUUAUGAUUUCUUGUUAAACAUUGGAUUAUGAUUUAUUGUUAAACGUUAGAUUAUAUGUUUAAGAUAAAUUUUAUAAAUAUUUUUCUUUUAAAAAUAAAGUAUAUUUAGUAAUUCACCUUUAUUUGUUAAGAAAAUUAAAUUAAUGGCGCAUCUAGUAUUAUACCUUUUUUGGCCAUUUCACACAGUCACAGCUGUUUUACAUAAAAGUUUACCAAACACUAUAAUACUGCUUUACUUUUUUGUUUUCAAAAGCACUUUUACAAAAAAAUUUACCAAACACUCUGCUGCUUAUUCUCACAGCACAGCAGAAGCAGUUUUUUUUUUUUUUUUUUUUUGAAAAGAAACGAUAGAAUUUUAUAAAACGAAAGAAUUACAAAAGAGAAAAAGUAAACCACGUGGAAAAGAUAUCCACCUAGGGCUAUAAGAGAACUAGCAAGGACCCCUAAAGAAAACUAAUUGAACAGAGGAAAAGCUAGACCAAAUCAAAUAACGGCUGCUAACAAAUCCCUAAAAAUAGAAAAGAAAUUGUAAUCUCUAAACUCCACUGAAACCGAAGCCCAAAGGGCUGCCCAGUGUUUUACUCUAUCCCAAAGCUCCUCAACCCCCACUCCCUUGUAAUCCUCAAAGACUCUUUUAUUACGCUCCAACCAAAUGUUCCAGAAGAGGGCCAUCAACAGAGAUCCCCACAAAGUUUUGGCUUUCCUCCCUUUCCCUAGGCCUUCGAAUUUAGUGCUUAGGAGCUCAAAACAACCCUUUGGGGUGACCCAUCUUGCUCCGGCUUCCUUGAGCAAUUUCCA
RNAcentral lists this long non-coding RNA (93892 nucleotides) under Malus domestica (apple). Lineage: Eukaryota; Viridiplantae; Streptophyta; Magnoliopsida; Rosales; Rosaceae. The record is from RNAcentral.